Molecule: long non-coding RNA, 92998 nt
Filed under: Glycine max (soybean)
Lineage: Eukaryota; Viridiplantae; Streptophyta; Magnoliopsida; Fabales; Fabaceae
Description: long non-coding RNA (GMAX_LNC000352)
Source: RNAcentral
GUCACCACCACCUAGUUCUCCGCCUCCCUCCAUGUCUGGAACCCCACCUCCAUUAGUACCUCCACCAUCCCCACCACCAUCACCACCAUCUUCACCGCCGCCAUCUUCUCCGGCAGCGCCGCCACCGGUGCCACCUAGCUCUCCACCGCCACCAUCACCAUCAGCACCUGUUCCACCAAACCCUCCUAACAACACAUCUCCACCACCAUCACAACCACCACAGUCACCAGCUCCACCACCACAACCACCAGCUCCACCACCACAACCACCAGCUCCACCACCACAACCACCAGCUCCACCACCUAACAACACUUCACCAUCACCACCACGAAAUUCGCCACCCUCUCCGGCCGCCACGCCACCACGGGCCUCCCCACCGCAAAAUUCACCAUCCCCUCCGGCUGUGCCGCCUCCUAGAAACUCCACUAGGUCACCGCCGUCGGCUAAUUCACCGCCACCGCCGGUGAAUGCACCGCCUCCGAGGUCAUCGGCUCCACCAGCACCCGAACCAUCCACUCCUCCUUCUAGGACUAGUACUCCUCCCACACCAAGUUCUCAACCAGCUCCAACUUCAAAUUCUACACCAAGGUCAUCACCUCCAUCACCACCUUCAACUACUAAUUUGGCCCCGCCACCGCCAUCGCGAGUUUUAUCAUCACCACUACCAUCACCGGCUCAGAAUGGGACAAAAAACCCAAGCCCUGAUGGAGGUGGAGAUGGAAUUGGCACCGGUGGUGUAGUGGCUAUUAGUGUGGUGGCUGGAUUUCUUCUUCUUGGCUUCAUUGGUGUUCUUAUAUGGUGCAUGAGAAGGCAAAAGAGAAAGCUGCCUGUGAGUGGUGGUUAUGUCAUGCCAUCCACUCUUGCCUCAUCUCCUGAAUCAGGUAAACAUACGUUGUUGUUUCUUUCUUAGCUUGUCAUUAUGUCUCAUACUUCUCAUGUUUUUAUCAUGUCCUCUUUUAUUUGGUAGUUUGGUGCUUUUGAAAUUUAAUAAGAUAGGGCACUCCCAUUAUUGUUGGUGCAUAUUAUGUUAGAUUAGAUUGGUUGAACCAAUCUAUCUGACUUUCUUAAUUUAUUAUGCCCAUACUUCCUGGCUACAUAAAAAAAUUUAGACCUUUACCAAUUUGUUGCCAUUAAAUUAAUUCAAAAGUGUGUGACUUUGUCCAGAUUCAUCCUUUUUUAAGACACACUCCUCAGCUCCUCUUGUACAAAGUGGCUCUGGCAGUGAUGUUGUGUACACACCAUCUGACCCUGGUGGACUAGGCAACUCAAGGUCAUGGUUUUCAUAUGAAGAACUAAUCAAGGUCACAAAUGGUUUCUCAACUCAAAAUCUUUUGGGCGAGGGUGGAUUUGGUUGUGUGUAUAAAGGGUGCCUUCCUGAUGGGAGAGACAUAGCAGUCAAACAGCUGAAGAUUGGUGGAGGUCAGGGAGAGAGAGAGUUCAAGGCCGAAGUGGAAAUUAUUGGUCGCAUACAUCAUCGCCAUUUGGUUUCUCUGGUGGGAUACUGCAUUGAAGACAGCAGAAGACUACUUGUCUAUGACUAUGUCCCUAACAAUAACCUUUAUUUUCAUCUACAUGGUAAAACUACAUCUGAGUGAUAAUAGAUUGUUUCAGUUUAUUUUGAUUGACUUUGAUUGUAUUAACUGAUAUUGUAAUUUGCAGGGGAAGGCCAGCCUGUGCUAGAAUGGGCAAACCGUGUUAAAAUUGCAGCUGGUGCAGCCCGAGGACUAGCUUAUCUCCAUGAAGACUGUAAUUACCAAUCCUUAUUAUUUUACUCUUUGUCUUGACAUGCACAUAAAUGCCUAUCAGUCCACUUUCCUUUUACGAAAUUUGAAUUUUUGGAAUUGGCUAAAAACAAUAUCAGAAUUUGAAUGAAUGUGAAUUGAUGAUGGGUGCUAGAAAACAUUGUAGUGCAGACAGUAGAUGUGGUUGGUAGCUAGAAGAUUAGACUUCUGUAUAUAUUUUUCCUGACAAAGAAGAAUGUCAUUAUUCUGAGGUCAUCCUAAGAAUUAGGUUUAGCUCAAAUUCCCUAGUAAAGUUACAAUUGGCUGAUCCGAGAAAUCAUUUGGUUGUUAUAAAAAACAAUAUUGUGAGGUUAUGAAAUCCUGAAAACAGCUUCUCCACUCAUGAGGGUAAGGCUGCGUAUAUCUAUCUUACCUUCCUCAGAGCCUGCUAGGUGGGAGUCUCUUGCACUAGGCUGUCCUUUUAAAUGCAAUAUUGCAGUGGAUAUAGAAAACAUAAAAUUGAAAGUUACUGCAACAAGGACGUCUUUAUAGUUGCUCUGUUCUAUCUACUUAAGUGAAUGUAUGAAUCAAAGGAUAGAUUACCUCAUACACAUGACCAUAAACAUGAAAGUCUCAUAUUUUUAACGCAGAUGAUAUGGUAACAGAAGUACACAGAAUAGUAGCCUGAUUUAUAAGCCUUCUUUGUGCUAGUUAGUGUUAAUUGACAAAAUGGAGAAUUCACAUAACCUAACUGUUAGGAGUCCCACAUUGAGUAUAAUAAACUACUUGAUGUGGUACUUAAGCCUUGAGGUUCUUUCACCUAAUGGACUAGUCUUUUGGGUUGGGCUCCCCCUCUUGUGCUUUAGUUCUAAAAAUUGGGGCUUUUAUUGAGAGUUGUGGACAAAAUAGAAGAGCUGUGUUAGGCAGUUGGUUGGCAGCCUACAUAAAAUCCUGUUAUGUGGAUACUUUAUGACAUGGAUCAAUGUUACAACAUAAUAGCAUCAAUUGAUGCAGGUACUUGACUCAUCUAGUAGGAUAAUGCAUAGAAGUUGUAUUAUUAAUUUACUGUUGAUGUUAUUUUAUGUUAUGCGCAUUUCAGGCAACCCUAGGAUCAUUCACAGGGAUAUCAAGUCAUCAAACAUUCUCUUAGAUUUCAAUUUUGAAGCCAAGGUAUCUGUCAUUCUACGUACUUAUUCAAAGUUUGAUAGUUUGUUCUAUUUAUAUCCAUCCAAAUCUUAGUACUCCAAGUUUUAAUGUUAUAGGUCUCAGAUUUUGGGCUGGCCAAAUUAGCUCUUGAUGCAAAUACGCAUAUAACCACCCGUGUCAUGGGAACUUUUGGGUGGGUAUUCAUCAAUAUGUCUCCAAACUUCUCUUUUCUUUUUUACUUUUUCAUUUUUCAUAGACUAAAAUAUAUUUUAGUGCAAAAAACUUUAUUAACAUUGAUUUCCCCCCCCCCCCCCCCCCCCCUUAUAGGUAUAUGGCCCCUGAAUAUGCGUCAAGUGGCAAAUUGACUGAGAAGUCCGAUGUAUAUUCUUUUGGAGUUGUGCUUUUGGAACUAAUUACUGGACGGAAGCCAGUAGAUGCAUCUCAACCUUUGGGAGAUGAGAGCUUAGUUGAAUGGGUACAUAUAGAUGCCAUGCCAGUCUUGCUUUUAUCACUCUUUUGCUAGUGUAGCUAUCUUUUUUUCCUAAUCUUUGUGUUUGGGAAGCCUAAUAUUAGUGACUAUGAAAUCAAUUGAUUGGGAUUAAAAUCUAUUUCUUCAUUGUGUUUUUCUUCCCUUUGACUGUAUCAUUUAUCAUAGUAACUUAUGUAUGAUAAGAUGCCAAAAUGCUUACUAUUUUGCAAGCCUUGCAGUAUAGCCAUUGUUGCAAUCAAGCUAGUAAAGUGGAAUGUUUUGGUUUUAAGUUUAGUAUGCAUAAUUUAGUUCAUAUCUUUGUAUCUUAAACUUUUAGGGCACUUGAUAAUUUAAUUAGAUAACGACUAUUAUCUUCAAUCUUACUGAAGAUGAAGAAUUGAAGUCACUGGAUAUUGCUUUUCUAUUAUACUUUUACUUAUGGAAAAGAACAUUUCAGUUGACCUCAAUAUAGUACUUGUGUCAAUAAUUACACAUGCAUACAUGCUAAUAUCAAACUAUAUAUGAUUUAAUAGCCAGAGAAUGUCUUAAACUUGUAAAAGUCAAACAUCUUCACUCAAAUCAUUCUUGAAUGUUCUCAAGUCUGGUUCGUCUUAAAGAUGCUGCUACUUUUUUUCAGGCUCGACCUUUACUGAGUCAUGCACUCGACACUGAGGAAUUCGAUAGUUUGGCAGAUCCAAGGCUAGAAAAGAAUUAUGUUGAGAGUGAAUUGUAUUGCAUGAUUGAAGUUGCUGCUGCUUGUGUGCGGCAUUCAGCUGCAAAGAGACCUCGCAUGGGACAGGUAAAUAUAUUGGAAAAGUGGCAAAAUGUUUUUUUUUUUUUAUAUUGGCAACAAACAAAUGCACAAACCACUGACAUGGUUUUUCCUGAAUUAUUAUGUUUCAUAGGUUGUUAGAGCUUUCGAUAGCUUAGGAGGUUCUGAUCUAACUAAUGGAAUGAGACUUGGGGAAAGCCAGGUGUUUGACUCUGCACAGCAAUCUGAAGAAAUAAGAUUAUUUCGGAGGAUGGCAUUUGGUAGUCAAAAUUAUAGCACAGAUUUCUUUAGCCGUGCUAGUUUGAAUCCAUGAAAGGCCACUGUACAUAUUGGAAGAGCUUGUUUUGGACCAAAGAACUUGUGAAGCUAAGCCAAGGAGAGGCCCUGGUUGAGUUUUGUUGGUUGCAGAUAUGGCUAAGGUGCACUGUUGGUUUUGAUUUUGGAAUUUGACUGCAUCAGGUUCAGAUCCUCAUUCUUGUGCCGGAAUUUCAUUAUUCUUUUCAUUAGCUGGUUUUUUGGCAGCAAUUUUGCUUUUGUAAUUAGAAUUUGUAAAGUUAAUUUUUACACUCACGAUGACAAAGAUUAACAUAUUAGUUGAUUUGUUAUGUAAUGAUAGAAUAGGAUGUGUGACUCCUUUUUUCAUGUCUUCCACAUUUUCUUAUGAAUUUCUAAUGAGAGAGCGAGAGCAAGCAAGAAGCUAUAUGAUUUUUCAUUUGAGAGUCUUGGUAUGCCUUAUAAAGAGAUUUAGGGAGAAGAAAGAGAGAGAGGAAAGUGUUUCUGUAUUGAUGAGGAUUCAACCCAACCAUAGAAUGGGGAAUGAAGCAGUACAUAUAGGCAGUUGCAUAACAGAAUGAUAAAGCUGUUGACAGUUGUACUUAGAACUGUCUAACAGAAAACUAGUCUAACCUGAGUUAGUUAACUGUGAGAAACAGUUAACUAACCUUUGAUUACAAUAGAUACAGAAACUAAGUAAAAAACACUUAGGGAGUAAAAUACUACUCUCUUAUACCCCCCCCCCCCCCCCCCCCCCCCCCCAAAACAAACUCAGCAGUGGUUGGCAGAAUGCUUUUCAACCACUCUAAGUUUGCUCCUAUAUAUUACAAAUUGGAGGGUGAUAAAGCUUUGGUGAGGAUGUCAGCUCUCAGGGCUGCUGCUGGAACAUGGACAACUUGAAGCUGUUUGCUGAGAACCUUGUCUCUGACACAGAACAAAUCCAGCUCAAUAUGUUUGGUGGGGGAGUGUAGAAAAGGGUUAUGAGCAAGGGACACAAUACUCAUUUUAUCACAGAAAAUAACUGGUGGAGCAUGAGGAACUUUGAGUUCAGUCAGCAGCGACUGAAUCCAAGUUACUUCAGAUGUUGCCAAGGCUAAACUCCUGAACUCUGCCUCAGUACUAGACCUGGCCACAACAGAUUGCUUUUUGGACCACCAAGAGACAAGAUUUGGGCCUAAGAACACAGCAACACCUGAGGUAGACCUUCGAUCAUCAGGAUCUGAAGCCCAUUCAGCAUCACAAAAGGCAUGAACAAAGUAGUGCUUUGUAGAAAAAUUGGGUUCCAGUUUCAGCCCAAAAUGAAGUGUGCCCUUUAGAUACCUGAGGAUUCUUUUGACAGCAACCCAAUGCUGUUCUGUUGGCUGACUCAUAAAUUGGCAAACUUUGUUGACAAAGAAACUAAUUUCUGGAUGUGUGAUAGUAGCAUUCUGUAGAGCACCAACUACAGAGCGAUACAAGGUAGGAUCAGAAAAAUCCUCAGAACCUGUUUUGGUAAGCUUGCAGCCACCAACCAUAGGAGAAGAAAUAGAGUUAGCUUCAUCCAUAGCUGUCUUGGACAAGAGAUCCUGAAUGUACUUGGACUAAGUGAGCAUGGGAGAGCCAUUAGAGUGAUGAUUCACCUCAAUAUCAACAUACCAAAUCUCCCAAAUCCUUGAGUGCAAAUUCAGAAUUGAGGUUGAUAACUAAAGACUUGACAGUUGUUGGGUUAUUACCAGUGACAAUAAUGUCAUCAACAUAGACCAGCAUGUAGCAUUAUCUGAGUAGACAAAGAGUGAAGGAUCACAUUUGCUGGACUGAAACUUGUGAGCUAAGAGUGUAGAUUUUAGUUUGUCAAAUCAGGCCCUAGGGGCUUGUUAUAAACCAUAAAUAGCCUAGUGUAACUUGCACACAAGCUGCUUGUUUUCAUUCUCAAAACCCGAAGGCUGCUGCAUAUAAACUUCUUCUGUUAAAACACCAUUUAGAAAGGCAUUGUUGACGUCCAGUUGCUGUAACUUCUACUUGUUGGUGACAACUAAAGUGAGUAGGAUUCUUACAGUUAUUGGUUUAAUAAAUGAAGAAAAACUUUCAUUGUAGUCUUUUCCCAGUUGUUGAUGAAAGCCUUUGGCUACAAACCACACCUUGUACUUAUUAAUAGAGCCAUCUGGAUUCUCUUUUACACGAAACACCCACUUGCAACCGAUGGCAGAUCUGGAAGUAGGUAACUCAACCAAAGACCAUGUACCAUUGCAAAGUAAAGCAUCAUAUUCAACCUGCAUAGGUUGCUCCCAAGUAGGAUUAGAGAGUGUUGUUUUGACAUUCUUAGGUUCAGCAUGUGCUAGCAGUAAAGUGAGAUUGAGUCUAGGUUUCACUAUGCCAAAUCCUUGCUAGGUUAUAUCCUUGCUUCUGAAAAUGGCUUCCACAAACAACAAUUCUUCUCCGCCACUGGUUCCACCAGCGUCACGCUCCCCUGUCUCGUUCUCACACGCUGUAACGGCGAAACUCACGGAUUCCAAUUACCUUCUAUGGCGUUCUCAGGUUCAACCUGUAAUCAUCGGGCAUGGUCUUCUUGAUUACAUUCUCGCUCCGCAAAUUCCGCAGAAAUUUUUCAUCAUUGAAGAUCGCAACAACAACAUCGUUAGCGCUGCCUAUCGUUUCUAGGAGCAACAAGAUCAAUUGAUUUUCUCUUGGCUUCAAUCGACUAUAUCAGAAGUAGUUCUUCCUCGCAUCACCAAUUGCGCAACCUCAUGGCAUUUGUGGGAUCAAUUGCAUGAGCACUUUCAAUCCAUUGCACGUGUGAAGAAGAAGCAAUUGCUUAUUUAGCUUCUUUCUUCUUCUCUUGAGAAUCGCUCAAUUACUGCUUAUCUAUUGCACAUUCAAUCCCUAAUUGAUUCACUUGCAUCAAUUGGAGACUCGAUUUCAACGAGCACUCACAUCGACCUAAUUCUUGAUGGUUUGACUGAUGACUGUCGCACAAUUUGUACUAUUCUAAAUAAUUUGCGUGAUCCUCUAAGUCUGGACGAUGUCACUUCUAUGCUACUGGAUGAGGAAUCUAGUAUUGAAAAGUUUCGUAAGAAGAAUUUGGGCUCGUUGAAUCUUGUUGAGGGUUUGAAUUCCAAUUCUGCUUUUGAAGCUCAGGUUCAUCUAACUCGGGGUAACACACACUCCUCCUCAAACUAUGACUAUGUGUAUGGUAAUCAAGGGAGGGGUGAUGGUGGCUGUUUGUACGGUCGAGGUGGUCGUGGUGGAGCUCGUGGCAGAGGGCAUGGCAGAUUUGCUGAUGUUUAAAGUCAGAUUUGUCGUAAAUUUGGGCACGAAGCCUCUCAUUGCUCUGAUACCAUAAAGAGAUUAAGGGAAAAGAAAGAGAGAGAGAGUGAGAGAGUGUGUGUGAGAGAGAGAGAGGAAAGUGUUUCUGUAUUGAUGAGGAUUCAACCCAACCAUAGAUUGGGGAAUGAAGCAGUACAUAUAGGCAGUUGCAUAACAGAAUGAUAAAGUUUUUGACAGUUGUACUUAGAACCGUCUAACAGAAAACUAGCCUAACCUGAGUUAGUUAACUGUGAGAAACAGUUAACUAACCUCUGAUUACAAGAGAUACAAAAACUGAGUAAAAAACACUUAGGGAGUAAAAUACUACUCUCUUAUACCUUAGGACAAAUAUAUGUAUCUCACACUUCAUGAAUGAAAAACAGAACUUGGAUAUUGAGUUUUGGGAUUUUUCCAGUUGGAGAGAACUGACUCUCUUGGGUUCUUCAUUGAGCCAACCUCUGAUCUUAUCAAGGGACCUUAACCCUUGUGGCGAUCUCUUCCCCCAGCUUAUCCAUUCUCCUGAAUUGUGGCACCCUCCGUCUUGUCUCGUAUCAUUUGUUGUCACAUUGGCUACAUAUUUAGAAAUAACUCAAUGGGCAUUGUGGUAAAUAAGAUUAGAUUUGAGAUGCCUAUGUAUUGAAAAAGUAAAAUUGAGCAUUUGGAGCUGAAUUUAGUUUUAUCAACAGCAUCUUGUCCUACCUAGGAGCAGGAAACUGACAAAUUGAUCCAAAUAUCAUAAGAAAAUUUGGAAGGUUAAUAGGUUAUCAAAUUGACUUGAGAAACCAAUCAAUACUUAGACUUCACAAUAUUUUAUUAUUUUAUUGGAAUCUAGACUAAAGUUUUAUACACGAUAUACUUGAGUCUACUCAUUCAAUUCCCACUUGCUGUUGGUAGAUGAGGCCAUAAAUUCUUGCUUCACGGGAAAGUUUUCUUUUCAGUCUUGGGUCAAACUCAAGAGUUAUUUAAGUUUUAGAAUCUUGUAACUAUUAUAAGCAUAAAGUUGGAUGAUGAUAUUGUAAAGAAAAGGUUAACUUUGAAUGCAAGAAUGGUUGCCUCAAUGUUUCAGAUUCAUUUUUUUCACAAAAAAUUAUGGUUAAAACAAUUACCUUGGUUUUAUUUCAUAUAUAUAUAUACACACACACCAAAAGGUUAACUUAUGCGAUGAUUGAAGAGUUUAGUGAAUUUUUUUUACACAUUUGUUUAGAUAUGUGCAUCCAAUCCAAAAGCACAAAUCAAAUUUACCAACUUAAAAAAGGUUCUUUUUAUACACGCUACUUUAUGAAAAAAAUGUGUUAAAAAAAUUUAUCUGAAUUUCAUCCCUCUUUAUUGAAUGGAAUAUAACAUUGUCGUCAGGGUGUCCCCAUAAAAAGGAAAAAUGAAGAAAUAUUAAAGAUAUUGUGCCAAGGGAAGAAAACAAAAGGGGAGGUGAAAGUUGUUGCUUCUAAAGAAAAUUUCUUAAUUAAUUAUGGACCUAUGCUAGUUCUAGGCAUUGACAAACAGAAUCCGAUUCAUGUGUAUGAGAACACUCUAAUUAUAUUUAUUGUAUAACUCGUCAUUUGUUCAUUUAUGUUUUACUAUAUCACCUUAAUAACUAUGACUUUUCUUCUUGUUGAGUGUAAAAAGGCGUGCCUCAAUAUUAAGGCUUUAUGUGCUUCGUCAAUGAGGCAUUAAUUGGGGAUUAAGAUUUUAUACUGUUAAGCAUUGUGGUGUAAUUAUAUUAAAGAGGUGUAAUUAUAUUAAAGAGAGAAAAAAAAUUCUAUUAUGUAUAAUUAAUGAGUUACAAUUAAUAAAAAAUAAAUUCCAAAUUCAUUUCAUUAUUUUAUCUAUAAAAUUUCCAUAAGAGUAUAAUAUAAAUAAGAUGAUUGUGUUGUGUGUAUUACUUGAAUAAAGUUUAACCUUGUUGAGAGCAGUAUAAUAAAAAUAAACGUAUUAUUUUAUCUAAUAAUAUUCCCCUCUUCAGCCACCGAAUAACUUUAUGCUUGCAGAUGCCUGAUAUUGAGUCUGAUUUUCUUUAUGCUAAUUUUCAAACCUUCUUUUACCCUAGAGUUGGCUUUUUAUUACCUUUUCUUUUCUUUUCAAAUCCACCAAAUCAAACAACAUAAAUAUGAUAAAAUUCUAAAUGUCUCAUCACGUUUAAUUCUUCUUGCUCCAUUUUAAACGCAAAUAUAUCACCAACUACAAUACAUUGCCGGAUUGUAGCUGAAAUAAAGGCAUAUAUAACAUGUCAUUGCAUUAAAGAGGCUAGCUAGGCCCAAAUUAUGAUCACUACUCUGAUCUUGCUGACUUUGAACACACUACUAAUACUACCGAAGCUGAUACCAUUGCAUAAAGUGGAAAGAGCCUCUGCUAGAAAGGUCAAUUGCUUCUUCACUUUAAAGGCUUUAUUAUAUAACCUGAAUGGCUACUAAAAAUGUGUAUGGCAACUACUUGUCUUGUUCCCUGGAUAUUCCUUUCUUCAGAAGAAAAAGUGUAAUCUUGAUUAGGCACCAUGAUGUCUAAGGUCUCUUGGGAUUAUUAACAUGUGAUCACUAUUCAGUAUAACCCUAAUAGCGGUCUAGUUGGGCGACCGCCUAGGGUUUCAUUUUUAGGGGAAAACUAAAUUUUUUAUAUAGUUUAUAUAAAUUUUAAAAGAAAUUUUUAUAUAAUUUUAAAAUUAUAUAAAAUUUAUUAUAAAAAAUAAAAUAAUUUUCAAUAAAUUUCUUUUAGGGAAACAAUACCAGUAAUUGGUCAAUUAAUAGUGAUGUUUUCACUUAUUAACAAAAUUUAUUCAUCAUUGAGAAAAAUAAUCGACAAUUUAGAUACAAUAUUGAGCGUAAAAAAGAAGAGUAUGACAUAUUAUUUCCUUCAAUUUCCAUUAGCCUUAACAUAAUUACGUAAAAAAAUGUUCUUGAACAAAAAAUUACAAUGGUUAUGAUUUAAACUUCAACAAAAAAUGAUUCAAAAUCAAAAACUAUGAUAUUGAGUUAUUUGAAAAUAUUUAAUUGUUUUCCUAAUGCGUUUACAACUUAUAAAAUAAUAUUAGCUAUUGUUACUACUAUAGCAUAUACUAAAAGAAGCUAAUUUAUCAAAUUUGAAAUGAUUAAAAUCCUAUUUGAAACAAUGACACAAGACAAAUUAAAUAAACUAACUUUGAUUUCUAUUGAAAAUGAUUAUUUAAAAAUCUUGGCCAUGCACAAAUAAUUAAUGAUUUUGCCAAAAAAAAUGCAAGAGGAUCAAAUUCAAGGGAUUAAAAGAAGGGUAUAAUUUUUUCAAUUCGCCCAAGACAACAAAAAUCUCAGGGCCGGCCCUAUCACUAUUCCUGGAAUUUCAGUAACAAGGAAGGACUUAUGAUUUAAAACAGGGAUGCUGAAUGUUGUUUCAGCUAUCAAAAAUAUAUUAAUACACUCUUUGUCAUAGGCAGUGCUACAUAUAAUAAAUGCUUAUUACAGAAUACCGGAAUGUUAGCUUAACAUUAGAAAACUAUUUUGCACUAAGAGCACAAUAGCUGUAAACCAAUGAGCCCCCGUCAUUUUCAAACUUUGAUUACACAUUAGUGCUUCAUAACUUCCAUCCCUAUAAUCAAGUAAGACUUUAAUUACAAUUUAGGUAUGAGUCAUGUGUCCCUUUAUAUUCCUCAUUAUUUUUAUUGGCUUUUCUAUUUCUGUUAACGUUUUCUUUUCCUUUCCUUUGACUUUCCUAUUACGUUUCCUACUCCAAAGCACAGGAAUAUUAAAGAUUUAGUGUGAAGAAGGCUUUUAAAAAGGCUAUCAAGUCAGACUAGGUUUUUAAAAAGGCUAGACCGAGCCAAAAUAAAAGCUUUUGAUAGGCUAUAAGUCAGGCUCAGACCUCAAAAAUUCAUCGUAGGCUAGGCUCAGGCCUUUUAAAGCCUGACCUAGCCUGGCCUAUUCCUACCCCUAGUAGGCACUGACAAUACUGUGUUUGGUUCCAUAUCUCAAAUGUGGCUUUUCACGUUUGCUGAGAAGGUAAUAGUUACUUCCACAUUACAAAUGUGAUAUUUUACUUCUCAAAGGACUUCUAAACACGCUACAAGCUGAUUUGAGGGAUUUCAGUCGUGAACCAAUGCAUUUCUCCCCUGCAGACAUGGACUUGAGUGUUCAAUUAUAAUUUGAUGGAUACAAAUGUCUGACUAACAAACUCAUUCAAAACCAGAUCUAUUGGUCAAGGAAAUGGUACUAUUAGACUAAGAAAGUUGCAUAUGAAAAUUUGUGUUCUCCUAUGGAGAAUUCAACAUUAAAUAGUGCUUAUACAAUUUGAUUUUUACAUUUGUGCAUUAAAUAGCCAAACUGCAAUAAAUGUUAUUUUAUAGUUGGGAUAACUAAUUAUGGAGAUAAUUACAACUAUAUAAUCAUGUAAGAUCUAUUGUUUUGAAUGGCCAACAAAUCUGUGCCAAUAAUAACAAAUUUCUGCAAUUUGUACCAAUUAAUAACUAAUAUUUUGCUAAUCAAUUCCAUUGACAUUCCCCCUCAAAUUGAUGUUGGUAAGUCUAAAAGCAUCAAUUUGCGAACUAGGAAAUUAUGGCGUUGAUGUGUCAAGGAUUUUGUGAGAAUGUCAGCGAGUUGAACAGAUGUAGAAACAUGAGGCAAGGUGAUAACUCAAUGGUCAUACACCUCCGGGUUGAGUGACAAUCAACCUCUAUGCGCUUUGUUCUUUCAUGGUUAACGGGAUUUGUGGCAAUUUGAAUGACACUUGUAUCGUCAGCAUGCAGUGAGUUAAUUUUGCUUUUGAAAAACCAAGCUUUAAAAGGAGACCGCGCAUCCAAAUAAUCUCAGAGCAUGUAGCAGACAUGGCACGAUAUUCUGCUUCAGUGGAUGAUUUGGAGACUGGGUCUUGUUUCUUGCAUUUCCAAGAGAUUGGAGCUUCCUUUAAGAACAUACACCAGCUAGUAGAAGAUUUUCGUGUGUCUGGACAUCCAACCCAAUUAGAAACACUGCAUGCUUGAAGAUGUGUUGAUGCACCAGUAGGGAAGAAAAAUCCAUGACUGGAAAUGCCAAUUAGAUAAUUAAUAAUAUGGUGUACUGCUAAAAGAUGCAAAUGCCGAGUAGGGAAGAAAAAUCCAUGAUUGGAAGUACCAAUUAGAUAGUUAAUAAUAUAGUGUGCUGCUAAAAGAUGCAAAUGCCUAGGAAAUUGCAUGAAUUAGCUAACUAUGUGAACAACAAAUGAGAUGUUAGGUCUGGUGAUGGUUAGGUAAAUAAGACUUUCAACUAGCUUACAAUAGAAAGUUGGGUCUUGUAAAAGGUCACCUUCAUCUCGUCGCAAUUUUAGAUUAAUUUUUGGAGUGUCAGCAGGAGCAGAAUUAGUAAGACCAACUAAUUGAAUUAGAUCUUGAAUAUAUUUGUGUUGAUUGACAAAAAUGUCUUUUUGUUGAAAGUGUACUUUUAAUCCCAAGAAAUAAGCGAGUUGACCAAGGUCUUUCAUGUGAAAAGUUGAAUGCAAUAGUCUCUUGAUUAUACUAAUAGUCUCUAGAUUUGAUCCGGUGACCAUAAUAUCGUCCACAUAAGCAAGAAGUAUAACAAUUCCUUUUAAGCUCCUUUGUAUGAAAAGUUAUCAUACCUGCUUUGUAUGAAGUAAAAACCAAGCAGUGUUGUGAGAAACUUUUCAAACCAUAUUCUUGGUGCCUGUUUUAAUUCCUAUAAAGAACGUUUUAGCUUGCAAACAACAUUAGACAAAGGUGAAGGCAUAUCGGUAGGAAGUCUUAAGUAAAUUUCCUCCUUGAGGUCACCAUGGAGGAAUGCGUUCUUAACAUUCAUUUGGUGUAUUUGCCAAGUAAAAUUAUUUUUAAUUUCAAGUGACUUAGAUUUCAUUAAUAAAAUCUGUUCAAAGUAAAAUUAUAAGAUGGACAACAACUUUUCAAAAUUGAAAAAAAAAAAAAAAGAAAACUCACCCUGAAACUAAAAAUUAGAAAUCACACAAAAUGGGACCUUAAUUGGUUACGAGUUGAAUACCUAAUGGGACCUUAAUUUUUUACUUUCUCUUAACCAAUUUAUAUCUGUGCCAACAACUCUAGUUUUUUUUUUUUUUAUUUCUUAAAUAAGAGUCCAUCACUUGUAUUAUAUUGUUAUUUAUUAAAUAACUAUUGUUUAAUUAAAAUAAUGAGUUAAUUUUAUGUAAUUAUACUUACGUAGUACGAUCUAAAGCUUUUGCUGCUUGAACUACUAUCUCCACAAACACUUGGGUUGAUUUCUCUCAAAACAGUGACAAUAUUUUAAAUCUUGCAAAAAUAUCAUACAUUUUUAAAUAUUUAUUGAAUUAUUUAAUUUACUUUUUAAUAAUAUAUAUAGUACAUUAACAUUAAAAUACACUCUAACUAAAUAAAAUUUAAAGUAAUUUUAGUGUUUAACCUGUGGGUCUAAAUUUAGUUUAAUUUAAUUAUCAAGUUUGUUCCCAUUGUAAAUAAGCUUCUUUUUUUUACUAAACUAGUCUGAAAGCAUUUUUUUUUCAAUUAAUCCGUGUAAGGAUAGAAAGAAUUUUUAUAAAUUUCCUAUUUAUUUUUUAGUUAAUUAGUGUGGUUUCCAAUCAUUGUUUAUUUAUUCUUCUGUGUGUGAGCAAGAGUCUGAACUUUCACUGUUAAUUUUAUCUCAUAUUAGACAGAUUUAUAAAUUUCAAUGUGCAAUAGUAAGGAAAACUGUCAAGAAAAUAAGGUUUUUUCAUUUCUUUCUCUGAUCGUUGCAGGUGUAACACUAGGAAUUCAUAAUGAAUUAAUGAGCAGCAAAGGACCAGAGAUAUUGCUUCUUCCUCUAACUCUUCUCUAGUAUCAUUUAAAAAGUAUGAUGUUUUUCAAAGUUUUCGCGGUAAAGACACGUGAUAACUUCACAAGCUAUCUAUAUGAUGCUUUGACUAGAGAUAAAAGUGAAACUUUUAUAGACAAUUGGCUUGAAAAGGGAGAUGAAAUCUCACCAGCACUCAUCAAAGCCAUCGAAAAUUCUCAUACAUCUAUUGUCAUCUUCUCAGAGAACUAUGCUUCCUCAAAGUGGUGCUUAAAUGAACUCAACAAGAUUAUGGAAUUCAAGAAAGAAAAAGAACAAAUGUGAUACCGGUGUUUUACUAGGCAGAUCCAUUCCAUGUAAGUCACCAGACAGGGAGCUGCAAGGAAGCCUUUGCUAAACACGAGGGACAUUCCAUGUACUGCAAAUGGAAAGCUGCUCUCACGGAAGCAGCCAAUUUAUCUGGGUGGCACUCUCAAAAUAGGUAAAAUUUUCUGAAAUAAAAUAAUGAGAAAGAUGUCAAGUCAUUGUUUUAAAUUGAGUUUGCUGGGAGGAAAAUACCACCUUGUGUGCGCUCAAGGUUCCCGAUGAAGAUUUAUGACUGCUUUCAGCAUGGACAACUUACCAAUACCAUGGUUACCAAAAAAAAAUUGAGUUUGCCAUAUUUAACUCUAAAUUGAGUGUACUUUUGUAGUACAACAACUUUCUUGCUAGUUUGUUUCAUAGAAAAAGCAAAAGUUGGUUAUGUUCUCUGAGUCAAUGAAUUUUCAAUCCCCAAUUAUAUGUUUUUGUUUCUUUCUCUACUUUACUACCAUAUUGAUCAUAGGUUUUGUACAAUAAUUUUGUGUAGUUUUGUUUUUCUUUCUUUUCAAUUUGUUAGACUUAUAACACAUCAUUUAUUUCUCUGUUUCCCUUUUCUUAUGCUAGAACUGAGUCUGAACUCCUUAAGGGCAUUGUUCGAGAUGUUUUGAAAAAAUUGGCUCCUACGUACCCAAAUCAGAGCAAAAGACUGGUUGGAAUUGAGAAAAGUUAUGAAGAAAUUGAAUCAUUACUGAGAAUUGGGUCAAGUGAAGUUAUAACCCUUGGAAUAUGGGGCAUGGGUGGCAUUGGUAAAACCACCCUUGCUACUGCAUUAUAUCACAAACUGUCUUAUGAUUUCGAAGGUCGUUGCUUCCUUGCAAAUGUGAGGAAAAAAUCAGACAAGCUCGAAGAUUUACGUAAUGAACUAUUUUCUACAUUAUUAAAGGAAAACAAACGUCAGUUAGAUGGUUUUGACAUGAGCAGGCUUCAAUAUAAAAGUCUUUUCAUUGUCCUGGAUGAUGUGUCUACCCGAGAGCAAUUAGAAAAACUAAUUGAAGAAUAUGAUUUCAUGGGAGCAGAAAGUAGAGUCAUUGUUACAACUAGAGAUAAGCACAUACUUAGCACAAAUCAUAAAAUAUAUCAGGUUGACAAAUUGAACUGUGAUCACUCUGUUGAGCUUUUCUGUUUUAUUGUUUUUGGAGAAAAAAAACCUAAACAAGGGUAUGAAGAUCUAUCAAGAAGAGUAAUUUCCUAUUGUGAAGUUGUUCCUUUGGCUUUAAAGGUUCUAGGAGCAAGUCUUCGUGAAAGAAAUAAAGAAGCAUGGGAAUGUGAAUUGAGAAAACUUGAAAAGUUUCCAGACAUGAAAAUUCUUAAUGUAUUAAAAUUAAGUUAUGAUGGCUUGGAUCGUCCUCAAAAGGAUAUAUUUUUAGACAUUGCAUGUUUCUUCAAAGGAGAAGAAAGAUACUGGGUAACAGGACUACUGGAAGCUUUUGAUUUCUUUCCAACAUCUGGGAUAAAAGUCCUUUUAGAUAAAGCUCUCAUAACAAUUUCAAAUGCCAACCAAAUAGAAAUGCACGACUUAAUACAAGAAAUGGGUCAGGAUCUAUGAAGCACCGACACCGACAUCGGACACGACACGGACACGAACACGUGGACACCUGAAAUGUUGAAAAUGUAGAACACGGACACGGCUAUAUAUAUAUAUAUAUAAUUCAAUAAAAUAAAAUUACAUAAAAUUAAAUAUGAGCGAUAUGCAUAAAAGAUCUAAAUUGAAAAUUAAGAUUUAUAUAUUCAUCAUCAUCUCAAAAGAACUUUUCCUACGAUAAUGAGUCACAAAAAAUACUAAAAAUUAUAAAGCAAGAUGAUGAAUUAGCAACUUCAAGUCUUCAAGAAUUCCACAAACUAGCCAUCAUCAUUGAAAAAGACACCCUCUAACUCUGGUUCAUCUAAAGACAAACUAGCAAUUUCAAGAAUACCACAAUCAUCAAGUGACCCAAAAUCAUCUCCAGCUACAUCCCACAUUUUAGUUUCCUCUUGAUGAUAUUGUGGAGUAUUCCUUGAGAGAAGUCGUAGGUUGCUAUGAAAAGAAAAGAAAAGCUUGCGGGGAAGGAAAACCAGGCAGCAAGAAAAGAAAAGAAAAGCUUGCGGGGAAGGAAAACCAGAGGCAUCAGGCAGCAAGAAAAGAAAAAUCAGAGAAUAAAUAAGAAGCAAAGCUUACCUGCGCGGGGAAGGAAACCAAUGCGGCAAUGGAGGUGCUUGCGGGAAGAAGAAGGAGAAGACACAGAAUGGCAGGUAUUUUUUUUGUAAGCAUUUUAAAAUAAAUAAUAAAAAAACCUAAGGCUCUUAAUGGGCCGCGACGCGCGUGUCUACGUGGUGGGCCGCGUCCAAACAGAGGUGUCCUCCUGUUCAACCGCGUCCGGUGACGGCGCCGGCGACGGACACCGCGUCGCACCGGAGUCGUACGCGCAUGGGUGUCCGGUGCGAGUCCGACACGGGACACGCCGAUGAUGAGCCGCGUCCGUGCUUCAUAGGUCAGGAUAUUGUUCAAGAAUCCGAAAAAUACCCUGGAAAAAGAAGUCGGUUGUGGAAACAUGAGGAAGUGCUUGAUGUAUUGAAAUAUAACAAGGUAAGUGGUAGAUGCAAUUGUUAUAUUAGAUAAUAUGUAUCCUUUUUUGAAUGUAGCUAGUCUUAGCUAAUUGUUAUUCAUUUAUUCUAAUGUUUGUUUGUCAGGGAACUAAUGAUGUUCAAGGCAUAAUUUUAGAUUUGGAUAAAUUGAUAGGGGAUCUAUAUUUGAGCUCUGAUUUCCUUGCAAAGAUGGCUAACCUGAGAUUUCUUAAAAUCCAUAAAAAGUGCAGGUGGCAUGACAGAUAUAAUGUGUACCUUGGUGAUGAUCUUGAGUCAUUGUCCGAUAAAUUGGGGUACCUUCACUAGGAUAGAUGUUCUCUUAAGUCUUGGCCACCUAACUUUUGUGCAGAACAACUUGUAGAGCUUCGCAUGAGUUUUACAGAUGUUAAAAAGCUUUCGGACGGAGUUCAGGUAUGAAAAUAUGGCUAUGCAUGAUACAUUUUGCUCAGAUUUUUCUUUAAGUUAAGGUUCACAAUUAUGAUUUUGGAAAUUUCUAAACAGUGUGAUGCAUCUUUUUGCAGAAUCUUAUGAAAUUAAAGUCAAUUGACCUUUCAUUUUCCGACAAGCUGGUGGAGAUCACAGACUUAUCUAAGGCAGAAAAACUUGAAAAAGUUUCUCUUGCUUGCUGUUAUCGCUUGCGUCAGCUACACUCAUCCACGUUAUCUCUUCCCAAGCUUGCAUAUUUGAAUCAAAAGUACUGCAGAAAUAUUGAAAACCUUGAAAGCAAUGUUCAUUCAAAAUCUGUCAAUGAACUGACACUCAGUCAUUGUUUAUCGCUCGAGAAAUUUUCAGUGACAUCAUAUGAAAUAAAAGUAUUGAGCUUAUCUAACACCUAUGAAGCACCGAUACCGACACCGACACCGACAUCGGACACGACACGGACACGGACACGUGGACACCUGAAAUGUUGAAAAUGUAAGACACGGACACGGCUAUAUAUAUAUAUAUAUAAUUAAAUAAAAUAAAAUUACAUAAAAUUAAAUAUGAGCGAUAUGCAUAAAAGAUCUAAAUUUAAAAUCAAGAUUUAUAUAUUCAUCAUCUCAAAAGAACUUUUCCUACGAUAAUGAGUCACAAAAAAUACUAAAAAUUAUAAAGCAAGAUGAUGAAUUAACAACUUCAAGUCUUCAAGAAUUCCACAAACUAGCCAUCAUCAUUGAAAAAGACACCUCUAACUCUGGUUCAUCUAAAGACAAACUAGCAAUUUCAAGAAUACCACAAUCAUCAAGUGACCCAAAAUCAUCUCCAGCUACAUCCCACAUUUUAGUUUCCUCUUGAUGAUAUUGUGGAGUAUUCCUUGAGAGAAGUCGUAGGUUGCUAUGAACAAAUACUAAAUCUUCAGCUCUAUGUGGUGUCAUCUUGUUUCUCUUUAAAGAAUGGAUAAAUGAAUAUGUACUCCAAUUCCUUUCACAACAAGAAGAUGAACAAGGUUGCGCAAGUAGCUUAAGGGCAAUCUUUUGAAGUAUUGGAGCAUUAAUGCCAUGAACUAGCCACCAAGCUUUUGGAUCCAUUUGACCUCUAUCAUUUAAAGAAUCAAGAUCAUCAAAGCCUUCUCUUCCAUCCGAGAAGUUGGCAAACUCAAUAUUCACUUUCCUCCUUACAUCCACAUCAAGAAAGAACCUCUUAAAGCAUUUUAAUCUUUCACGAGUGAGUUCCAUGUCUUGAUGUGGAGGAACUCGAUUAGAAUCUUCACUUAACCAUUCAUGACUAUAAUAUCUACAAUUAAAAAGAAAUAUAUACAUGAUUAAAAUUUAUGUAAUUCUAAAAAAAAUGUAAGUAAAAAAGUAUAGAGUCAAUUACCUAGGAUUUAAAGAAUGAGCUAAACAAUGGAGAGGAGUGCUACUCUUAGUCCAACGGUCAAUUAAUAUGGAGUGCACUACCUCAUAAAAGGUUGAUCCUUCACUCUCUUCCUUUCUCUCAUAUUGAUAUAUGGCAUUCUUCACUUUUUCAAUCAUUGAAUCCCACAUCUCAUAUACUAGAUGGAGAGAUGAAGCUUUUGUAUCCGUUCUUCUAAGAACAUCAUAGAUAGGGCUAGUGAAAGAAAGAAUAUAAUCAACCUUAUCCCACCAUUUAUCAUCUAACAAAGUAUCUUUCACAAAUUUAGCCUUUGCAACAUCAUCUUCCUUAUAAGAAGACCAUUGGUCACUAAUGACCAUUUCUUGGAGUCCUUUCUUCAAUUGCUUGAAUCUCUUGAGCAUUACAAUAGUGGAGACAAAUCUUGUUGGAGCAAUGGAUAACAAUUUCAAUGAAUUGAAAAUUGAUAGUCUCAUAGAGUGACUCAUGACAAAGUUUUUCACAAACAUUGCAUCAUCCGCAAUUUGGGUGAUCCAAGAACAUUCUUCAUAAGCAACAUUAUUUUUUUCUGUAUUCUUGGCUGCACAUAUGUUCUUCAAAGCAAGAUUUAAUGUAUGGACAACACAUGGAGUCCAAUAAAUUGAAGGAAACUCAGCCUCAAUUAUUAAACCUGCUACUUUACAAACGGCUGCAUUAUCCAUCACAAUUUGCACAACAUUUGAGUGUCCGACCUCCAUAAUUACCUCCCUCAUAUGUUUGGCAAUGAAAUCCUUGUCUUUGAUCUCAUUUGAACAAUCAAUGGCCUUUAAAAACAUAGGUCCACUCUCCGUGACAACCAUGAAAUUAAUAAGAGAUCUUCUUUGCGGGUCACUCCAUCCAUCACUAACAAUGCUCACACCCUUCUGGCUCCAUGCAUUUUUAAUUGGUUGUAAGAAAUUCUCCACAUGUCUUCUCUCGUUUUGAAGUAAUGUUGUCCUUAAUUUAUUAUAACCUGGAGGUUGGUAACCACUGAUCUGAUUGUUGGCAGCAUAGGCAAAUGCCUUCCUAUAAUGAGGAUUUCUUGCUAAAUGAAAAGGCAGCCCCGAAGAGUAAAACAUCCUAGCAAUUUCAUGAUCAAGUGUCUCUCUAGCUUGCAAAUUAAAGGCAUUUUCUACAGAUGAUGUCUUUCUCUUUUUUGGAUCAACACCAAGAGUGUUUGUAUCCAUUUGGUGUUGAGUAGAAACUGGAGGCAAUGACACAGAUUUUGUUUUUGACCUCUCCACCCUCAAUGUAGCCUUCUUGUCUAUCUUCUUCAAAUCUAUAAGUUUGGCAACUGUUACCUUUUGACAAACUCUAACUCCCUUUCCUGUCAUCUUCAACAAGUGCGCCCUCACUCUAGUGUAAGACCCAUUAAAGGUAAAAUCACAAAUAUUGCAUUUUAUCUCAUAAUUUCCACCACCAGCUACACUUUUUAUCUUUGUAACAUAGGUCCAUAAAGGUUUGGUAUCAUCAUCUUGUUCUUUAGCUUGACUAGGACUAGAAGCACUCAUCUCUACAACAAUUUAAAAAAAUAAAAAAUUAAUGUAAAUAAUUUCUAAAUAAAAAACAAACAACAAAAAGCAAUUUGUAAUCAAUGUUGACCGGGAAUGUGAAAAUAAAUAAGUUCCAAAAACAUGUACAUGACAAAUACAUAACAAAUUUAAGUAAAUAUUUGACUAUUUACUUUCACAUUGAAAAAUUAAUUUUAAAAUUUAACUUUAGAAAGAAAUUCUAAGUUGAGCAUCUUUACAUAACUUUUGGAUUUAACAAAAAAAUUCAUUUUCAAUUUUACUAUUAACUUAUUUUUUAAAUAAAAAUAUCCAAAACACAUGUGCAAAUUGCUUCAAUACAACUUGUCUCACAGCAUUAAAGCACAGGAAUUUAAUUACACACAGUACCCUUGCAGCCAUCCACACAUAUCACCAAGAAAAAAACACACACCACUGCUCCACACGAUUUGGAAAGCGAGAAAGCUGAUCAUCACUAACUUUAAUUAAAGCAUUUUAGAAAUAUAAUCCAUUUUUUUAAAUUAACCGUAGAAAUAUCGUCACUCUUUAAAUCUCUUGAGUCUUUAAUUUAGAGAAGCUAAAUUCAAAAUAGAAAUAUCAAGAAAGCAACAUGUGGGGAUCAAAAGUAAAGAGACUCCCAAAAAGCAUCAGGCCAACAAGGGAGUCUCUCAAUUGAGGAAUAUUUUCCUGGUUUUCAAAAUAAAGUGGAAGGCCUACGUGUUUUUUCAAUGAGAAGUUGUUUUUUACAAUAAAAUAAAGGUAAAUGCAUUUAAGAGGGAAAAGUGGUAUGCGUGUGUGAGAGAGAGAAAACAGUCUUUACAAUAAAAUAAAGUGGGAAUGAAAAUAAGAUAGUUGUUUAUUUUUGGUCGAAGAGAUAUACAUUUUGGUUGUGCCAACAUUGGUACAAUUUAUUUGUUUAGGUAGGUACAUUUGAUUAAUCGGUAUACGGUGUUAUUGAAGGCUCGAAAAUUGAUUUGAAAAUUCUUUCAUAUUUGGUGUUGUACUUGUCAUGUCCAUUCAUGAAAAAGGUAUUUUGUUUGCACUAGUCCUACUAGACCGAUUAAGUUUUCACAGAUUAUAACCAAUAAUAAUGAGGAAACAAGUGACUAGGUAACAAAAAAUAGUGGCUUAAUUUGCAAGGAAAAGAAAGAAAAAAAGGGUUUAUCUAAAAAGUGAUGAAAGCUAAAGGAUAAUAGACGUUGGAAGCUUGAAAGGAAUGAGGUUUUGUGGGGUUUCUCUUUGUCUACAUGUCUUUUGAGGGAAUUAAGAGAUGCCCCAUAUUGUCUUUCAGUAUCAAAGAAACUAACGUUUGUCACAGAAUCCACCAAUAUAUAAUUAAUUAAUUAAUUAAUUAAUUAAUAUAUAGUAUAUGUUUAGUGGGGCUUCUCACUUGACCUUUACCAAAACCAAUACAAAAAGAAAAGGAUGGGAGUGCAGUAAGGUGGACAGUUGUUUAUCUUUUGAAAUAAGAUGGAUAAAUAAUUAAAUAGUGAAGUUGACUAUUUCACAGCAAAAAAGGUAAAUGCAUUUAGAAGCUCCUAGAUGUUGGCAUGUCAUAUUCUAAUGAAUAAGCCUUUGUAAAGUGGUAUGUGUGUGUGUGUGAAAGAGAGAAAACAGCCUUUACGUGCUGAGAAGUUGCUUUUUACAAUAAAAUAAAAAAAAUGGAGAAACGUGUAAUACCCAGCGGAUAAUAGCCAAAGAGAGAGAAUGUGUAAAUGUUUAAAGAAUAAAGUGGAAAACCAGAGGCAUCAGGCAGCAAGAAAAGAAAAAUCAGAGAAGAAAUAGGAAGCAAAGCUUACCUGCGCGGGGAAGGAAACCAAUGCGGCAAUGGAGGUGCUUGCGGGAAGAAGAAGGAGAAGACACAGAACGACAGAAGAGGUAUUUUUUUUGUAAGCAUUUUAAAAUAAAUAAUAAAAAAACCUAAGGCUCUUAAUGGGCAAUGACGCACGUGUCUACGUGGUGGGUCGCGUCCAACCAGAGGUGUCUUCCUAAUCAACCGCGUCUGGUGACGGCGGAGGCGACGGACACCGCGUCGCACCAGAAUCGUACGCGCAUGGGUGUCCGGUGCGAGUCCGACACGGGACACGCCGGUGAUGAGCCGCGUCCGUGCUUCAUAGUCUAACACUGCUAUAAAGUGCAUUGUCAGCAUCAAUUGGUGACUUAUUGUCUUUAGAAGUGUUAGACCUAAGUAGGAGCAAACUUAAGAGCUUUCCUGAAAACAUCAAAAACCUUUCAAAGUUAACAUGGCUACAAUUAGAAGGUUUGUGAGAAACUCGUGUCUCUGCCAGAGCUUCCAUCAUCCUUGAGAAAGCUUAAUUUAAAUUAUUGCUGGGAACUCGAAUCUCUGUCAGAGCUUCCACCGUCCCUGAGAGAACUUCCUUUAGAUAAUUACAAGAAACUUGUGUCUCUGCCAGAGCUUCCACUGACUGUGAAAAAGGUGACUGCCUAUAACUGCAUUUCUCUGAAGACAAACAUCACACAAGGACUAAAUAUCUUAAAAAUUCUGAGUUUGGUAGUCUUGAUUAUUUCAUCUUUCCGGGAGACCAUGUCAACAAAGAGUGUGAGUUUAAUGCAAUAAAGAGUUUAAUAACUAUUUCUUAUCUUCCUAAAUCUGACUUGUUCGGUUUCAUUUACUGCAUCAUUUUUUUCCGGGAAAGAUAGUUGUUGGCAUAAUGAUGGUUCAAUUCAUAUCUAUCAAAGUAGGAUAGAGCUGGGCCUGGAAAACAUACCUAUGCGAUGCUUUAGCCAUUUAGAUUCAGCUCACAUGUUCUUUUCUUAUGUUGACAUUAGCCGAUUCGGCAGAAUAAGUGAAGUAAAUGAUCAAUUUGGCAACAUAACAUUUAAAUUUGAACUUGAAGUCAAUAAAGACAGCAUAAAAGGGUGUGGGAUUGAUAGGAAGAAGGACGUACGUGAGGAAGAAGCAAGAAGGACGUAUACGAGGAAGAAGCAGGAGUGUCCAACUGGCAUGAGGGCUAACUCAAGAUGUGAGAUCCUGUCCAUGCAUCCCAUGAACACACAGGGGCAUUGAUCUUGUCUAGGCAUGAUCAGGUACACAUAGAGGCCACAACAGGUACUAAGGUAGUCAUCAUAGCAUCCUUAAACUCUUCCCAUAUUAAGGUAAGGAGAACUAAGAUUUAUCUCGCUAAUCAUACAACUAUCAUCAAUAAUCAUUUAGGUCACCUACCUUGCGCAAGAAUGCUCACUCUCGAACUCUUCCAUGCUUAGUGAUUAACGCCCUACUAACUACCUUACUCGCUUCUUAAGGUUUCACACUAAACCUCUUAACUAUUUUUCACAAGUUUUCCAACUACUCUAUACCAAACAUUUUCCAAGAACUAUGGUUACAAGUUUCUAUAGGUCCUACACCUAGAAGAUUCUCAAUCUCACACUUAGGUGGUAACUAAGCAUAUCCUUAAGGAACACAAGCACAUGACUUACUAAGUUUAACUUUCGUUUACAAAUAACAAGGAUCAUACAUACUCACGUAUUUCCUCUCGAAACAUCUUAACGUGAUUGACAACGGCGAAGUCUCUCUCUAUUCGUAACAGAAGUAAUAACAUGACAAUAUAUCAAAUAGUUUAACAAGACAUGAUUGGAAGAUGAGCAACUCAUAACAAGAUGAACACUCGAUUGAUUAGGAGACAAUACUUUUAAAUCAAGAAUGAUCACUUAUCCAGAAUCAACAACAGAUAUUCCAAAUGAAUUUUAGAAAUGAAAAUAUGAUCACAAUGUACGCACAUAUGGAGACAUCAACUAUCGCUUGAUUGUGAUAGAAACAUCAAUAAUCCACUUGUUUGAUGUAGGCUCAUAACACAAAGAAUGAAUUAUACUCAAGCAUGCAAGUGUAAUCGAGUUACUUGACUUCAACACGCAACACAAAAAUAGGUUGCCCUAGAAUCAGAAGGUACAAUCAAAGAGUAUUCUUUAUGAAUUAUAUCUCGAUAUGAGUAAUCAAACUAUAGAGUAUUAGCAUCACUAAGAACAAAAAAUCACAAACAACCAUACUCUCUAUGCAAUUAAGGUAGAACAUCAUACUACAAGUAUACAUAGAAUUAUAAGGUUCAUAUAACAAGUAUAUAACAAACAUAUAAGAAUAAAGAAUUAAAUAGUCACUAAGGAUGUAUUAAGGAAUCACAAACUUCAAUAACUACACACAAAAUAAAGGGAGUUAAGUAGUCAUGUGUUUACACAUCAAGAAAGGCACACUCAUCCAAGACAUAUAUAUGGUUCAAAAGGUUUUCACAACACUAAUCCACACAUCAAGAUGCAAAUAAGUUUAUUAACAACAUACACGCAGGAAGAUAAGGGCUCAUUAAGGCAUUAUCCAUCAAUAUCAAGGCUUCUUGCAUCAUCUAACGGCUUGCCAUAAUGUCCAACCGCAAUUCAAAAAUUAUAGAGAUGGUCAGUCUCAUAACUCAUGACUCAACAAUGGAUUUAUGGUAUAGCAAACAUUAAGGAUGCAAGACACAUGCAAGCAUUAUUAGUAAGUCUCAUUUGAUCGUACAUAAGAAAAUACAAAUAAUAAUUUAAGCAUGCUAAACAAAAGUACUCAUAAGUAACCACACAGAGUGCACAUCAGAAUACAGUAAGCACAUAACACACUAGCCAAAAGGUUCAACCUGCUCUGAUACCACUAAAUGUGACACCCUCUACCCCUCACAUAUAUAUACUAAUAAAGGAAUACAAAUUCAAAUAUGAAUUAAAAGUAUUUUUAAAACAUUUUUAAAUGCAAGUCUUUCAAAGGGGUAAAAGACUCACAUUCACUUUCUUCUACAUCAUAUUCAAACUUGUCCAAAUAAAUAAUAAAGUCAUCUAGGCUUAAACAAGGUCGUCUAAGACUUCAUACAAUUAAUAUAAAACCCUAUACCCCCAAUGUCAUAUCCUAUCAGAGCGUUAUGCCCCGACGUCCUUCAACACAAGGUUCCUUAAAACAAUUCACCUAGUCAACUGCUCCCCCGAACACAAAGUUCAAGAUCAUCACAGGAUCCAAACACAAACAACACACAGGGAGUGAGUUAUCACAUUCCUAAAUAAUGGAUAGAAACAAGAUAAAAUGUAGGUAUAAAUAUCAAAUAAACAAAAUACAACUUACUUAAGCAUCAUUCACGUUAUUUCACCACUUUGUCACACAACAUUACAUCGCAACACCACACAUCUCAUUAGUUUUCACAGCAUUCACGUAUUCAAGGAUCAACACACAAUAUCACCAAGUCAAUCAAUAUCGAUCAAUACACAAGUGUUAUGCAACAUAUAUACUAAGACUCAAUCUUAUAUGCAAUGUGGUACCAUGUCAGUGAAAAAUCACGUCGGGUGCCUAGGAGUACAUGACAAGACAAACCACACACUAGCAAGUCAGGUUACUCUCACUAGGUAAGAUCAUAGGGAGACCAGUCAGGGUCAUAGUAUUUUGCGAGAAUGCUCCAACCUGUGACACCCUCUACCCCAACAUAUAUAUAAAUAAACAAAAUAUAUAAAAAUAUUGGUAACCAAAUUCACACGGGUAAAAGGUUCACAUUCACUUCACUAUUAUCGAUUAAAACUUAUUAAAACAUAUUCGGCUCAAAAUAAGGCCGUCAAAAUUUACAUAGAUAUUUUAUUAAAUCAGUGAAAUAAAAUAAAAUAGACUAACAUCAUGCAACUAAUAUAAAAACUUAUGUCUCACUGUCACAUUCUAUCAGAGCGCUGUGUCUCGACGUCCUUCAGCAUAAUGUUCCUUAAAGCAAUUCACCAAGUCAUCUGCUCCCCCCGAACACAAAGUUCAAGAUCAUCACAGGAUCCAAACACAAACAACACACAGGGAGUGAGUUAUCACAUUCCUAACUAAUAGAGAAACAAGACAGCUAGAUAUACAUAUCAUAUAAACCAAAUAAAACUUACUUACACAUAAUUCACGUAAUUCUACCACUUUGUCAUUCAAAGUUCACUUUCCAUCCAUCAAUCACACUUUUCAAUCAUCAAUCACAUUACACAAGAAUCACACGCUCUGAUCAAGACAUAAUAACACAUCAAUUUCAUAAUAAACAAUUAGCAAGCGCAUGAAACAGUUAUGCUAAGACUCAAGCCUAUAUGCAAUGUGGUACCAUGUCAGUGAAAAACCUCGUCGGGCGCCUAGGAGUACAUGACAAGACAAACCACACACUAGCAAGUCAAGUCACUCUCACUAGGUAAUAUCAUAGGGAGACCAGUCAGGGUCACAGUGUUUUGCGAGAAUGCUCCAACCAUAUGGGAUCAACAUAGGCUUAAAGGAGCACUCAAACCGUGUGACCCCCAAGACUUACACUCCGAAGAGUCUGUUAGGGACUCUCCCUCUUAAUUCAAGUCCAACCUAGAAAAUAUUUUAGCACACAGACUCUAUGAAUUGUACAAAACACACCACUCCUCAAUUGUUCUCAAAAUAAUUUUAACUCGUCGCCCUUUAAGGGUUUUAUCAUUAACUCGUCGCCCUUAAAGGGACUUAACAUCAACUCGUCGCCCAAAAAGAGACUUAGCAUCAACUCGUCACCCUAAAAGGGACUUAACAUCAACUCGUCGCCCUAAAAGGGACUUAGCAUUAACUCGCAGCCCUUGAAGGGACUUAUGAUCGUGUGAUUGUACAAUUCAUAGUUCACAACUCUAUGCACACAUCUCAUCUCAAUACACAUGUAUUUCAUCAUCCGUCACAUGUUCAAUUUAUCACAUACUCACGAUUUGAAUCAUCAUUUCAUAACCUCAACAUAACAAUUUAUACAAAAGAUUUUAUCACAACAUGGGAUGUAAAACCUCUAAAAUAGUUUCUCACAAUUGUAUCAAAAUCAAUUAAUCAAAAUCAUGGGUUAAAGACAAAGACAUCAAGAGCUCUCAAGUUUAUCAAUCAAUUCUAAUCAGGACAUCAAUUGGUACAUAUAACACAAUAAUAUUGUAUUCAUAAUCAUAAAUAAAAAUUAUAAUUCAAUCAACAUUCCAAAAUAAACUCAAAUUUAGUUCUCUAAGGAUCCCUACACAUAUUCUCACUAACCCCUAAUUGUGAAUAACUCAUCCCUUACCUCUAAGCGGACUCACGUGUCUUCCCACAGCGAUAGCGUCAUCUCUAACGGUUCCCUAAGAUUCCUCCAGUUUUUCCUCUGACUGCUCCGAUAUAAUUCCCAAACGUCAGAGAAACAGAGAAAGGAUUAAAGCAUCCAUUUGGACUAUCUUCAUGCGAUUCAUUUUUCUCCCUCCACGAACAUUAUCUCACAAAUCCCAACAGUCAAAGAGUGCACAACUGAAUUUCGAACAACAUAUCCAAAUUUUACGACAAUCCAACGGUUAACGAAACCGAGAUAGUAGUUUUACCAAGACAGCUCUGGGUUUCUGCGGGAAAGAAAAAUGCUACAAUACGAGGGGUAUUUCUCUUAUCUCAGACGUGAUAUCGAAAUUCCCAACGGUGAGAAUGCUCAAAAAUGGGUUGCGAACAUGGUUUUUAAAUUUCACGACGAUCCAACGGUGAAUGAGUCCGAGAUCGGCAUUUUUCUGAGACAGGUUUGGUGGCCUGUGGAAAAAAGAGAGAGUUUUGGGAGAGGAAGAGAGAAAAAACGAUUAGCAGGCAGAGGAGGCUGAGAAGUCAGUCUGAAAACUGACCUAGCAUGUCGCUAUUUAUAACUAAGGGUAUUCACGACCUAUUAUUUACUUUAUUUAUUUAUUUUUAUUAUUUUAUAAAAAAAGAAACUCUAUUUUAUUCUCCAUCAAAUGAAUAAUAAAAUACCCUUCUUAUUUUCUAUCAAACCAUUAUUUUAUUAUAACUAUUUUUCUUUUUUUAUUUAAUUAUAAAACAUCAUUAUUCUCUAAAAUUUUAUAUACUAAAAAAAAAAUGGGAUGUUACACAACCAUAUGGGAUAAACAUAGGCUUAAAGAAGCACUCAAACCAGGUAAUCCCCAAGGCCUACACUCCGAAGAGUCCGUCAGGGCCUCUCCCUCCUAAUUCAGGUCUAACCCAAAAAAUAUUUUUGCACACAGACUCUAUCUAUGAACUGUACAAAACACACGACUCCUCAAUUGUUCUCAAAUAGUUUAUCUCGUCGCCCUUAAAGGGUCUUACCAUUAACUCAUCGUCCUUAAAGGAACUUAGCAUUAACUCGUCGCCUUUAAAGGGUCUUAGGAUUAACUCGUCGCCCUUAAAGGGACUUAGCAUUAACUCGUCGUCCUUAAAGGGACUUAUAGUCGUGUGAUUGUACAAUUCAUAGUUCACAACUCAAUGCACACAACAUCUCAAUCACAUACAUACACAAUUUAUCACAUACACUCGAUCUCAAUCACAAUGGUAUAAUCUCAAUUAACACGUUAUCACACCUCAUGAAUCAUAUACACUUUACCUAUGAACUAUGCAAUACACAUAACUACUCAAUUGUUUUCAAAAUCAUUUUAAAUUGUCGGUUUCCCAUAGUGGAUUCCAUCACAAUACUUGUCGCCUUUAAAGGGUCUUACAAUUGUGUGAUUGCACAGUUCAUAGCUCACAACUCAAUACACACAUAUCAAUACACAUUUAUUUCACCAUUUAUCAUAGGUUCAAUUUAUCACAUACUCAUAAUUUGAAUCACCAUUUCAUAAUCUCAAUAUAAUAAUUUAUACAAAAGGUUUAUCACAAUAUGGGCAGUAAAACCCCUUAAAUAAUUUUACACAAUUAUGUCAAAAUUAUGGGUCAAAAUGCAAAAACAUCAAGAACACUCAAGUUUAUCAAUUGAUUCUUAUCAAAACAUCAAUUGGUACGUAAAUACAAUAAUAUUGUAUUUAUAAUUGUAAAGGAAAAGUUAUAAUUUAAUAAACACCUCAAAAUAAAUCUCAAUUUAAUUCUCUAAGUAUUCCUACAUAUGUUCUCACUAAUCCUCAAUUGUGAAUAACUCAUCUCUUACCUUUAAGCGGACUCACAUAUGUUCUGGCAGCAAUAAUGACAUCUCUAGCAAUUUCUGGAGAUUCCUCAAGUUUCUCCUCAGAUUGCUCUGGUAGGGUUCUUAGAAAGAACGAGAAGUGAUUGAAGCCUCCAUUUGUACUGUCUUCGUGCGAUUCCAUUAUCUCCCUCCAUGAAUUUUAUCUCGCAAAUCCCAACGGUGAAGGUGUGUGGAAUUGAAUCUCUAACAAAAUAUCAAAAUUUCACGACAAUCCAACGGUUAAUGACUCCGGGAUCAUAGUUUUACUAAGAGAAUUUUGGGUUUCUGCGGGAAAAGAAAAUUGUACAGUGCGAAGUGUAUUUCUCUUAGUUAAGCAUGAUUUCUAAAUUCCCAACGGUGGGAAGGCUCGAAAUUGAGUUGUGAAUGUGGUGCUAAAAUUUCACGAUGAUCCAACGGUGAAUGAGCCUUAGAUCGUUAUAUAUAGCUAGACUAACCUAGCCUAACAUUUCGUUAUAUAUAACUAGGAUACUCACAACCUAUUAUUUAUUCUAUUUAUUUAUUUAUAUUAUUUUAUAAAAACAAACUCUAUUUUAUUUCCUAUCAAAUUAAUAAAUAAAAUAUUCUUUUUAUUUUCUCUCAAAUUAUUAUUUUAAUUAAUAGAGUUAUUUCUCCUUAUUUAUUUAAUCAUAAAAACUUCAUUUUUUUCUAAAAAUCUAUUUAUUUAUAAAUAGAUUCUUUUUUAAAUUAGUCUAAAAAAAAUGGGAUGUUACAAUUUUGAUUAAUCAACCAUCAAUUCUAAUAAUAAGUAAAUUAUAGUAAGAAAUUCAAAUAGUCCAAACCACAAUUGAUACUGUUCAAAUUUUAGUCAUCAACAAAACAAAACAAAAAAUCUAGUUUAAGGCUUCCCCAAAACAGUGAUAUAAAGGCGAGUAGCAUUUCACACAAUUCAUUUCUCAAUUAUUUCCACAAAAUGAAGAAAAUCAUAAAGGAGUAAUGCAGGAAUUUCUAAGAUGAUAAGUUCGAUAAAAGAAUUACUGAAAAGGGAUGAAGGAACUGAUUUCUAUAACAAGCUAUGCAAUAUAAUCCUACAAAGAACUCAAGCUAUACACGGUAACUGCUACAAUCUAUGAUACAAAAAGCAGACUAUAAAUUAACACUGUACAGCCUCAAAUGGCCAAAAAAAAUAGGUAUACAUUUUUAUUCAUCUGUCCAACUUCACUGCCAAAUGAUGAUUUGGUUGUGUGCACUAUGCCAUGACCAUGUAAGUGGAUGUAAGCAACAUCAUAUUUCUGGUGGAGAGGAGCUAGUAAGCAAUUCCAUAACUAUAGGCACAAUAAAGUUGACACACACAAACCACAACAUUGACUGUUGAAACAAGAAUAUGUCAAGAUAUACUAUCUAUGGUUAGUGUCACUGACUCUAAAAUCAUUAUCCUUAGCCGCUAAGCGAGCUGUUGAACCGACGGUUGUUGGCCGCAAUGAUCCUUGCCGCACCAUAGCGACGAAUUCAGGGUCAUUUGUCUUUCCCUCGUACCUUAUCCAUUGUACCAUAUCAUGAUACAUGGGAAAGAACCUCAUCUGUAUUGCUGAGUAAGAGAAGUAUGGGAUAAGUGUUGAGAUGGAAACAAACAAUGUCACAAUCCAAAAGGAAGGAGAUGGUGCAAGAGUUUCAAUGAAGACUUUGUAAGCAUUUCCAGAAAAGCUGGGAGAUAAUGCUCCAUAUGCCAGGAGGAAAAGGUACCAUAGAGCAAUGGAGCCCCAGAUGAAAAUAUGUUGAAUCAAGGUGAAGUAACUUAUAGAAACAGCCAUUUGCAAGUUCACAACCCAAACCACACAAGUAUACAUCGUUGCUCCGAGUAUGUCCCUCCCAGCGGUUCUUCCCUUCUCAUCAAAGGCUUGAAUCUCCAUUGCCUUUGUGCAGAAGAAGAAAAUUAUUAUGGCACUAAUAAAGCCAUUAAGCAUCCAGCUGAAAAUUCGACGCCAGCUAAAGAGGACAUUUUGCACACCUUCUUGAUAUAACAUAGGAAACUGCCAUGUGAAAUGCAAAUAACAAGGAAUGAACAUCAAGAAGUAAACCAGGAACCCCAAAUAAAGUAAAUCAAUGCAUACUGUAUUUUACUUUGGAUACAGCUAAAAGAGGGCUUAUUUAUAGGUGACUUCUGUGUUUUAACGUUAUUGCUACCCUUGACAUUGUGUUUUAUCAUGAUGCAACUAAAAGCCACUUGGAAAGGGUAAAAACUAAUUAGGUCAACAGGCUGAAUUAGGUCUAAUGUAGAUAAAAUCAUAUGAAUUAUUGCAAGGUUUUGUUAUCUUUUUUGUAUGGUGGGUUCUCUCUACUCUUCCAUCAAUCAGCACAGUAUUUUACACCAGAGUAAGGAAAAGUUUCAUUUCAUAACCAUUAUGAGAAACACAAUAGCAUGUUGUAGGGUGAACAGUAAGCUUACCCUUUGACAGUACCUAGAAGACACAUCCUGGUCAAAGACCCCAAGAGCAAUCACGGGAAGUGACGAAAAGAAGACAUUAUAGAGUGACAAAAACCAGUCAUUGUAUGCAGGUUGCCCAGAGAAUGAUGCGUACACCUCAUAUAAGAAUAGAGUAAAGCCAAAUGUGAUGUUUUUGUAGAAGAAAUAGCAUAUCUGUAGGAAGAAGAAUGAACAAGUUAAUAUAAAUACCAAAGGUUUCAAAUUAUCUUUUAUGGCCUAUGGUUCAGUUUGGCAACUCAUAAAACUGGUUUAGAAUUGUUUAGGAUAAUCUCGUCAUAAAUUUAGGUUAUUUUUAAACUAGUUUUAAGUUUAACUAAAAUUUAGAUAAAUUAGCAUUAAACUAGAUCUUCUCAAAUCUAAUUUAAUUUUAAAAAAAACUAGCAUGCUUAUUGACCUUUCUCCUUUGGACGAAUAAGUGGUUCCUAAAAUUAUUUAAUCAAAACCACCCUAAGAUUUAGCUGAAUGAGAGAAAUGGGAAAAUGGAAGAUUUAAGUAGUUUUAUUUCAAAAUUGGCUUCCAUAAGAACCAUUUUUUUUCUUAAAUAUCGGUAGUUACCAAACACCUUAUAUUUUUAAAAAAUGGACCAAUUGCUCUUUUAUAUAUAGAGAGAGAGGAGAGAUAUCAAAUUAUACCGGUGUAACUUUGACAACUAUUACACCAUUCUUAUAACUUGAUAUAGAGUGUGAUUGUUUGUGUCAAAAUUGAACAACAAGAAGAACAAGAAGAAGGUAAUCAAAUGAUUUAUAUUUUAGUAUAUUUUGAAAUGUUUAUAUUACAUUGAUUUUAAUUUAUAUGAAAGAGGUAGCAAAUGAUUUUGGAUUAAUAUAAAAUUUUGCAUAUGUAAUCUAUGUGAAAAAAACUUUCAAUCCAAUGGUGAGUUUUAAGAAAACAUUAGCCAGUUAAAGGUUAUAGAAUGGUAUAAUAGUUGUCAAAGUUACACCGGUGUAAUUAUAUCCCUCCUCACACACAUAUAUAUAAAGAGAGGACAUAUCAUAUGAGAGUGAGAGAAUUAAAUCUAAACUGUAUAACCAAACAUGGACGGUCAAAAUUUAAUGUCAUGUGACUUUUUAACAUUAAAUUUCAACCCUCCAUGUAUGGUUUUAUGGUCCAGAUCUAAUCUUCUCACUCUCAUAUAAGAUGUUCCCUCUCAUAAGAUACGUCUUCUAUAUCUAUAUAUAUAUAUAUAUAUAUAUAUAUAUAUAUAUAUAUAUUCAAAGUUCCCAAACAUCCCCUAAAUCUAUAGAAUGUUGAGAAGUGGAUAUAAGAGUAGCAAUACCAUUGAUGAGAUCCUUCGGUAACACCAAUGUCCAUGUACAAGAAGUAAUCUUUCUAAAUAACGAAACUGUGCAAUAGCAAUAUCACUAGACAUAACCGCCUGAGAGGAAAGAUAACAGAAAGAAUUAAAAUAAUUGUGUAAGGAAAAAAAAAAUUAAAGAACAAAACACAAAUAGUUUCUCAAUUUGCUGAGUACCUGCAUUCCUUCAACGCCACUGAUUCCAAUCCCUAUAUCUGCUUCUUGAAGCAUUCCCACAUCAUUAGCUCCAUCACCAAUAGCUAAUGUAGUUUUACCAGUACCAGAUUUGACUAGUCUAGUGACCUUUAAGAGAGGAACCAAUAAAUAAAACAUUAAUUUUGAAUGCUAACUAGAAUCAUUAUCAGAAUUAAAACAAAAAUGAGGACAUGAUGCCAAAUAGAGAGGAAGAAACACAAUAGAUUGAAUCAUACCAGUGCCUUCUGCUUCGGUGAGGAACGGCAGCAAAUAACAGAUGCACAACGAAUUGCAAGGUCUAGAAACAUGUUCUUCAUAGUAUCCUCUAGCGCAUAAGUAAGUGAUUUUCCAUCAAUAAUUAGAGCAAAUGCUUGCUGAGAGGUUCCUCUGGAGGCAGUAAGCUGUUGAGCAGCUUCAGAUAUUUGAUGGCGGAUACUUUCUCUUGAAGCCUAAUGCAUGAAUCAGCAUAAAAACGUCAGAAACUCAAUUUUUAACUCUGGUUUCGCUAAGAUGCUUACACAACAAGCAAUCCCUUCCAACACAUUACACAGGCAAAGAAAAGAUUUAAUGUGUAAAAACAAAAAGGAAAGAAACAAAAUAACAGAAUCCAUUCAUCAUCCUUCUUGCAUCUUUUAAGACAAAAGUAAACAAUGCUGUGCAAAUUCAGUUAUUGGAAAUUUGAAAUUAUUAAUAUCACUCUGUCAAGAUUCUUUGUUUACAAAACUGGAAUGGAAAAAUCCAUGAAAUAUAAGUUCAAAUCAUCAGCAAUGUAAAGCAAAUACAAUGCACGCAUCAAGUCACCAUGUUAGAAGACCGUAUUGGUUUAUCAUAAUAAGUAAACAUUUUGUUAACAUGCAAACUACACAUAGUAUGCAAAGUGCAAACUGCAUCAUCAUAGAUAAAAGCUACAUAUUGAAAUUUACUUUACCUUGACAAUAGCACCCUUGUCUCCAGCCUUCUCCAAUGUUUUAAUAUCUGGAGUUUCCAAAUGAAUGAUAAUCUGCUUCAUUCCUUGUCUAAGUAAACUACAAGAAAACCUGCAAUUGUUUAUUGAUGUCAGACAUCUUGAGAACCAAUUAUCACACUGAAGCCAAAGUUAAAAAGGCACAAUCACUGUAUUAUACCCAAUAUUGAUAGCAGUCUCCAUUUUAUCCCCAGUCAAUACCCAUAUCUUAAUUCCAGCUUGGGCAAGCUUGUCAAUGCAAUCAGGAACCUAGAAAAACAAGGAGAUGCAUCAUUUCAAGUCCAGUUACAGCUGAUAAAUCUUCAUAUGUAAACAUUUAUUUCUCCUACUCACCCCAUCUUGGAGCUUGUCCUCUACAGCAGUGGCACCAAGAAGGAUUAGAUUCCUCUCAAUCUUAUCUGAUACUUCCUCAAUCAGUGUUUCCCGAUCUUCGCUAAUCGAAUUCUUCGCCUGUGAAAUUUUGUUGUCAAACUCCUUGUAUUGGUUUUCAUCAAGUUCACGAAAUGCUAGGAUCAAGGUCCUUAGACCUGCAUCAGCAUAUUCAUGCACAUGUUCCAUGGUUUUCUCUUCAAACUCUCUCCCAUCCUUGGCAAGCCUCUCAAACAUGACACUGCAUGAAAAUAUGGCGGGUUAAAUGCAACUGUAAGAACUCCAAAAUACUAUUGGUUACAGAUUAGUUUAUCACAAACCUGUCAGCACCUUUACAGAGUAGGAAAAUUCUCCCUUCUUCAUCUUUCACUAUCACUGACAUUCGCUUCCUUGAGCUAUUGAAUUCUAAAAUAUUAAGAAGUUUGUACAUCCUGAAAAAAAAAUAGUAUAUACCAGAUGCAUUCUGCAUUACUUGCAUUUCAAAAAGAAGUUACCAUAAACAAUAUUUGAAUUAGGAACACUGCAUUAUUAAAGAUAUUUUAGAAGCUAUCACACAACAAUUGUAAUCAUGUAUAAUGUGAAAUCCCCUAUUUCAAACACCAUCACAAAAUAAUAAAUAAAUUCGCCAAGUGGAAAAGAUGGCCAGGGCAAAAGUUUAACCAGUUUUUUCAUCCAUAUUAACUGUUAAGAUGUCCCACAUUGGUUAGAAAUAUAGCCAAAAUACUCCUUAUAUAGCUUGGAAAAUCUUCCACCCUCAAGCUAAGCUAUUGGGGGUCAUCUUAGGCCUAGCCCAUUUUUAAUUUUAACUAAAAGAAAAUGUUGCCUCCAUUUAUACCUUGUAAAACAAUAUCAUAACAUCUUUGGGGUCCACAGAUCUAAAACACAUAAGUUCACUUAUUCUAUAAGCAGCUUUGGUCUACUUGGUCAGUCAUUCUGGGAGUUGAAAAAUACUAUAAUUUAUUGACUAAGAUCAGCAGCAGAAGGUAAGAGUUGCUACUUCGAAGCACUUUUUGUUGAAAUUAACUGCUGUUAUUACAAGACUUGUAAUAUGUCAUUGCAUGCGCCUUCUUCAGUUAGAAUUCAACUUUAAACUUCUUAUGUUGAUUAACACUCAAAAAUGCAACAUUUAAAAUCUGUAGCUACUAAAGAAAGAAACCAAUUAAUAAAAACUGACCUUUCAGUUUUGUCACCAGAAACUGGAUCCAAUUCAUACAUUGAUAAACUAGUCUGAGUCCUUUUAAAGAAUUCAAAACCAAUUUCUCUAGCUGCUAUCACAAAUGCUGCUUCAUCUGGAGAUUCAGUUUCAUAUGAGAUAUUCCCUGUGUCUUCAUCAACUUCUGGAAUGGCUGUAUGGCAGAUUGCUAAUAAGCGAAAAAAAUUCUGGAUAACAUUAGCAUAAGGCUCAUUAACCCAAUUUCCAUUCAUUAUCCUUUCAUCUGAAAAGUUAAAUCCUUUUAUGGGAGCAUUUCUGACAGGAGAGCUCCUUGUGUCAUCAAUCAAAGGAUAACCAUUUUUUCUAUUCAUUGCCCUCUCAACCUCUGUAACACCACGGCCAUAAGCUACCCCAGCAAUGGAACAUUUGAUGAACUCCAUCGAGUUGCAGGUCAGAGUUCCAGUCUUAUCAGAAAGUAUUGUGUCAACUUGGCCAAGUUCCUCAUUCAAGUUUGAAGUACGGGCAUGGGCUGGUUUGUCAGCAUCUUCAUAGUACAUGUGGAUAUCUUGAUUGAUGAAGAUGCUCUGAAGGACUUUGACAAUUUCUAUUGAAACAUACAAUGAGAUGGGAAUGAAGAAACCAUAUAACAUUAAGGCUGUCAAAAAAUGAAAUAUAGCAGCAGCAGGUGCUCUUUUAGGAUCAAAGAAAAUUGUAGAAUCAUCUGGUCUAAGGUACCACCUUUUCAUCAAUCCAUUGUCCAAGUCAUCUUCAGUUGCAAUGCCAAAGAAAAUAGAUCCAACAAAUGCCAUUAGAAACAAAAUACAAAACAAGAAGUAGAUAACCCUAUCCAUCUUCUUCUCAACCUUGCUUCUCUUUGAAGGGGCAUCAGUGGAAUUUUGAAUGACCUUCGUGUCAUGACCAGUGAAGAUGACAGCACCGAAUACGUAGUCUGUGUUACGAAGUUUAGAGUCUCUGAGAAGAAGUUGCAGAGGAGAAAGGGGAUAUUGUUGUUCUUCAUACUCCAUGCUCCCAACAAAUGAAUAUAAAUUUGCAUUUGGGUCUUCACAUUUGACUGUAGCCUUAAAAUCACCGAAAUGAAAGUCCUCAUGUAAGGAAGAAAUUACUUCCAACCCUUGUUUUAACUUCAAAUUUGUCUCCCCAUCCAAGUUCAUGGUCUCAACAUAGCAGAAUGCAUCCUCAUAACUGGAUGAAAGCAGUAGGAGGUCUGCAGGGAAGAAUUCAUCCUUCAUUAUCUUCACUAUAUGCCCCACCUUCAGAUUCUUCCACUCAAUAUAUUCAAAAGUUCCAUGCCCUUUAUGCACUUUAACUCUUCUACUAUUCACCUCAAUAUCCUGCAGCAGGAUUCCACUGGCUAGGUUAUGAACCCCAACAAAGCUAAAUGAUUAUUGCUUUAUUGUUUUCUUAAUAUAAAUAACUAGUGAUAUAUUACUUUAAUUUCAAAUAGAUAUUUAUUUAAACAUAAAAAAAACGGAAAAUCAUAAUCAUAUUAGCAUAGACAAGAGGACUUAAAAUGCAGGGAAUAUUGUGGCAAAAAAAAAAUAUUAUAGACACUAUUUUGGACAUUCUGGUUUCUUACCACACUGUCAUUUUAUCAAAUUAUUAAGAAUUUUCAACUCCAGUUAUAAAUUUAACUUGGAAUCCGGGAGAUAAUGUUAACUACUGGAUUUAUGAACAAAGAGUUUAAUAAUAGCACUACAUCCUUUUCAAACAAGACAUAGUAAGGAUCUGAACAAAAAAGCUGGAAUCUUCCAUAAACUGACUACCAUUCCAUAAAAGGAAAUAAAGAAUCAUUGUAUAGUCUCCCUCCACCUUCCAAGAAAACAACAAUUUUCUUUUAAAAAUUACUGAUACUCUUCAAGCCAUGGGGUUCUAUCCAUCCCCCAAUAGAGUUUACAGAUAUAAUAAGUUGUUAAAAAAUAUAAAUCAAAUUAAAUUUAUAAUCCACACAGUUGUGCUGCAGGGUGGAAGACAAAAAGGUUCAAGAGCCUCACUUUUAAUAAAAUGAAACUAAACUCACAAGCAACUAUGAGGGUAAAGUAGAAGACAGAAGAAUCUAGUACCUGCUUUUUCCUUUGGAAAUCUUCAAUCCCCUCUUUGAUCAUAGUUGCCCCAACAAUAAUAAUCAGAGGAAGGAUAGCACUGACAGCUGUAUAAGGAGCAAGUUUUGUGAAGGCCAAGAUGCCAGUUACCAAAAAAUAGAAAUUAGCCACCCUCCUAAACUGCUCAAAAAGUGACUUAGGCAAGAAAGAAGCAAGAGUAUACUUUGUGGAGCUCACAUAAUUAUCAGCAUAACUCCUUAUCCCGGCCUCAAAGCUCUCUGGCUCAUUGCAAAACACCACCCUAGAAUACCCUCUCCCUCCAAUAUGUGAAUGAUCCUCCUUGAGUGAUUGUUUCCCACAUGCAAAUGAAUAGAUCUUGCUAAGAUGCAACUUCCUUCUCCUCUCACCCCUCAUUCUUCUCCUCCCCAAGUCCACCAUUCAAUCCGCCAAUAUCCAAAACCACAAAGAAAAAGAGAAAGAAAAAAACCCUUAGAAAGAAGAACACUACUUGCUCCACCCCCUAAACACCAGAGCCACCAAAGACAACAACUACCAAAACUAACAACCUCACCAAGUCCUUUUCAAACCCAAGCUCACUCCUCAAAUUUCAAAAUAUAAUAAAAUAAAAACCCUCAAUGCACCCUACCACAACCCCCUCUUCAAGCUCAACCACAAUUCACAACCCCAAAUACUCAAAAUCCCUCUACCCAAUUAAGGGUCAAAGAAACUGAAGAAAACAAACCAAACUAACAACCCCAAAACUAAAUAAAUAUAUAUAUAAAAGGCUGAUCACAGAAGAAUAAGAAGAAGAAAAAAGAAUAUUGCAAAAGCUGACACCAAAAUAACAGAAAGGUUCAGAGAUGCUAGAAUGUGUGUGUAUGUAUUUACUGUUGAGGAAAAGCAUCAACUAUCAACUAUAUAACAUAUUUGCAGAAAACAAAAAACACCCAGAAUAAGACACGUCAAAGGGUGCCUAGAAAAUGGGUGAAGGAAUCGACUUGGGAAGAGAAUGUUCGAGGAAGCCAACAACACCAACAAAGACAGCGAAUGAAAAUUCACCAUUUUUGGUAAUGAUUUAUCAAAGUGUGACACAUUCAGAAGAACACGGUAAUGGUGAAAAUGGUGACAAGAGCGUUGAACAAAGACUAGGAUUGGAUCUCGCAUUUUUCAUUGGACGAGCAUUACCCUUCAGAAGAAUUCAAAUUUGCGCCACUUUUCCACGGUGCCAUGGGAAAAUGGGGCAUCCAAAAAGUUCAACGAAGGGGAAAGAAAGAAAAUUAAAAAAAAAAAUCUAAAUUCAAAAUUAUAGGGGAAAAAAUAAGUGAAAUGAAAACGAAGAAAGAAAGAGAAAGUUCUAUUUGUUAUGUUUUCUUCUCUGUUUCGCGGGAAAGCUAUGGAGCUCAUCAAUGGUAACAGACAACUCUCUCUCUCUCUAGAAAACUUCACAGCUAAUUGAUGCAAUACAUUGAAAAAGAAGAAGAAACAACUAAGUAAAUAACUAAUUUUAUAUAAUAUUAACAAUAAUGUGAUGUUGUUUAAAAAAAAUAACAUUAAUGUGGUGUAAUAAUAAUAAUAAAUAUAAGAAAAAAUAUAAUAAAUUAAUGGAUUUGAGUAAUCAAGUGUGCUUAAAAUAUUGAUUAAAAAAUUAUUGUAAAAAUUAUAAGAUCAAAAAAAUUAUAAAAUACGUAAUUAUAUAUAAAGAUACUAAUUAAUAUUUAUUUAAAUUAAUUGAGUAAUUAUUGAGUACACCAUGACAGGGGGAAAAUGGAAAAGAAAACACGCCGGUUUUGACUCUAAGCAAAAUUGGACAAAGAGAAAAAAUUAGGUGCGUGCAUGAGCAGAAUUGAAUUUGGUCAAGUGGGAAUAUUAAGGUAUGAAAUUGAGAAUAAUUGAAUGACAGUUAACAAGAUCUACUUUUAUUUACAUUUUUUUGAUAAUAGCAACAUCUAUUUUUAAGUUUAGUAGAGUUUUAUUAUUUUCAAGGCUGUUUUUAAGUCUUGGUGCGGAAAGGAAAUAAGGGAAUCCAUUAUUGCAUACAAAAUGGUAAAAAGAAAAAAAAAAAGGAUUAUUUACUAUUUUAAAAUGAAUGUAAUGGAAGUUACAAAAUUAUAAGAUUUUUUCGUAUUUGAUUGUUGUUGAUAGUGAAUUAUUAGUUAUUAUUUUUACCUUGUAAAUCUCAAAGAAAACUUUUUUCUAAAAGAUGAAAGUUAUUUUUAAAUUGGUGUUUUAAUAAAAGGCUGAAUUAUAAUUUUGAUUUAUCUUUUAUUCUUGUUCAUUGAUUUUAGUUUUUUUAUAAUUUUAGUUUUCGUAUUUUGAUUUAAUUCUCAAAUUUUACAUACAUUUAUUUUUUUAUUUGCAUAUUUUAACUAAUUAAAUUAUUCUUUGAUAUAAUUUAAAUGAAUAUGUUAAAUAGAACAACUAAGAGAAAUAAAACGUUCAAAAAAUUGAGGAUUAAAUUAAAAUUAUAUAUUUUUUAAAAAUUUAGAAACUAAAAUCAAGAGAGAAAAAUAUGAAGAACAAAAUGGCAGAUCAUAGAUUAAAGGGAGAUCAAAAUCACAAUAAGCUUUAAUAAAAUUAUCAAAUUUUACUUUUACGUUAGAAAUUAAAAUAACUAACUUGGAGACUAGAGCUCUCUUCCCCUGUAAAAUUGGGAGCAUGAGCAAAAUUAGAUUCAGGUGUCUUGGCAGUUAGGAUACGUAAUAUUAAGGUGUAAAAUUAUAAAUAGUUAAAUGAAAAUUAUUCAGGGUUUUGAAUCUAGAAAUGAAUUUAAAUGAAAUUUAUUAACAAUAAUACAUAUGUUUCACAUUCAAAAUAAAAGUUUAAAUUUACAAUACGAAAAGGACAAGUUAAAGAAUUAAGGAUAUUUCUAAUUAAUAACUUGAAAUUGACAGUUGUUUGGAAUUCAAAUUACUAUAUUUGGUGAUUUUAAAUUAAAAUCAUAUUUUUAUUAUUAAACUGUAAAAGAAUACUAUGUUAUUUUAAUAAGUGUAUAAUAACAAAAAAAUUAAAAAAAAAUAAUUAAUUUUAUGAUUGAAUAGAAUAUUAAUGUUUUAACAUUGUAUAUUUUGAUCAAUAGUUAUAUAUAUAAAAAUUAUUUACACUAGAAAAAUAAAUAAUAUUAUUUUAUCAAAAACGUUUUAAAUAUUUUUCAAAUUCACUUUCUAGCAAAAAUUAACUUAAAUAAAUAAAUUCAAGUAAAAUUAAAUUUACAGAAUAUAAUUCGAAUUUCUUCUUUUUUUAUAGAAAAAAGGAGCUUAUUUCAUGUCAUUGGUGAUAAAUGAAGAAAUACAACUUGGAACAUGCUCAAACACUUGGUUACUAGCAAUAUAAUAAUUCGAACUUGAUGGAAUAAAAAAAUGGCUUUCAUGAGAUAAAAAUGUAUCAAGGUAUGAGUUAUCAACACGCACGCUUAAUGGGUCAAACCUUAAUUUUUAUUUUAUUUUUGUAGGAAUUGAUUCUUAUUCAAACCAUUACUUUGUACGUUGUUAACUUGUUAUGUUUUGCACCCUUUUUUUUCUAUCUUGGUUUAUUCCGUACGUUGACCCUUGACAAGUUCUUUUUAUUUUAUUUAUUUUUGAGUUUAUGGUUUGUUGUGUGCACGAGAUGCGCGGAGACACGGAACUUCGAAAAUGACAAAAAUGAAGUUUUUAACGAAAGAGUGCGAAACGAAACCAUGUCUUUUGUUUGUUGGUGAAGACAAGGACGGAAUAAUGAGGCUUAAUUGGUUCUUGAAAUUUUAAAACUAAUUAAUUUGAUUUUAAAUUUUUAAAAAUUUGACGAUUAAAUUAAAUCAUAUAAAAUAAGUUGAUGAUCAAAUUGAUUUAUUUUAAUAUAUAUAUAUAUAUAUAUAUAUAUAUAUAUAUAUAUAUAUAUAUUAUUUUACGUUAUUCUAUUAUGAACUAUCAAACUUUUUUAUAUUAUUUUAUGUUAUUUUUUAAGUAUAUAAACUAUUAAACUUUUGAUUAAAAUCUAAUUUUCGUCUUCAUAUUUUCUUAAAUUCGUGAUUGUAGUCUUUUUAUUUUUAAUAGAGACAUUUUGUUUCUCUUUUAAAAAAUUUGUAAUCUUAAUUUUCCUAUUUUUUUCUAUUUGAGACAUUUUAUCUCUCAUUUAAAAAAAGAUCUAAGUUUAGUUUUCUUGAUCAAUUUAAGAUUCGUUGAUUGUGUAGUUCUUUAAUUUCUUUUAAUAAAUUAAAUGUUUUAACAAUUAAAUAGUUUUAAAAAAAUGUCACGUAAAUAAUAAACAAAUACAUGUAAGUGGACAUUUAUAGAAUACUUAGAUCAAGUUUAAAAUUAACUAAGGAUUAAAAUUGUAGAUUUUUUAAAACUUGGAGAUAAAAUUUUCCAAUUAAAAAAAUAAAAACUAAAAUUAUAAAAAAUUUAAAAAUAAAGAAUAAAAUAUCUAAAAGGGAAGAUUAAAAAAAUAGAAGAAUAAAAAUUUUAUUUUAGGCUAAACUUUUUUAUUCUUUUAUGUUAUUCAAUUCUUAUUAAUUAGGUUAAUGUUUAUUAAUUAUUAACUUUUGGUUAAAUUAAUCAUUUGGUGAUUUUUUUACUUUCUAUAUUUUAAUUAUCUUUUAAUCUAUCUGUAAUUUGAAAAUGAUAGGGACUAAAGAAGUAAAAAUCAUGAAAACUAAAAAAAUCACUGUCAAAACUACUGGACUAAAAGAGAAUUAAAAUAUAAAUGAUAAGGAUUAAGAAGAUCAUUUUCAAAUUAUAGAAACUAAAAAGAUAAGAACCAUAAAACUAUAAGAACCAAAUGAAUAAUUUAACCUCAACUUUUUAACUUUUAGUUAAUUUAUUCACCAAUUUUACCAUAUUUUUUUUUGGCUGAAUUGUCCAGCUAAAGAGCCACAGACACCAAUCAAUUAAUUCCCAACUUGGGUAUCAAUAAAAACAUCAUCCUUCAUCAUGGAGUUUACAACAAAAUCUGGAUCUAGUUAAAAUAACAAACUUCCAAAGAUAAAGGAUAGAUCAUAUUUGGCAAAAGAAUCAGCCAAUGGCCUGCGAAUAUGGCCUAUGACACAAUUUUGAAAUUAAGCCUUCGGCUUAAGAAUUUCCUAUGAAACAAUUUUGAAAUUGAGCCUUCAGCUUAAGAAUCUCUUCAAGAAGAUCUUUGAAAUUGCUCCUUGUAUGCUCUCCAUCUAAUUUUACCAUAAGUGUGCUUGAGAUGUUAUUAUUUAAUAACGCUCUCUGUAAUUAACAAUAUAUUUUUUUAACAUAUUUUUUUUAAAAUAUACUCUUUUUAAUUGAAAUUUAUAAAUUAUAAUUUUUUUUAUCUCUGUCUGAAUUUUAUAAUUUUUGAUAAAAAAAAUUAAUCAAUAAUAAAAAUUUAUUAAAAGAUAUAUAGCAUUUCUCCUUCUCCAACGUUAAUAUAUAAAAGUAGUUUUUUAUUUAUUUUAAGAAGCAAAUUUUACUUCUUAAAAAAAUACUUAUAUAAAAAUAGGUAUUUUAAUAUUAUUUUUUUAAAAUUUAAACCGACUCAUCCGUUAAAAUAAAAAAUCGGAUUCGGAAGCAAUUAUUACAAAGACCAUGAGUAAUUCAAUAAUUUAACUAUGGGUCAUGCUAUUAUUGUUUGUAGGGUUUAGAUAUCUUCCAAUUAUGGUAAUUGUAUUUCAGAGUAGAUAUAAAAAAAAUCAAAAGGAAAGGACAAAUUCUCAAGCAUGUCUGUUUCACAAUUAGGCAGAUAAGACAUAAGUCAUAAUAUAAAAUUCAUAACUAAGAUUAAUUUAGACAUAUAUUUCAAUUUCAUUAAAUGAAAGCGAUAUUUUUUUAUAUAUUUUGAUAUACCAAUCUUAUUGAUUAACCUCAAAACUGCCACUAUCUUGUUCUUUAAUUAAUUAUAUAACAAAAUUGUAACCAAACCUUCAUUAUUUCUUUAUUUAUUCAUUUUGAAGAGAAAUGACAGGCACGUAUACGUAUUCUUGCAUUAUCUAUCUUGUUCGAUUAUGAACUGCUUGACUUCUGUUACUCCAUAAUAGAAUGUUUUUUUAACCUAUUUCGUAUAAUUUAUAUUUAUAAUCAAUUUCUUGCCCUUGACGUAACCUACAAUAGACUCACCAUUCACCAAAUAUACUUCUAUUUGUUUUCUUCUCAUGCUAGCUGGUUGCUUUGGUGGACAAAAUCAUCAAUAUCCCAAUUGACAUAUCCCUUUUAUAUCAUUUGUUUUCUCCUUUCCCUUGUAUUGAUCAUGUUAUUUAGGGUAUAUUUAGAAUGUAAUUUUUUGUUAAGACAACGAAAAUAUAUCUUUUAAAUAAAUAGAAUUAUAUAAUAUUUGUCGAUAUGAAGAAAUUAUUAAGAUGUUAAAUUUAUAUAACCUAUCUUUUUAUUUUUUUUAAAAUUAUCUAAUUAAAAAUUAAUAUUUAUUAAGAAUAACAAAAAUUUAUUCUCCUGUCUCUUUUCUUCUAAAUUUUAAUGUCCAAACAUAUAGUUAGUUAAUUUUAUUUGUGUGAUAUUUUAUGUCCAAACAAUUGUUUUCUCUAAUUUGAUUUCUCCUCCCCAACGCUCAUUUAAAUUUAUUUAUUUUUAAAAUUAAAAUACUAAAAUAAAUGUAAGUUUAAAACUACAAUUUAAAGUAUGUCAUUUUGAACCACCAUUGCAUUUAUUAUUAUUUUAAAAAUUUAAAAAAUCAUUAAUACAUCUUCCCCUUUUGGCAGCCUACUAACGCUACCACAGGUCAUAGAUCUUCUCCAAAAGACUCCACUAGGAGACUUUUUUUGUAAUUCUCUUCUUUUGCUUCUUCUUCACAUACAUUCCACUGUUAAGUAGAGCAAAAAAAGACACUCUUGUGGAGCUUAAAACAAUGUCAUCGAGACAUCUAGAAAGCGUGUCGCUCUCAAUUGGCCUCGAGAGGAAGAAAGCCUUCCUCCCUCUCUCUCUCUCUAUUUCUCUCUUAAGCUACAAAUAAAAAUAGAAGAACUUUUUCAACAACCACAUGCAUGGUUCCUUGAAAAAGCUAGCAUACUUGGUUGGGUUGAUGAUGCACUAGUUAGGUUAGGAACAAAAUUUAAAGUCGAAAAUGAAAGAGCAAAGGGUUUAUUAUUUGCUACAUAAUUCACAUAAUCUUGACAACAUCAACGUCCCAUAGGAUCCAAUCCUACAUAGCGGUCCUAUGCAGAAUAUUGUGCAUGAUAGAGUUCUUUCACGAUGACAAACCACCAUUGGCUCAAAGGAAGUUCUCAUGACGGGUCUUAUGAGCUUCAUGUCCCCUCUAUCCUUAAUGGGUCUAGAAAACCUUAACAAGAAGUCUAGAGAACCUUGUGUCUUGUGUCAUGCCUGACAAAAAAAGAUGAUUAUAGAUAGUGAGACACUUACUAAAAUAACUCUUCAGGUGAAUUAUGCUAUCGUGAAUGAUACUUGUUUGUGUAUGUAUACAACUAAUAAAGAAGAAGACUUGAUUUUAAUUUGUUCAAAUUCUUCAAUUAAUUUAUUUAUGAAAAUACUUGCGAACUUUUCACGUUUCAAAAGCUAAAGCUAACGCUCACAAGUUCAAGAUAGAAUGUAUAUUAUAAAAUGAGGUCAAAUGGAUAAGAAAACUAUAUGCCUAUGGAAGAAAUGUAGUUUUAUCGAAGAUAUAUGAGUGUGGGCAGUGACUUCUGUUGGACAUGUGGCCUCAGAAAUCUUAAGAAGGGGUGAAAUAAUUUUCCACUAACAAACUUUUAAUCCCCUUCUAAAAGAGAUAGGCUCAAAAUGCAGAAGAAGCAGCAAUCAAUUUAAUAAUGUUCUUUAAACAUGCAAGACAAAAUUGAUUGCAACAAAAUAAAUGAGAUAAGGGAAGAGAGAAUGCAAACACAGUUUGAUACUGGUUCGGCAAAGUCCGUGCUUACGUCUAGUACUCAAGCAACUCACUUGAGAUUUUCCUUUCUCUUUGUAAAUUCCUUUACAACUUUUGAACCACACAGAGACAACUCAUCUCUUGUGUUCAAGAAUUCUUACAACUUAAGAGACCAUCGGUCCCUUAAUCAAUCUCUUUGUAUAAGAAGAAAGAAGAGGAAUUCUCUCUUGAAGAGAAAGAUAUUACAAUUGAAGUCCAUGGAUGAACUCUUAAUGGAUUUGCAAGUAUUUGCCUAAGAGUUUCUUUUGAGAGAGCAUUUGGCAAUGAAGUUCUCUUGAAAUAUCUCUCUCAUUUCCUUUUAAGAGGAUAAGACGUUUUGAACAAGCAAAACUCUCUCUUCAAAAUUCGUGCCCAAGUCACCUAUUUAUAGGCCUUUGAUGGUCAUUCACAAAUCUGAUCAAAAGAUGUGGCUGUUGGCAGAUUUUCUGAAAACUCUCCACUGGUAAUCGAUUACAAUGUUUGUGUAAUCGAUUACACAGUUAUAAUUUGAAGGGUAAUGAUUUUUGAAUUUGAAUUUCCAGAGUUCCGUUGCUGGUAAUCGAUUACAAACAUAUGGUAAUCGAUUACCCUUUUCAACAGCUCUUUUUCAACCUUCCCUUCUAGUAAUCGAUUACCAGAGCCUUGCAUGACUUUGAAACCCUUUGAUUUGAGGCAAGGCUCGAUCUUUAGUGAAUCUUGAAACAAAGCUUUGUUUGUUGAAGCGAUCUUGAAUUAAUCUUGAAGCAAAUGCUUAUCCUUUGAAGCGGUCUUGUUUGAUUCUUCUUUGGCAUCAUCAAAAUUCAUGUAUUCAUACAUUCACAACUUACCUUGGUAAGGUAUGCAUUAACCUUAACCUCUAUCAAAGUUCGUCCACCCAUCUAUUCUAUAGGUCUAUUUGGUGUUAGCCACCACAAAAACCUCCAGCACUCAAUUGAGGGCCCACUAAGCACCCAUAACUUUCGUGCAUAAUCACAACAACAACAACAAGUCAGCUCAUACACACCUUUGAACCCACCAUCUCACUCAUGGUUCGUCUCAAGGAUCCAAGUUUCUCCAACAACAACAAGUCAUCCCAUACACACUAAAAGGUUCAUUAAUCUUCUUAGGAGGCAGUUCUCAACACUCUGAUAAGGCAUUCAAAGUCAAAGCAUAGAGGUAGUACUCAAGAAGACACCCUAUUAAGCGAGACUCCAGGUCAUUUUAGUAGGACAGAGUUCUAGCGUGAAAUUCACCCUCCCAAGUAUACAUUUUUGAAUAAUAAUAAAAAAAAUCUUUCUAAAGGACAUAACUAACUAAUUUCCACACACAGGGACAAUUCCAACUUCAAGGUUCACACUUACAUAACACACCUCAUCAUCUUAUCAGCAAUAACUAAUUCAUCUUAACAUUAUUAUAAAUAUUUCAGUAUCAACAUAAUCAUGAUCAUCAAUUUCAAUACCAUAAGAGUUCACCAUAUCAUAAAUUCAUCAUUCUUAAAUGUGCAUCACCAGUCAUGAACUCACCAAUAAUCCAUAAGUCAAGUAAGACAUUCACACCUUGAACGCUUACCAUCAAACAUCAAAACCCCAUAUGAAUGCAAAUUACAUGAUAUUAGCAUACAACCAACUUCAUUCAUCUCAAAUUAGUUCAUAAAACAAAAUUAAUUACAUUUGAGCUCCAUUUAGAGAAUUAUAUUGGGACAUGUAAAAUAAACUAAGUUCCCUUAAGUUUCGUGCUUAAGCCCCAAAAAUUUCAUGCUUAGGCAUCAAAGAUACACUGCACUUAAGCACUAAACAUUUUGUGCUUAAGCGUAAAAAAACUCAUGCUUAGGCAUAAAAAAUACAUUGUGUUUAAGAACAAAAUUUUACAUGCUUAAGCAUGAGGUCCUGAAACUUUGAAUUUUUUAAAAAUCAUUUCAUGGAUCUCCAAAAUGGCAACCAAUGGUUCAACAAUUUCAAAAAACACAGUUUAUAACAUCCAAAGCCAAAUAUCAAAAUUUAAACAUCAAGCACAUCAUAAAACAAGAAUUUAAGCUUCCCUUACCUUAUGGUCUUCAAGCUUAGGUUCUCAAGAAAGGAAGGAGAUAGGAGGCUUGAGCUCAACAAAGAGGGCUUCCAUCAACACCUCACAAAACCCUUGGAAACACAACCUAAAACAACACCAGUGAGAGCUUUGCACAAAUGCCCAUUAUGGUUCAUCUCAUGAAAAGAGAAAGAUGAGAAAAAAAGAGUUCACUAUUCCAACAAUUGCUCACAAGCUCCAAGAAAGAGAAGAGAAAAGAAUCAUUUGUCUUGAAGGAAGAUUAUAACACCCCUAGUUACUAUUAUGAUUUUUGUCAAUUUAUUUUUGAAAUUAUGAAGUAAAGGAAUUAAUUUAAAAUGAAUUGUUCAGCAUCAUCCUUUUUCAAAAUAAUGAAUAACUUUUUGCCAUUGCUUUAAAAAAUUUAUUAUUUGGGAUCUUUUAAAACGAUAAGCCAUAUCAAGAUAAUAAUCGUUAUACAUAAAAUAAGAUCAACAUCACAGCUUUCAAUAAGAAUAUUUUAAUUUAUAAAAUACUUGAUUUUCAUUAAACUAAUACAAAACAUUAAAAUUUCAUAUGUACAAUCUCAAUUAUGUCGAUCUCAUCAAGCAACUACACUAUACAAUUAUAACAUAUGCUUACAUUCUUGAAAUUAGAUACUUAAUACAUUUGAAGAAUUUAGACACCAUAGCAUUGAGGUUGGAAAUAAAUUUCCACCCUUAUUUCCCAAGCAUAGCUAGAUUAAAAUCAUGAAGGUUACUAAAAUUCAAACCACCAUUUUCUUUUGAAGUUGUAAGCUUCUCCCAUUUCAGCCAUAUCAUUCCUUUUCCAUUAGAUCCCCACCAAUAAGAAUUCAACAUUCGUUGAAUUUCAUCCAAUAAAGAUUCAGGCAGCAAAUAAGCACUCAUAAAGUAUGUAGGGAUUGAUUGAAGAUCAACCGAACCAUCUCUUCACAGCCAAACUUAGAAAGAAAUUUACUUGAAAGAGAUUGAUUUUCUUUGAAAUUCUUUCCUUAACAAAAUUGAAGGUAUCUCUCUUACUGUGCCCAACAAAAGAAGGCAAGCCAAGGUAUUUUCCAACACCUAACGUUGCAUGCACUCCAAGAAUAGAUAAGAUUGUGGUCCUCCUUGCAUCAUCCGUGUUAGAGCUAUAAAAAAAUUUCAGACUUAUUAAAGUUUAAGGAUUGACCUAAAGCAAGUUCAUAAGUCGUCAAGAUUCUUUGAAGGUCCUCCACUUCAUUGAUUGUUGCUCUUCAAGAAAGAAAGCAAUUGUCUGCAAAGAGUAAAUGUGAAAUUUCAGGCGCACCAGGGAAAAUAGAAAUGCCAUGCAAAUUUCCAAUGAGUCUAGCUUGCCAAAUCAGAGCACUUAAACCUUCAACACAAAUCAGGUACAAAUAAGGUGAUAGAGGAUCUCCUUGAAGAAGACCUCUACUAGGCACAAUGGAACCAACAAGAUCAUGAUUAACUUUAACUGCAUAUUGGACAGAUUCGACACAUUGCAUAAUUCAACUAACCCAGUUGAGAUUAAAUCCCAUUUUAGUCAUAACUGCCCUUAGGUAACCCCAAUCAACUCGAUCAUAGGCUUUAUUAAUAUCAACCUUCAAAGCCAAAUCACCUCUCUUACCAUUCCUCUUGCCUUUCAGAAAGUGAAUAAUUUCCGAUGCCAUGAGCACAUUAUCCAAAAUUGAUCUCCCUACAACGAAGGUCGAUUGCUCCUCCAAAAUGAUAUGAGGCAACACCCUUUUCAACCUAUUUGCCAGAGCUUUUGACAAUAUUUUGUAGAUAACAUUGCAUAAAUCAAUUGGUCUAUAAUCCUGCAUUGACCCAGGAUUCUCCCCUUUAGGAAUUAAGACAAAGGCAAUGGUGUUAUUGUUAAUACCUUCAGACAAAACCACCAUUAAGCCAGACACAACAAGCUGAAUUAAUCUCAUCAACGCAAAUACUCCAAAAUAUUUUUUUGUGGAAGGCAUAAUGCAGACCAUUUGGGCCCGGUGAUUUAUCAGGAUGAAUGUGAUAUAAGGCCUCUUUAGAGUCAUCUUUGUGGAACGGGACAGUUAACAUGUUAUUAUCCAUAUCUGAAACACUUGGAUGAAUAACUUCUAGCACCUCAUCAAAAGAAUCUGAAUAUGAAUUGAAAAGGUUCCCAAAAUAAUUCUUUGCUACUUGAUUAAGAUCGUGUUGAGUCGUUAAUAACAUUCCAGAAUCAUUGUGAAGCUAAGAAAUAUUGUUGCUCUUUCUACAAGAGAAGGCCAUGUAAUGAAAGAAUUUGGAGUUAGAAUCUCCUUCUUGUAGCCACUCAAUUUUCGCUCUUUGCCUUCAAUAAAUGUCAUCUUUUACCAGAAGCUCCACUAGCUAAUCCUUAAGCAUCUUGAAUUUCACUAUAGAGUCAACAUCAUCCUACUUCCUCAAGAUCUCUCAAUCUCUUCAGAUUAUUAAUUUCUGCACUAAACUUCCUUUCAACACAUUUGCCCUAACACUCCAAAUCAUCAGCGCAAGCUUUGAGCUUAUCAGGCAGAGGACCAUUUAAUUCACGCGUACAUCCACCAUGAACAACUUUUUCAAGAUCAGCUUCGGCCAACCGCAUGUUUUCAAACCUAAAUCUCUUAUUGACAAACCCAUAAACAUUAACAUGAAUUGGGCUAUGGUCAGAUUUUAGAGCCAUAUGAUUUGUGAGUGUUGCAUCAGGGAAAAAGGUCCAACACUCCAUCAACAGUUCCAUGUCUUCGAUCUAAAUAUACCAUGUAAAAGGGUAGCCAUCUAGAGGGAUGUCGAUGAGGUGACAAUCAACGACAACUUCCCUGGACCUAUUUAACAGCCUUUGAGGAUGCUCCAUUGGCCCAAUCUUGUUGUCUUCUAACAGUAAAUCAUUAAAAUCCUUUAUUAUGCACCAUGGUAAAUUCGAAAGACAAAAUGAAGGUGACGAAUUAAGUCCCAUGAUUCUCGCUUAGUACAUAGAAACCAGUAAUUCUCCAUUUACCAUUACUGUCUUCUACACGUAGAUCAAUGAAAUUCUGGGAGAAGCAAAUAAUUUGACAAUUAAAAUCCUUCCUCCAUAUAAUAGCCAACCCACCACCACCUUCUCUAUCCACUGCAAAACAGUGAUAAAAAAAAAUGAAUCCUUCUACAAACUUCCUUUAUCAGGUUUCUCAAUGUUAAAUAUUAGGUUUUAAUAUAUUUUUGUAUUUGAUAAAGGAUAGAAUUUGUGUUUUGGUCUCCAAUGAUUUUAUUUAAAUUUUUUUAGUUCCUAAUAAUUUUUUAUUUGUUUUUGUCUUUCACGCGCUAUCAGAGUCACUUUUCAAAAUGUUAUUUAAAAAAAUUUGAGAAAAUAAAAUAAAACUUAUUAGGGACUAAUUUUUUUUUUAAAAAAAUUGAAACUAAAGCAAACAAAAAAUCAUUUAUCAACGACAAAAAAACAUAUAAAACCUAUAAACUAGUACCCAACAAAAUUCAAUAUACAAGAAAUAAUAUGGUUUAUAAAGAAAAAAAUGGUGUAUAAAAUAAUAGUGUAAAUAAUUUUUAUAUUAUUAUUUAAUUAUAAAUUAUAAUUGUAUUAUUAUAAAUUUUUUAACUUUUAUAGUAAAUAUCAUAAAAAUCAUACUAACAUUAUUUUCUUAUUGACUAAUUAAUAAUGUAAAAACUCUUUCCAUUAUUCAUGCAUAGAAAUUAAACUCUAAAAAAAAGGAAAAACUGAUAUUGAAAAACAAAGUUUAAGAAUUUUCUUAUUUUUCUUUCAUAAGAGGGUGAAAUUCAUUUUCUCUUUAUUAUACCAAACAUAGUGGGGUAUAGAAAGAGACAAAGACCAAUAUAAGUUAUGCGGGAUAAAAUUAGUUGAAAAGUCAUUUUAUAAUUAAAAGUUUAAAAAUUAACUUAUUAAAAUAUAAAUAUUUGAUAAAAUUAAUUAUUUAAAUAAUUAAAAACAGUAAAAUUACAUAAAAAUAAUAAAAUCACAAUUUACUUUAUAAAGCUAAAAAAAUUAAUAAAUGUAUUAAAGAUAAAAAAAUAUAACAUUCUAAAAAUUAACAUUUUAAAAAUAUUAAAAAUUAUUAAAAAAAACUUAUUUAUCAAACCAUCAAAUAAAUUUAUUAACUAAUAAAAAAUUAAAAACUAACUAAAAUAAAUUAACCAAACAUAAUCAUAGUCAAUUACUCAAACUCAAGUUGCACAAACUCCACACAACCACAACCACUAGUUUCUCCCGACAUGCACCUGCUCCUCAUUAUUGUCACAUUUUGUACCCACUACACUACCAACUCUAAGCCUAUGUUUGGUUUAAAGGAAAGGGGAAGGAAAGAAAGUCAGAGGAAGGAAAGAUGGUGGAAAGUGAAUCUUUCCACUGUUUGGAACAAUCUUAAAAAGUGAAGGAAAGAAAAUUUUAUGUGGACCCCACCCAAAAAUCCUUUCCGCGCUACUUUGGACGGAAAGCGGGAAGAGCGACCAAAAUUUUGGGCAAAAGGACAAUAAUGCCCUUCUCUUUCAUCAAAUUCUAUUUGUCUUUUUGAAUACCCUUCAAAUCAAAAUCCUUCAAAAAAAUUGCUUGCUCUGGUUCUUGUUUACCUUCCAAAAUCAAACUGGUCCAUUUCAUUUGUUCUACUUCCACAACCUUUCAGUUGCUUUGUAAGGUACCAUCCCUAUUCUUCCUUCUCAUAUGGGUUUCUUUGAUGCCAUUGAAUAAAAAUGUGUUGUUGUUGAUCUUGUGCUUUGUACGUGUUCUUUGUCUACUUGGCACACAUUAUGUUGCUUUUGCUUCCUUGUAAAUCAUUUGAAAAGCUUUCUAUUUUAUUUUAUUUUUUGAAAAAUUUAUGAAAUAUAAUGAAGUUUGUGUUGUUUGUGGGUUGUUGCUACUGAUUUUUAACUUUGUUGUGAUAAAGGAUGAUUGAAUAUUUUACACUUAUUCUCUAUCAAAAUUGGUUCAACUGUCUGGAGAUUUAUCUUUGAAGACUGGUUGUGUUAAGGGUAGUACUAGUAGGAGCUAACUUUUCUACAUCUAUGCUACUGUGUUAAGUGAUGCCAUUGAGGGGAAUGUUUUAAUAGGUUUGCUUUGUUUGCUACGGAUCUUAAAUUGGUGUUUAUGCUGGGUGAUUACUUGCUGUCUUGGCUUGGGUAGUUUUCUAGCAGGGUAUGGUAUAGGAGUAGUCUUGUUUCAUUUGGAGAAGAAAAGCCUUGUGAGUGGGAUGGCACUAGACAAGUGGUGUACUGUGUAUUUGUUUCAAGCAUGCCUUAUGCCCUCUUUAAUAUACUUUUCUUGGCCUUUUCCAAAAAAAAAAAAAAUUGGUCCAAUUGAUAGUUAGUCUUAAAAUGGUCAUUUUUUUAUUUUGAUUCUUCUAUUAUAUAUACUUUACUUAUUUGAAUGUGUAUUGAAAAAUAUAUCAAAACUCAUUGAUUUAUUAAAUGUAUAUUCAUUGAAGGUUAACAUUUAUACUCUGAUAUGGAGUUUUUAAUUAAUAAUGAAGACAAGUUUGGUGAUGCAUUGGAUGGUAUAAAGGAAGAGCAGUCCAAAAUAAAACAUUUAACUAAUCUUGGCAUGCAAAAUUUAAGUCAUUUUCGUCGAGGAUUCGAAAAACAACAGCGUCUUUGUUCUGUAGUCUUAUUGUGCUAUAUUGUUCAUGCGUUACAUAUGCUUCAAACAAUGUCACAUUUCAUUCGUAGUCCAAUUAGUCAUGGAAGUCAUGAAAGGGAGCGUAAACGUCUCGAUUUAAUGAGACAAUUAGUACAUACUGAAAAAUGCCGAGACAUAAUACGAAUGGGACCUGAGGCAUUUAUGUUAUUGUGUCAUAAAUUGAGGGGAACUGGUUAUGUGAAGGAUACUAUACGAUCCACAGUUGAAGAACAAGUUGCUAAGUUCCUACACAUCAUUGGUCAUAAUGUGAAAAAUCGCACCGUGUCAUUCUUCUUCCGCCGUUCUGGUGAGACUGUUAGCCGUCACUUUCACAAUGUUUUACGUGCCAUCAUUUCAUUAGAAGAUGAGUUCCUAGUCCAACCUUCUGGUAGGGAUGUACCUCCACAAAUAUUAAACAAUAGCAGAUUCUAUCCUUUUUUUAAGGUACUUAUGCCUUAAAUUCACUUUAAUAUGUUUAGCCUCACAAAUUCAUCCUACAAUUUCAUCACUAAUCAAAUUGCGUAUUUAAUUUAAUAAAAAGGAUUGCAUUGGAGCUAUAGAUGGAACACAUAUUCGGGUAAAGGUCCCAAGAGCGGAAGCCGCACGAUUUCGUGGAAGAAAAGACUACCCUACACAAAAUGUUUUGGCUGCGUGUAACUUUGAUAUGAAAUUCACUUAUGUUUUACCGGGGUGGGAAGGCACAGCAUCUGACUCUAGGAUUUUGAAAGAUGCUUUAAGUAGGGAAGACUCUCUAAAAAUUCCUGAAGGUUAGUAGUCUAUUAAUUUGAUUUGACUAUUAAGUAUCACAAUUUAGAAUUAUAAUAGUUAACACGUCAAAUAAUAAAUUAUAUCACAACUUUUGUAGGAAAAUAUUAUCUUGGGGAUGCCGGUUUUAUGCUAAAACGUGGGGUGCUUACACCUUAUAGAGGUGUUCGUUAUCACUUGAAGGAAUAUUCUAUUCGCAGCCCGCAAAAUUCUAAGGAGUUGUUCAAUCAUCGCCAUGCUUCACUUCGAAAUGUUAUUGAGAGAUGUUUUGGAGUACUAAAGAAAAGAUUUCCAAUUUUAUCUACUGGCACCGAACCCUUUUACUCAUUUGAAGUCAUGACAGACAUUGUACUUGCUUGUUGUAUAUUGCAUAACUUCUUAAUGGGUGUUGAUGUUGAUGAGACCUUAAUUGCUGAAGUAGAUCGUGAGUUACUUCAACAAGAGAUUGAUAGAUCCCAACCACAACAACAACGUGAUGAUGACUAUAGAUUGGGAACAAUUUUAAGGGACGAUGUUGCUAUCAGAAUGUGGAAUGUUUAUCCAAUAUGAUAACACUAUAUAAGUAAUAUGUAUUUCUAAUGUGUUGUUUUUUUUUUGUGUAAUGUGACUACAUGUGUAGAAUGUAGUACAAAACUUGUGUUCUAUUUGUGUAUGGUUUUGGGAAAUUACAUGAACAUGAUUAUGUUGUAGUAGAAUUAUCCAGUGGUAUGCAUUACUAAUAUUUCUUAGUUUACUCAUGUUAUUUUUGUGGAUGAAUUUCUCAUAAGCUAAUAUUCAUAUGAAAAUGGAUACAUCAACUUGUGUCCUUUUGAAAUUUAUAUGCAGCUACUACAAUGCCAAAGGGAAAAACCACUCCAUCAGAUUCUAAUCACCCUGGUAGAGAUAGCCUACAAUGGAAUGAUGAAAUGGAUCAAAUGUUGUUGAAUGCUUUGGGUGAAGAGGCAAAUAAGGGAAAUAGGCACGAUGGUGCUUGGACAACACAAGCAUACAACAACAUGGUCGAAGCCUUAAGAUCUACAAUUGGACCAAAUAUCACAAAGAAUCAUAUAAAGAAUAGAAUGAAGACACUAAAAAAUCAUUUUGCUGAAGCUUACGACUUGUUCCAUAGCUUAAGUGGAUUCUCUUGGAAUUCAAUAACUCGAAAAUUUGAUGCUGAGGACGACGUCUGGGAAGAGCUGAUUAAAGUAAUUAGCAUUCUUAUCCUUUAUUUGAUCACUUGACUUUUAUGUUAAUUAUAAGUACCAAAUUGAUCACUUGUCAUUUUUACCUUUUAUGUAGGGAAAGCCACAUGCUGCAAGAUGGAGAAAAAUGCAAAUUAAGCAUUAUGACAUCUUGACUGAGUUAUUUGCAACUGAUAGGGCAAAAGGAAAUGUUGCGAAAACAGCUAAGGAAAGGAGGAAACAAUGGGAGAAGGAGAAUAUUGACUUGAAUAACUAUUUUGAAGAUACAGAAAUGUAUGUGCCAAAUGUUGGUAUGUUUGAUGAAAACCAAUUUUCACCCCCCAACUUUGAGGAUGCUAGUCCACAAAAUGGUCAAACAAAUCCUAGUGGCUUAAAUACUUCAAGGGGUACAAAACGGAAGAGAAAUGUGGUUGAGUUAGUUGAAGAUCAAUAUGAGCGAAUGAAUGAAAGUAUCAUGACAAUUGCUGAAGCUUUGAAAGAGGGAAAUUCUGUUUCUAAGGAGCUGCACCAAGUUGCAGAGCGUCAAGUUGAAGUUGCUGAAAGACAAGUUGCAGUCAUUGAAAAACAAGUUGAAAUUGCUGAAAAACAAGUUACUGUGAUACAACAAACUCGUCCUCGUCAUUAUUCAGAAUCUGAUGUAUGGGAUCUUUUAGAGGAAUUAAGAGUCACAGAUCCAUUUCGCAUGAAGGUUUAUAACCAUUUAUGUGAUAAUGAGCACAAAAAACGUAAGCUUUUUGGCGUACCACCUCAUAUGAGAGGAGAAGCUCUCAUUCAAAUGAUGACUGAUGCAGGUAUAUUUUGUUAAGAGCAUUGGUAGUGCUCCUUUUUUGGUCCUAUAUAUUUAGGACAUCAUGUGAUGCCUUUACUAAUGACAGCCUAUAACGGAUUGCUUUUUUGGAGUGGUUGUGGAUAUGCUCUUUUGUUGGGAUUGUAUAUAUUUAAGGCAUCAUAUGAGACCUUAUUAAUUUAUGACUUAGUCUAUAUUAAUUAUCAUUUUGGGAUAUAUAUGACUUAAGAUGGAAAUUAUUAGUUUUUAUGACUGGAGAUGCAUGGUAACCUGUGACUUUUGUUGUUAUGCUACUUUUGAAUAUGCUUUGGAGUCUGCUAUCCCUUUUGGUACUAUAUUGAUGAUUUUGAUGAUGGAGCCUUAUACCAUCCUUCAGAGGUGUGCAUUCAAUAGAAACUGAAAGGUUUGAGUCAUCUCCCUUUGUUUACAAGUUUUUGUAUUAUACUAUAUUUACAUACACAAUGUUAUAUUUUAUUAUUACACUAAAUAAAUUUAUAGAUUUUUUCACACUUUGACACAAUAUGUUCUGCAGUCACAGUUUUUAUAUAUGCAUUUUUCAAAGGAUAAUAACAAUGAGCUAGUGGUACAGACCUUGAAUAUAUUUUAGAGUUCAUUAAUAAUCUAUACCUCAUAUUUAUGUCUUAUAGUAAUUUCAUAUUAGACUUUUUAUGCCUUGAAGCUACUGUGGAGAUUUUAUAUUGGCAAGGGGUCUAAGUGAAAGUGGCGUAGUCUUUUUUUACUGCAUAAUUUUCUGCAUAAACUCAAUUUGAUGCAGUUAGAUAUUUGAAAGAAAUUUGGUUGAGGCUUUGAAAGAAUAAAUUGAGAGUCUUGUUGAUUUAAAAACACUGAACUUUUAUGCUCAUGAUGUUUAAUCAUCUCAAUGUGUUAUAAUAGUAGUAACUAAUAUAUGGUUUGAAUGUAGGUGCUUUCACCUCUAGUGCAAUACAAGUAGAAGUGCAGCAAGCAACUGGAGCUAUAGUGCAAAGAUGUGUAUACUAAUAUUGUGUAACUAGACUGUCAUUUAUGUUUAAUUUGCACUAUAACAUGUAGUGUAAUUGGCCAAUAUAUGCAUCAUAAUACUCAAACUCAAUAUUUAUAUAUAAAUAGAAUGAUGUUGCUUUAGCACUAACUCAUCCAAGAUUUCAAUUUUAUCUAUGAGGAAUUGAACAACUGGUUCAAUUGAGGGGUACAUUGCUUGAGCAUUAUCUUUUUUUUUGAGAAGGCAAAAGAAAUAAUGUAUUAAAAUUAUGGUACCAGAGAGGUACCAACAAUUGAGUUACAAGAGACAUUACAACAUGGUUUAUCCCACCCAACUACUAGCACCACCUUGAUACAAAUACAAGGAAGCCAAGUACAAAUUUAUUAAAGAAUGAAAUGAGACACCUUUCCUAAAAAAACCAGAGCUGACAGGAAUGAAAGAAAAUUGAAAACACAGCUUGAACCACACCUUAUCAGAGCUAAAAAAAAUAAGAGAGCAUCUUUGAAUGUUAUUCUCAAACAAAAUAAUUCUUAUUAUUCACACUCUAGUGCACACCUGCUAUAAGAAAUUUGCAAAUUGCAGCAUAUCUAUGUUGAUAUCUAGCUGAACAAAUGAAAUUUUUGAGCAUUAUUAAUUUAACUUAAUAAAAAUUAAUGCUAUAAAAACUGCUAAUUUUAUUUUAUUGAAGAUAAGUUGACAUAUUUUAUCUUAAAGGAAUAAAAAAAAUAUAAUUUCAAUAUUAAGCUUGUGUCUGACUUUUAUUUUUUUUCUUUAUUAUUUAAAAUAUAUUUUAUUCUCUUCACCCUCUUUAAUAUUUAUAUAAGGUUAGUUUUGUCAUUUCACAAAUGUACCUCUUCCUUUCCUUAUCACUUUCCAUCCAAACAAACAGGAGAAAAGAAAGUUUUAACUUUCUUUCCUUCCACUUUCCCUUGUACCAAACAACUAAGACAAUCCUUCCACUUUCUACUAUCUUUCUUUCCUUUAACUUUCUUUCCUUCCACUUUCUUUCCUAGCACUUUCUUUUCCAAACCAAACAUAGUGUUACAAGGAAAAUAUUUUCUGUACAAUAAAACGAAGUAAUAAAAUAAUUCUCUUCUUUGAUUUUAAAAUACAAUUUAAAGACACAUGAUUAUUACAAAAUUAAAAUAAGUUAACAUAGAAAUAAUUGUAUCUAAUAUCACAUAUGAAAUUAUUUUUUUAAUAUUUAAAUAAUAAAAUUGCAUGAAAAUAAACAGUGUUUGUGUAUGAUUUUUUUUUUAAUAAAUCUAAUGGAUAUAACUUAGAUGCCGAUGCAUACUGAAUUUGUGAAAAAAAAACUUGUUUGAUCAAGGUGUAUUUAAAUAUAAGACAACUUAAACUCUUGCUUUAUUAGCCCCCAAAAGUUAUUUAACAAAUAUUUAUACAACUAUUAUGGUUAGUUAGUCAAGUAUAGUGGUAAUUAAUGCAUAUAUUUUCUUUGGUAAUUGGAUUUCAAAUUUUGCUGAAGAAAAAUCACUUGUUUUUAAAGUCCCUGAUUUUUAUAUUAUUUUAUUAGUUUUGAAAAGGUGUGAACUUAAAGUUGGUUUUAAGCUAAAUAUGUGUGAGUCAAUCUUGGAUUUGAUUUUCACAAACUUUAACUUUAAGACGAUAAAUUUUAAUUGUAAUUAAGUGCUAGAUUGAAUUUUAGUUUUAUAGUUGACUCAAAGGACCUAUUCUAAUAUAUCAAAAAUCUCACAUCACUUAAAAGUCAAAUCAAAUGGUAGUUUAUACUAGUAAAUACACCUUUAACUCAUAGAGUUAUCUUUUAAUAAAGAUAUAACAAUGACAAGUCAAAAUGUUACACUGAGCACCAAAAUGAACAAUAUCUUGGAAGUAGUGAUCUUAACAUGAGAAAGAUGGCCUAUGCCACUCUUGUUACUUAGUCUUGAUGGGUUUGCCAAAAGUCCUACAUCACUUAGGUGUCAAAACCAAUGAUAAUUUAUGUUCUUACUAGUUUUGACAAAAUCUAUUCACCGUGAUGUUUCUCUAUGUUCUCCUCCAUUGUACGGUAAAGACACUCUGUUACUCAAGUUAGCAGUGCAGAAGUAAGAACAUGUAUCUUAAAGUAGGUUGGAAUAAAGUUGGUUUACCUAAAUCUUGAAGAUUCCUUUUAUAAAUGUGAAAUUGAAUGAUAAGAUCUCAAUUUUCUUCAUAAGAUAAUGUAAAUAAGAAAAAUAUGAUUUUAUCUUUAUCUUUAUCUUUUUGGUAGAAGAUAAAGUUUUUCUCUUACCUUAAUUAUAUUAGUCAAAUUCUCUUAAUAUCAAGUAUAUAUACUACUUGGCUGACCACCAAGUACAAAAGGUUUAUAGCUUAUUAAUACACUAUCACAUGUUGAUCAACGUAACUAGAUUUAACCGUCAAUGUCCACAAUUGGAUGGGAGGACAAAAUUCAUGAUUUUUUUAAAAUAGAUGAAUUAAAGGUUUUAAUUUUAAAAUAAGAAGAUUAAAAUUAUAAAUUUGUACAAAUAUAAAGAGAUCAAAAUUAUAUUUUAAUCUAUUGUAUUAUAAGAAAAAUAUAAAAUAUAUAAUUAAUUAAGUUAUUAUUAUUUAUGCAAAAUUAUUAAUUCAAUUUUUUAUUUAUUUCCUUUUAAUAAUGUAACAUUAUUUUAUUUCUUGCAUACAUGAGGACACGGGGAUCCUAACUAAGUGGAUUAGUGUUAUUUGACAUUUGUAGCUCACUUUUUGAACCACUUGUUCACAAAAUAGAGUAGGCCAUAGUUAAGUGAAGGAACUCUAAUAAAAUAAUGUAUUUAACACAAAAGUAAUGUGAACUUGUAAUAUUCUUUAUAGAGUGCAGGGUUUGCUCAUAGUUUUCUUUUUAAUUUUAUGCUAAUUUUUCAAUAUGAUCGAGAGCUUAUACAUGCAUAUCUGCCUUACGUAUGAGAUAUUUGUUGCACUCAAUUAUAACUUAAAAUAAACUAUAUAAGUACCAGCUUGCUUAUUUUUCACUUUGUGUAUAAUUUAGCUAUCAUUAAAAAAAAAAAUGUUUCCUAAACAUGCUGUUUUAUUUUAUUUUAUUUAUUUUCACUGUUUAUUAACUUUGCAGACAACUUGGUGCGAUUGUAGUGCUCAUAAUGAUUGGCAUCUAGAAGAUCAAUCAUCCAUUCAGCUAUUAUUGUACACUCAUCUAUUACGGUACUUGUUAGUUGUUCACAAGAACACAGACAAAAAAAGCAAGACACUAAUUUUAUUUUUUUUUAUAAGAGACUACAUGUAUCGCAAAAUAAUUGAAUUGAAUUGAAUUAUCAUGGAUAUAAAAUUUUUCUUUUAGAUAAUUGAAAGUGUUAUUUAAAAUACUUUAAAUGACGAAAAAUAAAAUAAUUAUAUUUUUAAGGAAUAAAACUAAAACAAUUAUAGACUAAAAUAAAAAAAAUACUAAAUUAUAAGAACAAAAAAUAUAUUUAAGUUUUAUACUAUUUCAAACAAAACAUUAUUUAUGCUGCUUUUAUUGUCUUUUUAAGUGUCGACUUAUUUUUGAAAAAAAAAUAUUUAUCAUUUUAAAAGAUAAGAUAUUAACUAUAAUUUUUUCAAUUAUAUUUUUUAACCAGUUUUUAAUUAUUUCACACAUUUUUUGUGAAAUGAAAGGAAAUGUGAAAAAUAAUAAAAGACAAAAAUUUAAUUAAUAUCGAUUAAUCUACGUGUUUGCUGAUUCUAAUUAAGACCAAUUUGUAAAACUAAGAAAAAGAAAAAAAUUCAUCAUGCACGUUUUCAGUUCUUUUAUUUUUUUUAGAAUAAAAACGUAAUUUUAAAAUUUAAAUGAUCAAAUAUCACCUAAAUAAGUGAUAUUUGUCCUGUCUCCUACACUCUCUUGGAACCCAUAUGAUGCCGUUCAUUUUUAUGCAUUAAUUUUCAUGAGAAAGUUGGUUUUGAAAGGAUUGAUACUAUAUAAUUAGUCUGAGAGAAUUUGCUGGUGCGUUAUAGUGGGACAUGUGAAAUAUUAAUCAUUUAUUUUAAUUGCAUUAUGAUAAUGAUCAUACGAAUAAUAUAGCCAAAUUAGAUGUGUCUCUUGUCAUUUUACUGUUAAAGAUUUGGCUUUAUCCUUUUGGUCUCAGUCUUUUGCUCUUAUUCUUCACAUGAGAUGGUGAAAUUAAGUCAUUUCAUGACGACCCUUCUCCUACUCCACGUACUAUGUCUCUGGAAAUCAGGAACACCUUUGUCAGGUUUCGUUCAUUCAUGCAUGCAGAGGGAAAAAGAAGACAUAUUUUAUAAUAAAAGCAAGCAAGAAAGAAAAUACUAAAGGAUACAUGUUAAAGAAAAACUAAAAAGUAUUUAUUAUAUUAAUUAAAAAUAUAAAAUAUAUUAUUUAAUACCUUUUUAAAUUAAUUAAAAAUAUUCGGUAGAAUUGAUUAAAUAUUUGUUUAUCAACACAUUUAAAACACUUAUUAAAAAGAGAUGACUCCUUCGAAUCCUCAUCAAAAGUAGUUAGACAAAAAGGGAGUUGUGGAAUAAUAGUUGAUUUGAAUGAUGUGGAAACAUGUAAUUGUAGUAGUUAGGAAGAGAGUUUGAUGAGGUAUGAUUAAUGUAACACUUUUAGGGUUAUUUUAAUAAAUUAUUCUAGAAUUAUGUUAGAUUACUUUUCUUUUUAUUAAGUUGAUGAUACAAUAAGAGACUUGUUUUGUAGUAUCAAAAAUAUGGAAUCGGCAAUUAAUUUAAAAAUUGGUGACCUUUUAGUGUUACUUUGUAGAUUAUUCGUAAAUAAGAAAUGUAUAAAAAUAUGGAAAUAAAAUUUUUCUUGGACACUUAUUUGAAGUUCUUACAUUAUAAAUUUUAAAGGUAAUUUUUUUCAUAAAAAUGACAAAACAGAAAAUUAUAUUUUAAAAUUAUAUGAAAAAUCAGAAAAAAUCUUUUUCGAUUGGGUGUUGAGAAUAAAAAUAUACAAAACACUUUCUUCAAUUUACUUUUUAUCAUUAUUUAACAAUUAUAUAUUAAAAAAUAUUAUUUUUAUCUAAAAUUUUAAAAUUUAGAACUACUUUUUUUUUCUUAUUUAGUCCAUAAAUAAUAAAAUAUUUAGUUUUAUUCCUUAAAAGUAUCUUAAUAGGGACUAAAUGUCAUUUAUUUAGUUAAAUAAAAGAAUUGUGAAAAAUAUAAAAAAAAACAUUAAUUCUAAAAUUUGUAAUUUUUUCUAGUCAAAACAUAUUCAAAAUUUUAAAACUAUAAUAUUAAUAUUAUAUACUACGAGUAUUUAAUAAUAACGCACACCUACACCUAUGUAUUAAGAGCAUCCAUUACUUGAACUUUGACAUAGGUUCUUAGGUUACUUGUUUUGAUCUCACACUAUCAUAUACUUCAACUGUUGAUAAUUAUAAGAUAUUUAAAAAAAAUUAUUUGUUUCUUUUCAUAAGAAUUUUUUUUAAUUUCUAGACACGUAAAUUGUUUUUUUUUUCUUAUAUAUAUAUAUAUUCUUACUUAAUUAUUAUUUCUCCAAACAUUAAUAAAAAACAAGUGAAUAAAAAUAAAAUAAAAAAAUAUUUAAAUGAUAUUAUAAAUAAUUAAAAAAUUCAAUAUGAUAACUACUUAAACGAUACAAAUUAGUUAAAAAGUCCUAUAAUUAAAUACGGAAUGAGUAAAUUUUAAAAACUUUAUCGAUUGUUACUCCAACAAUAACUCACUAAAAUUUAUCAACUGUCUNNNNNNNNNNNNNNNNNNNNNNNNNNNNNNNNNNNNNNNNNNNNNNNNNNNNNNNNNNNNNNNNNNNNNNNNNNNNNNNNNNNNNNNNNNNNNNNNNNNNUGAUGACACCACUCAUAUGUCACGUUGUAUUGGAGCAAUAAUGUAUUGGAUAGGUUUGUCAUGAGAAUAGUAACAUGAAAUUUGUGAGUGUCAUAAACGCUUUUCAAAAUAAUCAUUGUCAUUUGUCUAUGUAGUCCUCCAACUAGAAAUCAAUACAAUUUCCAUGUCAGAAGUUAUGAGAUUUAAUUUCCAUUAAACGCCAUAUAUAAAAAGAUGACUAUAAUUAAAGUGGUUGUUGGACAUUAAACGAACCAUAUGUAAAUGAAUGUGCGUGAGUGACUUAGAUGGAAUUCAUCCCUUACAUAUAACUAGAGUGAUAUCUUUGAGACCUUUUGAUAGAGCAAGACAGUAAAAUAUGUGGUCGUCUUACAAUGUUACGAGAACUUAUAAGAUUAAACAGAAGAUUAAUUGGAACAAAAGAGAAAUUAGAUUCAUCAACAUGAUAUAAUAUGGUUGAUAAAUAACUUUAUCUUUUAAUUAUGUGGUUAAGAAUCUAUGAUUAUGAAAAAAUAUCAAUUAAGAAAUGUUAAUCCCUUAAUUAGAUUUUUGUUUCUCAAGAAAUUAGUCUUUAGCUCAAAGACCCAGAGAUAUCUAGGUUAAAAAAAAAAUAGAUUGGGCUCUAAUUUUCGUGGACCAGACUCAUAACGUAUGAGUCUAUAAGACUUAGCAUACCUCACUUAUUAGAAAGGAGUGUUAUUAUAAAUUGUCUGUGGGUAGUAAGGAGGGGAAGACACCCUACCAAUUAAAACCACGAGGGGGAAGUUAAAAGAAUAAGAAUCGGCCAAUGUAACACCUGGUUUGUUUGAUAAAAUAAAAUAAAAUAAAAUAAUUAAUUAAUUAAUCAAAAGAGGGUUUUUAUAAUUAAUAAAAGAAACUAAAAAAAUAGGAAUGAAAAUGAGGUCAUCAGAUUUUUCAUUAUAUAAAGGAAUUUUUAACCAAAGUAGUUUUACAAAACAUUUUUUACAUUUUCUGUUCUUUUUACUUUGACAUUCAAGAACUCUAGCAGAGCUAUCGAAGGAGGAGCUCUAGAGAGUACCAAAAACGUCACCAUUGUUAACAAAGAAUGCUUGAACGAUUACAUCAAGGUAAUGGAUGAGUUACUCACUCUUAAGAAUUAAAAUGAUCACGUGUAGAGAUCCCUAAAGGAUCAAUUUUUUGGAUUAUUUUGAGUUGUUUUAUGAAAUUCAAUUUUAUUCUUAUGCUUUUAAUCAUGAAUUUAUUAUGUUUGAUGGACCAACUGAUGUCCUGAUGCGAAAUUGAUGUGUGAAUCCUAGAAAUUGAGUCCUUUUCUAAUUCAAUUAUUUUUUCCUCUAUUGUAUAAUUUUUUUUAGAUGCUCGUAACAUUUUCUCCUUUUGCCAAUGAUAAAUUUGCCAAAUUGUAUUUUAUUGGUGGAAUAAUUAUGAAAAGUUGUGAUUAAUUUUUGUGAUGAUGGUACAGUGCAUGAAAUCAAGUUGUUUCUAAUUGUUGGAUUUCCAUGGCUUAGUUGGAAUGCAUUUAGGAUAUGCGUAUAAUGUUUUCCAUAUACACAAAUAUAUGUAUAUAAGUUUCUGAUUGUUAUUAUCUAUGUAUGAUAUGUACACACACCCACACACAUAUUUAUCUAAUAAUCUGUGUAAUCACACAACUAUAAGACUCUUUAAAGAAGACGAGUUCAUGCACGGUGAGUUUUGUGAUGGGCUCCACUGUGGGAACCUGACGAGUUCAAUCACUAGAGGCGCGAUGAGUUAAAAAGAUUUUGAAAAUAAUUGAGAUUUUGAAAAUAAUUCAGUAGUUGUGUGUAUUACAUAGUUCAUAGAUAAAGUAUAUGUGUUAAAAUGUUUUUUGGAUUGAAUCUGAAUCAGGAGGGAGAGGCCCUGACAGACUUCUCGAAGUCUAGGCCUUGGGGGUAAAUACACUUAGUUUGACUACUCCUUUAAGUCUGUGUCAAUCCCACAUGAUUGGAGUAUUCUCGCAAAAUAAAGUGACCCUGACUGGUCUCCCUGUGAUUUCACCUAGUGAGAGUGACCUAACUGACUCAUUGUGAGACAUGUCUUGUCAUGUACUCCUAGGCGCCAAACAAGGUUUUUCACUGAAAAUGGUAUCACAUUGCAUGUAGGCUUGAGUCUAGUGUAUCUGUUGCAUAACACUUGUGUUUGAUUUUCAUUAAGCUAACGAUUCAGGUUUUGGUGUUAUUUUCUGGAGUGUGUGAACUUGAAUAAGUGUGAAUAAUGUGUGUGAUUUUGUGAAGUAAUGUUGUUUAUGUAAAUUUAGCUCUAAGUAUUAUAUGUUUCACAUGCUCUAGUGUUUUAUUAUAUACGAAUGUGAUAACUCAUUCUCGAUGUGUGUUUAUGUUUGGGCUGAAUGUCAUUUUGUUUCACGUGAGCCAACAUAUGAUGAGUUUUAUGCUGAAGAUGAAGAGACUUAACCUUUGCCAGGGAAAUAUUUUGAUAAAUGUGACAUUAUGGCAUGUGAUUUUUAUUUCAUAUGUUACAAUUCUAUGAAUAGUAUAGUUGUUUUAUAUUUUCCGCUAUUAGUUUGACUUCUUCUCAUUCAGAAUGGACAACCUUGUUUUGAAUCGAGAUAAUUUUAUUAUUUAUUUGGACAAGUUCUAUUAUGAUGUUAGAAAAGUAAAUGUGAAUCUUUUACCUUUUUGAAAUUCUUUUAUUUAAAUAUAUUUUAAAACUUUUAAUUAAUUUUGUAUUUUUAUUUAUUUUAUUAUUAGUACAUAUAUGUAUGAGGUAAAGGAUGUCACCGCACACCAAAAGCAUUGAAAUGAAAGGGAAUGAAAUCAGGUAUAAAAACUUACUAAUAGCGCCACUUAAGGUUUUGUAAAAAUCUAUCUAUAGAUACUACUAAAAGAAUAGGCGGUCAAAAUGACCAAAAUAGUCAUUAUUUUUUGUUGACAUGUGUUAUUUUUUUGGUUUUUUUGUCUUUUCAGUUACACUAUGUCGACACCCAAACAAAAACGCAAAAACAGUGAGAAGAUUAAAAUGAAAGCCAAAGCGAAGAAUGAGGAAUACUGACAUAACACGUUCUUUCUGCUUCCCAGUUUUUCAAUAAAAAAAAUUCAUAUUGCAGGAACAAAAAAUUUGAUCAAUUUUAUAUAAUUUAACUUCAUUUUAACAUAUAAUUUAUUUUUUAAAAUAUAAAUAAUAUUAUAUAUUUUUGAAAAUAUAUAGUAUUUAAUAUAUAAUAUUUAAUUUUUAGGCUGCAUAAGUCCCAUGUUAUUUUAUUGUUAAUUUUUCUUUCAUUUACACUCUUUUUUCAGUAAAGAAACACACCCUUAAUGCAGUAGUAUGUUUGUUUGUUUUAGUAUAAAUAUUUUCUUUUCCUAUAUAUUUUAGUAGUAGGGAAUUUUUUAAAAUUUGAUAAUUAUUUUUUUAUUACUUCAAAAAAUAAUUUGUUUUUAUUAGUCCUACAGUUUUUUUACAAGUUAUUUUUAGUUUCUCUUAUUCUUUGUGUUAAUGAUAUCACAAUUUAUUUGAAGUGAUUUCUCAUUGUUAAAAAUGUUUUUUAUAAUUUAAUAUAUAUAUAUAUAUAUAUAUAUAUAUAUAUAUAUAUAUAUAUAUAUAUAUAUAAUAUAAAAGAGUGUUAAUUGUUAUUCAUGAGCUUUAUUUGCAUUAAAAAUAGGAGAAAAAGUAGCAAUGUACCUCUAAUUUAUGGUUUCUUUUGUGAAAUUUGUAAAUAAUUUAUUCUUGUGUGAAUUUAUACAGGGAAACUCCAUUUUUUGACUAAUGUUGAAUUUAAUUGGGUUUUUAGGCUAAAGAAGAGAAGAAGUUGAAAUGUUGUUGAAGGGCUCGCUCAGCGAGUCAAAUUGGCUAAGCGAGGCUUAUCCGCUUAGUAAGGAAGUCAGCUCGCUAAGUGAACACAAAACCCUAGAGGAUGUUAAGCUAGAGAGUAGCACGCUUAGUGCGCAGCCAGUCCGUCCAACGAGGAUGUUAUCUCUUUUCGCGCUUAGUGUGUCUAAGCUCGCUUAGCGUACAAUCACUUACUCUCGCUCAGCGAGACAUGCUCGCUGAGCGCACCUUUGUAUGCUGAGAAGCCUAAAAACCUUUAAAAACACUCAGAAGAGAGGAAGUUAGGGGGACAAACUACAUGAGACAAAAGGAAGACGACACCAAAGCUAAAGAGAAGACUUUUGCUUCAUACUUUCAUCAUUUUCUUUCAUUCAAACGUUGUUUCCCCCUUGUAUUGAGCCCUCCUUGCUAAUGUAGGGCUAGAAACUUCAUUGUUGGGGGAGUUUUUCUACUGAGCACUCUUAAUGUAAAACUUCUAACUAUCUAUUGAAUAUUAUUUCUAGUGUUCUUUGUUUCUAUCUAUGUUUAUUUUACGUACUUAUAACUUGAUCAUUCAUUUGUAUGCUUGGUUAGGUUUUGAAUGUUGGAAAAUGCUUAGAAUCCUUAGAACUUGGUAGAGCAGCUAGAGGUCUGUAUAUCUAGGAAUAGAGUGCAGUAAUCUAGUAUAUUUUUCAUCUUGUGCGUAGUUCAGCUCCCUUAGAAUGAGUUUGUUGAGGAAUCAAGAACAAAAACUAAGAGAGUUAGACUCUUUUAUGUGAAGAAUCAUGGCUUGAGUAAAUCAACGGUGCAAGAACGUUAGAGUAAUGUUAAAUAGAUAAAAACCUAUUAGUACGACAAGAGGAAGUUCAGUAGAAUACUCCCCAACGCUUUUAUUUUGAUAUUCAUUUCGUUCUACGUCUUUGUGUUCAUUUUGUUAUUUGUUUAAGUUUAGCAGAAUUUAUUAAAGACAAUCAAACCAUGAAUGAGUUUCUCUAUUUUUAUUAACGAAGUUGAAAAUGUUUACAUAAUGAAUAUACAACAUCUAAGUAAAACAAAUUUCAUGUGGACACGAUACUUGGACUUACCGUUUUAAAUACUACUUGUGCAAAUUGAUAUACUUGCCAGUAAGUGAACAAAGAGUAGACUAGCAAAAACAUCAGUUUAAAAGAGUAUAUAAAUAUAUAAAAGAGGAUAGUAUGUUGAGACUUUCUAAUACCACGGAUAUAUAAAUUCUGUGUGUUAAUAGUAUCACAAUUUAUUUGAAGUGAUUUCUCACAAUUAAAAAUAUUUUUUAUAAUUUAAUAUAUAUGUUAAAUAUAUAAAAUAGUAGGCUAGCAAAACACCAGUUUAAAAGAGUGUAUAAAUAUAUAAAAGAAAAUAGUUUGCUGAGACCUUCUAAUACUUCUAAUAUCAUGGGAUGAUCUCCUUGAAUAUAAAUACAUCAGUCUUAGUAGUAUAAGAGAUUUUAUAUGAAAGUUAAUCAAUCAUAUUUUUUUUUUCAAUUUAACUUAUAACCUUCAAAAAAUAAUUUGUUUUUAUUAGUCCUACAAAGUUUUUAAAAGUUAUUUUUAGUUUCUCUUAUUGUUUGUAUUAAUGGUAUCAUAAUUUAUUUGAAAUGAUUUCUCAUCAUUAAAAAUACUUUUUAUAAUUUAGUCUAUAUAGUAAAUAUAUAAAAAAGUAGGUGAGCAAAAAUACCAGUUUAAAAGAAUAUAUAGAUAUAUAAAAAAAUAUAAUUUGUUGAGACUUUCUAUUAGUAGUAUAAGAAAUUUUAUAUGAAAGUUAAUUCAAAAGUUUGAUUUCUGUAAAAGUUUUCGUAUCAUUAAUCAAUCAUAAUUUUUUUUUUCAGUAUAACUUAUAAAAUAAAUAUUAUAAAAUUAAUAAAUUUAUCAUAUAUGAUAAUUUUAUGAUUAAAUAACAAUAUAAUUUAUGCACAUAUUAUUCAUUUAUUAAAUUAUAGUUGGAGAGGAUAAAAUUAUUAAAGUUUAUAAGCCAUUUUCAUUUAUUUUUUAAUAAAUAAAUUGUUGGUCCAAUUAUAUGACUCUAGUUAUCCUAUAUUGUUGCUUAAACAUGGGAGAAAUGAGAAUUUUGGAAAUCGAAAAGAGAAAGAGAACAGCAUGGUAAAUACAUGGGACAGGACGCACUGCAUACUCGUAGUAAUAUAAAUGGAGAUGUCUAUUUUUUUUAGUAAUGGAUAGGAUCAAACUCCUUUUAUUCACCAAAAAAUAAUUUGGAAAAAAAAUUAUAAGUGACUUUUUAUACUUUUUAGCAUGUUUUACUUUUUAAUCUAAGGACAAUUUCACUAUUAAAACAAAAAAAAAUUAAGUAAAAAGCAGUGAUCUAUGCAUAUAGACGGAUAUAUGACUGGUUAAUAUAGAAAAAGAUAGUCAUACACUACAUAUCAUGUCACAGUGUACUUAUUUUGACACGUGCUCCAGUAUAUAUUCAUAAAAAAAAAAAAAAAAGAUACAUAAUAUAACAAUUAGUUAGAAUAACAAAACCAAACAUUAAAGAACAGAAAUAGGUUGAAAAUUAAAUUAUAGAAAACAAUCACUCCCAUAUGCACCGAAUUUGAUGUGUGUGCCUGUAAUCACAAGUUAGCACCAAUUUUCUAUCCAUUCUCUUCAAUACAAAACUUUCCACCAAUGCAUAACAACUAAAUUUCCUCCACCUGUUUGUUCCUCCAAACUCCUCAACUCUUUCCACUCUCACUUGCCUUUGAUUCCCAGCAAUCCAUCCAACUCUUUCUUGCUCCCAUCUCAUUCUAUCAACAAUUUUCAAACUCAGCCCAACACUUGUAAUUUCCAACCCCUCAUCGUCAAAACUCUUAAACCACACCACCCUCUCACCAUUCUCAUUCCAAACAGCUUCCCUUCCUGCAAUCUUUGCAACUUCUGUUUGAACAACAACAUCCACAAACACAGCCAGAUUUUCUCCAUCAUUAUUUUCCUUUGAAAAUAUCUUCUCCCAUCUUUGCUUAAGUGUCAACUCAUAGAACACUGUCUUUUUCAUCUGCUCCUUCAAUUUCAUUAAUCUUUCCUUAACAAACAUAAAAGGGCAGUACCACUUUCCAACAUCCACUGAUUCAGACCUAUCAUUGGACAGUGGGAAUACGUUGAAAUCAGGAAGCUUGGCACGCAAGGAAUCAUCAGAGCCUAAAGCUUCACCUAAAUGAUAAUCUGUGGGAGUAUGAGCAUAAACACGCCACCCUUUUCUUCUCAACAGACCAGGAAGAAUUCCAUCUGGGGCAACGGAUUUUGCUUUGAAAUCAUUAUUCACCCUCUUGAUGAUUUCAACCUGCUGAUAAUCGUCAGAGGGAUCCAAAGGUCUUGGUUUAACAUCUUGGACAAAGCUACAACAUAAAAACGUCUCCAUGUCCUCUUCUUUUGAACUUGUGCUAGCUUGACUGAAAUCAAUUCAAGUUUCAAAAAUAUUAAUGUUUGGACUAAAGUAGUAAUUAUAUUGCAUGUUUUGAUAAACCUCAAUAAACAUUUACAGGGAAGAAAAGUACAAAGGUAUUGGGCUUCUUAAGCAAAAAUCAAUUCAUGUAUGUACCUUAAAUUUUGGAGAAGUUAAAUGAAAAUCUAUAAAAGUUAAGAAUCAAUCGAUUUUACUUGUCAAAAUAUUUAAUGUAUUUUAUAUCAAUUUAUAUGUCUUAUAUUCUUCUCCUAUAAAUACUUAUCGAUAAGUUUAUAUAUAAACAUGUGUAACAUUAUCUCUUCCACAAAUUAUGUAUAAACUGAACAAAAUGUGAAAAAAACAUGUGAUGCCUUCUUGUGUACUAAUGUGUGUUUGGUUAGCUUAUGUUAAAAAUAUGAUUGCUUAUUUAUAUAAGCUUCUCGAGAGAGCUUAAAAUAAAAGUAUUAAGUUUAAUUGAUCAUAAAGAAAAGUGAUUAUAAUUCAUACUAUACCCUUUAUGCUUCCCCUUCCUUUUUAUCACAUAGUAGCGGUUCGAAGACAAGGGUUGAUUCAAUACUGGAACAAACAAGUCUUCUUCACCAUCGCUUCCAUAGUUGAUUGAUAAGUUUUUGUUCUGAGGAAAAGGAAGAUCCCUUAUAGCUCUGUCCUUGAACAAACCAAAGAAAGAGUAAGCCUGGGCUUCUUUAUCAAGGAUUACAAGGUAACCUGAAUUUGGCCCUAGUGGAGGGUCUGAAACAGCACUAGGGUUCCUUUUGUACAUAGAAAGGGGUCUUGUCACAUACAUUGUCUAACCUUAACAAUUAAUCUUCGAUUGUUUUUGUUUCACAUAUAUAUAUGCACGCAUUCCAGGGAAAUAUAAAAUACUUUGUCUUCUUAUCCAUAUGUAAUGUAUGUGUUUAUCAGUUGAUAUUGACAAAAGGGUCAAUUUCACACAUUGUUUUUCGGUAUAUUCUUAUUAGGGUAUAUAUGAUACACGCUCCUUGGUUCUUUGGAAAAAUCAAUCUCAUGGUAUAAUUCUCUUGUCUAUAUUGACUUGGUUGGUCCAUUCUAUAUUUCAAUGAUGAUUUUUUUUAAUCAGUCAAAUUAAAUUCAUUAAUGAAGGACACAAAUCACACCGAUAAUUUCAAGAAAUUACAAAGGGAAUUACUCAACUGUCCAUAUGUUGGUUACUCAAUAUUAAAAGAUAAUCAAUCAAAUAAUUAAGCUUUGACAGAAAUAAUUCUUAAUUAAUAAAAUAUUACUUGUUAUUUUUGGAUUAGUGAAGACAUCUUCUCCUUAUGAAUAAAAGGGUUAAGACAAAAAAAAAAUACUAAAAAGCAGUCAAUCUUUUAAUAUGCUGUGACUCACGUGCACAUGCAGUAUCAUAACACUAAUAACUGCACAAGUAUAUCCCCUCCCAAAAUCACGCUAAUCUCUACGUACGUGCAUAUAUUAACAAACAAUUCAGUUUCCCUCUUAAUUAGAGACAAUUGAUAUAUACAAGCUUCAGGAUUGAUUACCCACUAUGAGAAAGAGUAGCAGAAUCCCUCGAUUUAUAAUUUAUAUAAGAUAACUUUGGCGAAUCUAUCAAUUUAUAAUUUAUAUAAAAAUCCUUUAUUGAUUUAUAAUCUAUGAAUCCUGAAGUAGGAACUGAGGCUUUGGGAUUUGAUCUCACACACAAAAGCUACAUGUAUUUGUAUAUUUUAUUUUUCAUGGCGCAUUACCAUGUCUAUUAAGAGCUUUAUUGAUGGACCUGACAGCCUUGACCGAUUUUAUAUGUUUUUUACAAGAACAAAUGAUCAAUUUAUUGGUAAUGGACCAGGCUAGCUGUUUUUUGAUGUAGAGACACAAACAUAAUUUUUUUUUCCUAGAACACAAUUUCCUCUUUAAAUAAAUCAUUCUCACUCAUAUGAACGCAAUAAAAUUUUACAUCACUGUGUCAAUCCUUUGGGUUAAAAACAAACAUUUGAGGAAGUAUCAAUUACUUAGGAGAUUCACUCAUUACCCUCAAUCCCUCACUAAUAUUUAUUUUCAUAAGAUCUAAUUAUAACUAAUAACUAAUUUUAAUCAUUAGAUUUCAAGAAAAUAAAUCAUCAAUUCUCAACUUUUUUUUCUUUCAAAUUCGACUGCUUUAGUCUCAAUCUUCUUGUCUUAUUUUUGUCUUUCUAAUUUAUAAAUACUUCAGUUUUUGUCCUUAAGGUCCAAGUCAUUGACCCUCUUUUCUUUUUCUUUGGGAAAGCCUUCAUCUCUAAUGUUAUCACAAUUAAGCGUGUUGAAGGCCUUUGAACUCAUAUGGGUCUUAAGGUCAAUUACCACAAAAGCUUUAUUGGAGCUAUUGGGGUUAAACUAAUGUCUUGGAAAGGUUCGCCACUAUCAUGAAUUGCAAUCUUAAUAUUACUAAACUACCAUUUGUGUAUCUUGACAUUCCCAUUGAUGUCAAUCUUAGAAGGAAAAAUACUUGGAAGUCGGUUGUUGAUAAAGUGACUAGAAGAUUGAGCUAAAGGAAACAUUGAUCCUUAUCCAUGGCGAGUAGAAUUUGCUUAAUUAAUUUGACAAUCUCUUCCCUCCCUCUCCUUUAUAUUUCUUUCUUUAAGAUGCCCUUGGGCGUGGGGAAGAAAAUUGAGAGACCCCGAAACUUCUUUGGGGGUUAAUAAGAGCUCAAAUUCUCAUAUUUUAUGAUGGUGAUGAGUGUAGAGUGUUUUUUUUUUAAAGACACAAACAAUUCAUAUAUAAAAGAACAAUAGACAACCACAAGUAGUGGCAAUCCCAAGCAAGAGUUACAGAAAAUAAUAACAAAGUUGGGUGACAACACCCCAAUAAAACCCCCUAUUUACAAAAACAAGACAAUGAAGCAAAACAAGAAGACACGACACCCAAAAACCACUCCCACGGAUUCCUAUUUAGCAUAGCCAAUGAACUUGAGCCUUCCCAAAAUGAAUGCUAUCGAUAACAUAAUACUGAUGACUCAAAUAAAGUAUCUAGUGUGACACCCUCUACUCCAUACAUAUAUGUAUUAAUAAUAAAAGAAAUAAAAAUUCAAAUAUUAAUUAAAAGUAUUUAAAACAUUUUUUUAAAUAUAAGUCUUUCAAAAGGGUAAAAGGCUCACAUUCACCUUUCUAAUAUCAUAAUAAAAUUUGUCUAAAUAAAUAAUAAAUUCACUUUGUCUCAAAACAAGACCGUCCAAAACUUUAUACAAUUAAUAUAAAACAUAUACCCUAAUGUCAUAUCCUAUCAGAGCAUUGUGUUCCCGUGUCCUCUAGUAUGAGAUUCUUCAUAGUCAUCCACCUAUUCAUCUGCUCCCACGAAUAUAAGGUUCGAGAUCAUCAUAGGAUUCAAACACAAAUAGCACACUGGGAGUGAGUUAUCAUAUUCCUAACUAAUGAAGAGUAACGAUACAACAUGUAGGUAUAAAUAUCAUAAAAACAAAAUAAAACUUACUUAAACAUAGCUUACAUCAUUUCACCACUUUGUCAUCCAACAUCAUAUCAUCACACAACACAUUUCAUUCAUUUUCACAACAUUCACGUACUCAAAGAUCAAAACACAAUGUCAUCAAGUCAAUCAAUAUCGAUCAAUAUACAAGUGUUAUGCAACAUAUACACUAAGACUCAAUCCUAUAUGGAAUGUGGUACUAUGUCAGUGAAAAAUCACGUCGAGCGCCUAGGAGUACAUGACAAGACAAACCACACACUAGCAAGUUAGGUCACUCUCACUAGGUAAGAUCAUAGGGAGACCAAUCAGGGUCACGGUGUUUUGCGAGAAUGCUUCAACCAUAUGGGAUCAACAUAGGCUUAAAAGAGCACUCAAACCGGGUGACCCCCAAGGCCUAUACUCCAAAGAGUCCGUCAGGGCCUCUCCCUCCUGAUUCAGGUUCAACCUAGAAAACAUUUUAGCACACAGACUCUAUCUAUGAACUAUACAAAACACACGACUUCUCAAUUGUUCUCAAAUAGUUUAUCUCGUUGCCCUUAAGGGUCUUAGCAUUAACUCGUCGUCCUUAAAGGGACUUAGUAUUAACUUGUCGCCCUUAAAGGGACUUAGCAUUAACUCGUCGCCCUUAAAGGGAUUUAGCAUUAACUCGUCGCCCUUAAAGGGAGUUAGCAUUAACUCGUCGCCCUUAAAGGGAGUUAGCAUUAACUCGUCGCCCUUAAAUGGACUUAUAGUCGUGUGAUUGUACAAUUCAUAGUUCACAACUCAAUGCACACAACAUCUCAAUCACAUACAUACAUAAUUUAUCACAUACACUCGAUCUCAAUCACAAUGGUAUAAUCUCAAUUAACAUGUUAUCACACCUCAUGAAUCAUAUAUACUUUACCUAUGAACUAUGCAAUACACAUAACUACUCAAUUGUUUUCAAAAUCAUUUUAAAUUGUCGGGUUCCCACAGUGAAUCCCAUCACAAUACUCGUCGCCUUAAAGGGUCUUACAAUUGUGUGAUUGCACAGUUCAUAGCUCACAGUUCGAUACACACAUCUCAAUACACAUCUAUUUCACCAUUAAUCACAGGUUCAAAUUAUCACAUACUCAAAUUUGAAUCACCAUUUCAUAAUCUCAAUAUAACAAUUUAUACAAAAAGUUUAUCACAACAUAGGGAGUAAAACCCCUCAAAUAAUUUCACACAAUUAUACCAAAAUUAAUUAAUCAAAAUCAUAGAUAUAAAAAAAUAAAAACACCAAGAUCACUCUAUUUUAUCAACCAAUUUUUAUCAGGACAUCAAUAAUGUAUUUAUAAUAAUAAAGGGAAAAUUAUAAUUUAAUAAACAUCCCAAAAUAAACUCAAUUUAGUUUUCUAAGGAUCCCUACACUUGUUCAUUCUAACCCCAAUUGCGAUAAACUCAUCCUUUACCUCUAAGCGGGCUCACGUGUCUUCCAACAGCAAUAGAGGCAUCUCUAGCAAGUUCCUGAGAUUCUUUAAUUUUUUUCUCUGAUUGCUUUGAUAGGAUUCCUAAACGUCAAAGAGAAAAAGAGAUCGAAGCCUCCAUUUUUUACUGUCUUCAUGCGAUUCUGUUUUCUCUCUCCAUGGAUAUUAUUUCCCAAAUCCCAACGGUAAAGUUGUACCAAAUUGAAUCAUGAACCAAAUAUUAAAAGUUUAAGACAAUCCAGCGGUUAAAAAAUCCGGGUUCGUAGUUUUACCGAGACAGUUUUGGGUUUUUGCGGGAAAAGAAAAAGGCUAUGAUGCGAAAUGUAUUUCUCUCAGUUCCAACAUGAUUUCAAAUUCUCAAUGGUGAAAAGGCUCAAACCUGGUGCUUAAAUUUCACAACAAUCCAACGGUGAAUGAGUUUGAGAUUGUCUUUUUUUAAGAUAGGUUUGGUGGUCGGUGACAAAAAGAAAGAAUUUUGGAAAGAGAAGAGAGAAAAAUGAAAAUGAGGGAAAGAGGAGACAUAAUAUAUGACUAUUUAUACCUAAAUACUCAUAACUUAUUAUUUACUCUAUUUAUUUAUUUUUAUUAUUUUAUAUAAAGAAAUUCUAUUUUAUUUUCUAUCAAAUGAAUAAAUCAAAUAUAUAUAUAUAUAUAUAUAUAUAUACAAACAACAAACAAUUAUUUUCAAAGUAUUAUUUCAUUACAAUUAUUAUUUUUAUUUAUUUAAUUAUAAAAAUCUCACUAUUCUCUCUUAAACUUUAUUUAUUUAUUUAUACUAAAAAAUCUUUUUAAUUUACUUUAAAAAAAUGGAUUGUUACAAUCUAGGUCCAAAGAUACUCAUUGUAUUCAAAGUUAAACUAAGCUUUAGCUUCAAAGAUCCCGUCACACGACCUCGAGUCCUUUGGAUAACAAUCAGACAAUGCAAAACCACCCUCCAGAAACAUGAACACCACACCCCAAACACCAGAAACCCUUCCGAACUGCAAAAAUUAGAUGGAAUAAGACCUACUCCAGACUCAAUAUCCUGCUAUACUACACAUCAUAGGAUCAUCAAACCAACAUGCCAAAGAAUACGUACUACCGCCUCUAUUAUUUAUCCAUUGCCAAGACAUAAUCUUCACCAAAUCAAGAUCUCCUCUACCUCUUGAUCCUUUCCUUGAAAAAUGUGUCAAAUUAAUUUGUUAUAAUAAAAUUCAUCAAAAAUUAAAAAUUUAAGAAUAAAAAGUGUAAUUAAACCUACAAAAAGACAUCAAACAAGGGUGUAAACUCCUCAUCAGACAGACAUUUUAUUUGGAGUAUGGGGAUUUCAUAAUGGACUAAUUAAAUUAUUGAACAUAAGUGAUUGAUAUGUUAAAAUUAAGAUUAAAUCUUUAAGAUAUUAUUGAGUUUGAUGUUUAACAGUAAAAAUUAUUAAUCAGAUUUUAUUUAUCUUUCCUUGAAUUUCGAAUUAAUUAAGAUUAUUUUAAAAAAAUAAUAAUAAAAGGGACCAAACUUUGGGAAGUAAAACUGGUAUAGCUCCCGAGAAGAUAGUCAUUAUGGACAAAAAAAGUGUUCAUAAAUGGGCCCAUAAUGGCUUAGGUUCAAUGAUUCUGUUCUGUCCCAAACCACGGUGUUCUGUCAUCUCUGUUCUCUCUCUCACCAACGAACAAACCAAAUCCAACAAGACAACUCAAACAAACCAUUUUCAUUUCCCUCACUCUCUCUUUGCUUUCCCAAUCUCAUCUCAUCUCUCUCUCUCUCUCUCUGACCCAUCAUUCAAAUCUUAACUUUCAUUAAUCUUCUCUUCGUGGCUUAAGCCUAAGAAAAAUCACACACCCCCAUCACUGUUCACGGUCUUACCUUUCCUUCUAUUACUCAGGUACACCUCUUUUCUCUUUCAUUAGGUUUAGUACUAAACCCUUAAAUUAUAAUGGUUGGUUUCGUUUAAUAAUAAUAAUAAUAAUAAUAAUAAUAAUAAUAAUAAUAAUAAUAAUAAUAAUAAUGUAAGAAGAUUCUAAAUUUUGAAGUGCAAAAUGAUUGUUCUGUGCUGGUGAUAGUUUGAUUACAUGAAAAGUUGUAGUUUUUAGAUUGAAACUUAGGCUGUUUACUUCCGUGGAAUUGUGUGGUGCAAUGGGGUUUCUGUGUGUUGGGUUGAAGUUUAUUGCGGAAUCUGAGUGCCAAUUGAUGAGUUUUUUAGUGAUUUCAUUUGGCCAAUGAACUUGUGUGAUGAAUGAACAUGAAUCUGUGGAGUGUGCUUAGUUUUUUUGAUGGGUUAGUUAAUGGAUAUGACCUGAGGUGGGUGAGUUCUCUCUGUUUAGAUAAGUUCUGUGUAAUAUUGUAUGAGUCUUUUUGGUGGUUGGGAUAAUAUUAUAACUGAAUUUGUUUAAUGUGGUGGAAUGAAAGGAAUGAUUGAUUGAUGAGACAAUUUGAGGCGCUGUGACAGUGAUUCUGUUAAGAUCUUUUUUAAAUUGUCAUAAUAAGAUAUGGCAAAUAUGUUGUGCAUCAGUUUUUUUUUUUUAGCAAAGUUUGUGUAUGCUUUUUAGUUAUUCUCUAAAUGAAAAUAUUGAUAAUACAGAAUGGUCAUAUGUUUUCUCUUUAAAGUACCAGAUGGAUCUGCUUUAUGUAUUUUGGGACUAUUGUGAGAUUAGACAACCAGGAAGUGGGAUGAAUGCAUCCCUUUCUGAAACAUUGUGUAGUGUCAUUUUCUGUUUCCAUCAGUUCUGAGGUUAAAUUAUUUUAGAUACUGAGAUAAGUUGAUUUAGUCGUUGAAUGUUGAUCUAUGUCAGUCAUUCUGAUUUCACUGGACCAUCUAUUGGUACAGGUGUGAAAGGUUAAAGCAGAGUGUGAAUAUCAGGUCUUGUUCUUUUUUCGAAGGUGAUUCACUAUGUCGAUUAUUCUUGUGCAUAGGCUAAUACCAAGCUUCUAUAUCAGCACUUAACAGAUUAUGGCAUACUGAUUUUUGGCAUUUUAAUCUAUGCCAUCUGAUCUGACAUGAUUUCUCUACUUGUCUAAUCUCAAUUGUAAUUAAAAGAAAUCCGCUCUUGUCAAGGUACUCUCUCCCACUCUUGUGGGAAGACACAUGCAACUAUGAGCAACGCAUAUGUUAGCUCAACAAUAUAUGCUGUUAGGUGUAAAGAACCAUUUUCAUUAUCUUUCAAUGGCUACUCAAACUUCUGUUACGAAAGAUUUGACAGAACCCCAUCAUACUGUUUGUCAUGCUGUGGUUGUUGUGAUUACUGUUCAGUCUCCACUUACAGAGUACCCAUAAAGCCUUGCCUUAUAAAUGGCUUGAGGCAAUCUGCUCUUCUUCAAUUGUCAGCUUCUAGAAGGUUGAUAUUGGGUGGAGGAGACCAUUACCUUUCUCGGCUACCAGCUUAUGGUGUCCUCAGAGGUUGUCAGGAGCUUAAUUCUUCUGUCAAUGAGAGAACUGAUUAUAGUAGUAGUAGUAGAUGGAGAAUAAAGGGAAGAUAUAUUCGUGCUGCCUCCCAGAAAGGGAGAGAAUUUUCCCAUUCAUUUGGUUCUGAUGGUGCUGAAGCAGUUCUCAGCUUGUUGAGUGAGGAGGCAGAUAAGGAUGCUAUUUGUAGCAAAUGUAAGAAUGCGUCUUCAUCAAAAAGAGUGGAAGUUGAUAAAAGAAAAAAUGUGAGCAGAGAGAAACAUUUGAGUUCGAGUGAGAAAGUAGAAACAGAGAAAAAAGGAAUUUUGAAACGGCGUGAAUCAUCCUCCGUAGACUUGAGAAGAGAAUAUGGAAAAGCCAACCAAGAAAGGGAAGCCUUUGUAAAAAGUGAAAGCCAUAGGAAACGAAGAGAUGCAUCUAGUUGUUCAUCUUAUUACUCUCUCUCAUCAGGAGAUUUUGGGAGUGAGCUGGAAGUUCAAGAUGAGAUUGGUUUGGAAGAGUUGUCACUGGAAUAUGAGAAGGAUGAAGCAAAUUGUCUGGAGGAAGUGAAGGAAGAAUUCAACAGGCAAGGGGAUGACUCAAAGAAGCUGCAGGCUGUUUCAAAUAAGGGAAGAAUUGCAUUUGGUGUGGAUAUUGAUUGGAACCUAAGGAACAAAUCUGAAAAGAAGCUGAUUGAGGGAACUCUGCAAAACACUGAAUCCAUAAGAGAACAACAGGAUAUGCAUUCAAGAGAAUUUAGAACACAUGAUUCUGGUCAUAAAAAAUCAUCUAUUUCACAAAAGCGAGUCAAUAGUGAGGAAGAUAAAUCUUCUUUUAUUGACAAUUUGGAUAAGAAAGCAAACAAGGCAUAUAUUCAAACAGUAAACAGAAGAAAGCAUCAAUCUAUAGAUGUACAAGAGUCUGGUUGUGAUGAAGUUGAGACAACUUUGUUAUCACAAAAGAAAUUCAGUGGCAGGGAAGGGAAGCUUGAGAUAUCAGAAACAAUGUUGAAGGAAACAACUGAUGAAUAUAAAAAGUUUGUUGGUUCAACUUCUACCACAGGAAAGGAAACUUUGACAUCGAAGAAGGCAUUCAGUGGCAGGGAAGGGAACCUGGCAAUAUCAGAAACACUUUCACAAGAAACAAAUGAUAAACAUAAAAAAAUUGUUGGUUCUACUUCUACCUCUGGAAGGGAUGUGAUAGAUAGAAGUUCCCAGAAAUAUUCUGGAAAUUUAAAAAUUGAAGACACUGAAAGGACCUCAAAUACUAGGAUGAAGGACAUGGGAGUGAAAAAAGUUUCAGUUUUGAGUUCUGUUCAGGGAGUGGAUAAGCAGAAACACCAAAAAGGAGAGAAGAUCAUUACACAGAUGAAGGAUAAAGAGGGGAGAAAAAAAUCUGAGCAAUUUUCUGAAGUAUCAGAAGCUCACAAGUCUAAUGUUGAAGAUACAUCUAGCAUAAAGUCUAGAACUAGAUUAAAGAACAUGGAAGAAAAAUCAAACAUAAGCUCAGAUGCAAGGGUUACGUUGCUCCAAACAGAUAAAAGGACAACUCAGAGUUUCCAACACAGGAAAGGAUCUGAACUUGUCAGCACUUUAUCAGAAGGCUAUGUCAGUGAUGAAAAGCAAGUUUCAAGUUCUCAAAAAGCUUAUGAGAAGGUGAGAUUAAUUCCAAAAAGUAAAUCAACAUCACUUGUUAGAACUAGAGAAAGUUCUAGCCAAACUGAUGAAAGGAUUGCAAAAUUUGAAUUGGCCAGAGACGACCAAAGAUCUUGCAACCUUUCAAUUUCUGAUGAAACUAACUCAAGAGAGGAAUCCAGCUCCCAGGGAUCAUUGAGUUUGAUUUCUGGGGCUGGAAAACAUAGUAUAUUAGCAUCAGGUGAAAAAAGAAGGUCUGCAACAAUGUUGAUCCCUUCCUCUUCUGAAAUGGGUGGAGACUCAGUACAAUUUGAACUCACUGCAGGAAUUGCAAGCCCUGAGAUCUUCCUUGGAACUUCAGAAAGUGGUUCUUCUGCUUUGUAUGACAAUUCAGGAAGAAGUUCUGCUUUGCAUCCAGAUGCUAUCGAUUUAGCUAAUCGUUUAGAGAAGUCAUCUAGACAGUUUGUUGAUGAGUUUGCUGAGAGGGUCAUGCAUGAAGUAACGACUUCAGAAGCACAAGAGAUGGAAGUUACAGGAACAAAGUUGACACUUGAAGUUGGUGGUGAUCAGAUCUACAGCUCAAGGCAACAAGGCACUCAAAAUGACGCUCAGUCAAAGAAGCAUGAUUCUAGUCGUUCUUCUGGGUUUCCUGGGACAAAAGGACCUUCUGAUGAGAUGUGGGAUGUCAUGGAACCAUCUGUUGAGCAAGGUCAAGUAGCCAAAGAAACGGAUAUCAGCAAGGAAACAGGGAAAGCAGUUGUUACUAGAACUGGGAGGUCCUUAUGGGGUAUGAUUGGUGAUAUUGUUCAAUUACGUUGGGGUUCACGUGCUGGUUCCUCCACUUCAGCUGGAAGAUCAGCUGAGAGAAACUCACCAAACAAGUCUGACAGUGACACAUGGUUUUCUGGGCAGGAGCAUGAGGAAACCACUAAAACUAAUGUCUUAAAAAAAACAAGUGUACCACCACAAGUCAUGACUUCUGAUAAGUUAAAACCAGGUAAACAUUAUACCCAAAGUGAGGGAGAGGUGUCUGACAAUACAAAACUGAAAGACAGAGGAAAACAUCUCGAAGUUGGAUUGUCAUCCCCAAAUACAUUGGAAAGUGGAUCAAUGUCAGUAGGCGCUUCUCAUACUUCUGGAGAGGAAAAUGUUAGUGGGACUGAGGAUAAAAAAGAUUUGAAAGCCACUACUUCUGGCACACAAAACAUGGAAUUACCAAUUUCAGUACCUGCCAGAGGGCCUUCUAUUGAUGGAGAAAUUGUAAGCAUCGGUGGAUCUGACAUGUCUGGAGCUGAGUCAGUGGUUCCAAUCAAGGAAUCUAUUGCUCCUGUGCGGUCUGAAUUGUCCGGCUCAGAGAGAAAGGAUGGAGAGUUGAAGCAAAGAAAGUUUCAACGGAACAGGCAAGUCUUGAGAGAUAGGUUUGAUGACUGGGAAGAAGCCUAUCAAUGUGAACUUGAGCAGCGACGCAUAGAUGAAAUGUUCAUGAAGGAAGCACUUUUGGAAGCCAAGAAGGCUGCUGAUACAUGGGAGGUACCUGUUGGUGCUGUUCUUGUGCAGCAUGGGAAAAUUAUUGCUCGAGGCUGCAACUUGUAAGUGAGGAUAUUAUUUCAUUCUUUGUAAGUGUAAUGGAAUUAUUUCGUUCUUUGUAAUUGCCCUAGUUUUUAAUUUUUUUAUUUAUAUCUAAAUAUCUGUUCCAGAGUUGAAGAGUUACGGGACUCCACUGCCCAUGCAGAGAUGAUUUGUAUACGAGAAGCUUCAAAGCUUCUUCGAUCAUGGAGACUAUCAGUAAGUUUUCUAGUUGGAAAUUUAAAUCUAUUUUGAUAUCACACCGCCCAAAGUUUAAUAUUCAUUGUUGUGAUUCUCUUGUAUAAUUUUUAAGCUCAUAUGGCUAAUUUAACAUGUGACAAUAUUCCACCACUUUUAAGUUAAAGAGUAAAGACAUCUAUAGCUGCAGGUCUAAUAUUUAUUUUUACAGAACAAAGCAAGUUGCCAUUGCAAAGAUAUUUUUAAAUUUAAAUAAAAUUUAUAAAUAAAAAUAAAUUAAAUAGUACAUGUUUUCAUUAUUAAUAAUAAGUAUUUUAUUAUAUAAAAUAAGAAUAAAUUAAAGAGAUGGGGACUUUUAAAAUUGAGGACAUGAGAGAUCUAUCAAAAAAAUUAAAUAUCAUCAUUCAACUGGGGAAGUUGAGGCUUUUGUUAUUGUCGUCAUAAGUGCCUAUAAUAGAGUUUGAUAAACUCUGAUUUAUCAUUGAUCAGAAAAAUGAAAAGGCAAAUUACAAAGAAAAGAGUAAUCUCUAUAUAUAGAGAGUCUUAAAGUCUAACCGUAAACUAUCCCUAUAACUGACAGCUCACAGAUAAUGGAAAACAGAAUACACAAAGUAAAAACACUUUUAGUGGAAUAAGUAUACUCUAAUAGCCCAUGAUUAAAUAUCAUUAGACAUGUAGUGCCCUUCAUCCUUCAUCAUCACUGAGUAAACUAUUGACCAUUCAUAAUUUUACUUACGAAUAGUUGGUUGCUAUGCAGCUUUCUUAAUUCUUAUGUGGACUCAUUAAUUCAAGAACAAGGUUUAUUUGCAUGCAUGCAAUGGUGGAUAUCAUUAUCGAAAUGUCUAAUGUAAAAAUAUAUAUUAGCAAGAUAGAUUCAUGUUUAAAGAGGGUGAAAUUAUUGAAAGAGAAAAAAACAUUAGGAUCAGAUUACUUUAUAAUCUGUCACUCCCUAGUACUUCUAUCUAAUGACUGAUAAUGUUAAAAACCCUUGCUGUGGCAAUUUUUUUAUUUAAAAAGAAGAAAAUUCAUUAAGAAAAGUGAGAUAUACAAAGGUAGAAGGAUAAGAUAUCCCCCAUAAGAGAACUGGAAAAGGAAAAAAAAAUACAAAGAACAAGCAAAAUGGAGCUCAAGAAAAUCAGUGCACAAUGGCAGACCAAUCUUUAUUGGAAUCUGAAAUGGCAACCCCCUUAAAAGAGCUAGUGAGCCACACUCUAAAGAGAAGCCCAAAUUUUGAUUACUUUAUUAUCUAUUGCUAUUUAAUUUAACCAGUAUUAAUAAGUAAUGUUACUAAAAAUAAUGCUCCUGUAAAAAUAAAGAGAAUUUGACUAUAAUGGCAUGUUUAAUAACCUAAAGCAAUAUUUAUUUAGUACAGGGGAAUGAGAAUUGGAGUGAUAGUGAAAGAUUUUUGUAUUUGGACUUACCUGUGGUCCUGGUAGAUGAAUCAUUUCCUUCCUUUCAAUUAUUUCUUACCAAACAUUGCUUGAAGGAUCACUUAGUAAUAUGGUCUUUCUUGACAAAUGGUUGAUAUCUAUUAGUUGUGGUAUUUGAUACAACUUGAUAAUUAGGUUGAUGGUUCAUUUGUUUAAGGACAAAAUUUUCCCACUUUCAGGACACUACACUUUAUGUAACGCUUGAGCCAUGUCCAAUGUGUGCUGGUGCUAUCCUUCAGGCAAGAGUAGACACUGUUGUGUGGGGUGCUCCCAAUAAGCUUCUUGGAGCUGAUGGUAGCUGGAUUAGGUAUGCAGCCAAUGUGCUUCUUUUAUUUGUUUAUCAUUAUUUUGAUAAGGGAGUCUUUAUGGUUGUUUGUCAAUGUUUCAUGAAACUUCACCUAUAUUUGGCCGAAUUGGUCUCUACCUACCUUUAUUUUCCUGCUUGUUAUCUUCAGUUGAAUUGGCCGUGCCAUAAAAACACUAUGGAAAAAGAGGGAUUGCACACAUGUGCAUUAAAAUAUAUAUUAUUAUAAUUAGAAAAGGACCACAAUGCCCUCAACCAUAAUGCAUGUUAAACAUUUGGUAUUUGACUAUAUGGUCGCAGUUAAAAUUUUAUGUCUAAUCCCAUAUUUUUUAGAUUAAGAAAUCAUUAAUAAGCCUAUGAAACAUGGUUUUUACUUAGAGAAAAUAGUAUAUACAUUAACAUGUAAAGAUUUUUUUUUACAAUGUCAUCUAAUCACAAAUUAUUAUGUAUGAUCAAUUUGUUGAUUUUUAUAAUAACUAUUUUAAAAGUUAUAUCAAGGAUACUUUGUAAUUGGUUAAUAACAGUUUAAAAACUUUUACACUGACCGUGCUUGUUUAUUAAACUCUUUUUCUUAUGUUAUAUAGAUGUCAUUUCUGUUUACAACUCCAUUGUCAACAUCUUUUUACUUUCCUCCUAAUUUACCUUUUCAGAACCUUAAUGAGUUGCAUUUCUUCAAAUGUACUGGGAUUACAACAUAAUCAGGGCUGGGGUUUCCAAUUGUUUUCCCAACUGAAAUUGAGUCCCUUUUUGGAUAUUUUCUUGAAAGCUCAGCACAUGAAAUGUUCUUGAAAGCUCAGUACAUCGAAUAUUACAGCUCUUUCUUGAACCUUAUUUCUGCAGAAUUUUCCCUGAUGGAGGAGAAAAUGUAUCAGAACAAAGAGAUAUGCCACCUGCCCCAGUUCAUCCAUUCCAUCCAAACAUGAAAAUAAGAAGAGGGGUCUUAGCCACUGAGUGUGCAGAUGCAAUGCAGCAAUUCUUUCAGCUUAGAAGGAAAAAGAAGAAAGAGGAACCACCGAAUGGCCCUUCUAGCCUUCCUGUUACUCACCACCCAUCCAAGUUACUCAACAAGAUACAUGACGUCUUCCACAUCAUGUUCUGUUUGUAAAAGAGAAUAUUCACAUAUUUUCCCAUGUUUUAAAUGAGCUUCUAAAUAAAAUAAUCAAACAUGAAUGAAUGAUCAUUGUGAAAAGUACAAUGCUCAAUUUCUUUAAGAGUAUUCAAUCAGUUAAGCUGUCAAAGACAAUAAUUUCAGACGUUGCCUACUUUAAUUUCAAGUAAUGACUUCAAACGCUUAGGAUGAUGACUAGAUUGUAAUGAUAUAGUAAAGCCUGUCUGUCAUUGUUCCCUUUCAUUUUUUUUUGGAAAGGGUGAUUGGGUGAGAAUUUGAGAUCACUUGCAAGAAACAGAAACCUAGUAGAGUAUGUAGAAAGAUUGAAUUGCUGAUGAAACAUUACAAUCACCAUGGUAAGUUGAACCAUCAAGUAUUUACAGAAAGUGAUAGAGACCUGGUACUUACAUAUAGGUAUGUGUAGAAAAUAGUAGGUGAAAUUAUGUUCUCAUUAACAUGAAACUUUUUUUAAUUCAUUACAUCCCUCCUUGCCUAAUCCACCCAACCUUUUGUCCUGGCAAAUCUGAAAAAUAAUUAAGUCUACUUAAAACACAAGUUAGGCCAUAACCAUAAUAUUAACUUUGAAUGAGUGAGCCUGUGAUAAAAUUCUAAACGACUAGGACUUAUGAUUUCAAGGGUCCCCCUUGAUGCGAAGGAAGCUACUACUAUUUGUCUGUUUCCUUUGUUAACGUUACUUGUUAGAUGAUUAAUAAUAAAAUGAUGUCACAAUCACAUGAAGGCUACAUUUUUCCUUCCACAGAUAGUCCAAACCAUACGUUUCAACCUUGUGCUGCACAUUAGUUCAAAUAUAAGAAGCAAACUCUUCAUUCAAAACCAGAUCACAACAUACAAUGGCUGCAGUGUUCUGGGCUUUGGCUUUAGUAAGCCUCUGCUGCCAGCUACCUUCCAAUGCCCAAGCACCUGCAUCUGUGCCGGCAAACUCGCCACCUACAACCCUAGCUGCAACAUCCCCGUCUUCUGGCACGCCACCGGCAGUAACACAGGCAGCAUCCCCUCCCACCACAAGUAAUCCACCAACUAUUUCCCAGCCACCUGCAAUUGUAGCUCCCAAACCUGCUCCAGUGACACCACCUGCUCCAAAAGUUGCACCAGCUUCAAGCCCAAAAGCACCAACACCCCAAACUCCACCACCACAACCACCAAAAGUAUCACCUGUCGCAGCUCCCACAUUGCCACCCCCACUACCUCCACCACCUGUUGCUACGCCACCGCCGUUGCCACCACCAAAGAUAGCUCCAACACCGGCCAAAACAUCCCCUGCACCUGCACCAGCAAAGGCAACACCAGCACCUGCUCCUGCACCUACAAAGCCGGCUCCAACACCAGCUCCCAUUCCUCCACCGCCAACACUGGCACCAACUCCAAUAGUAGAGGUACCAGCACCUGCGCCAUCGUCACAUAAGCAUAGAAGGCACAGGCACAGGCACAAGAGACAUCAAGCACCAGCUCCAGCACCAACAGUUAUUCACAAAAGUCCUCCGGCACCACCUGAUUCCACAGCAGAAUCAGACACAACACCAGCACCAUCACCAAGUCUGAAUUUGGUAAUAUCUUUGUCUAGUGAAAUAUCAAAUUACAUUAAAAUUACACACAAAUAUGUCUCAUCUGUUUCACAUUGUUUUGAUCACAUUUUUUACUUCCUCAUUUCACAGAAUGCUGCACCAUCAAACCACCAGCAAAGGAGUAUACAGGCAACGGCUGCACUUGCCAUCACUGUUUUGCUAGCCGUCACCAGCUACAGCUGCUAGCAGCCUCAUGGAGACCAUGGAUUCACUUUAAUGAGUUAUUUGGCUUGCAAAAUAUAUAAUCAUUUAAUGUGUAUAGAUCUGAAUCAUGAGAAUCUAUACCUAUGAUUCUUUUUUUUUUUUUUUAUUGUUGUUAUCUUUGCUCAGAAAUAUUAAUGGAUAUGAAUUUUUGAAUUAUGACAAUAAUCUGGAGAUGUUAAACAAAAUGUCUCUAGUUUUAUAAGUUAUUUCAUCAAACUUGAUCAGUUUCUGAGUCUAUGUUUAUUUUCUCCCGAAAGUCAUAAAACUCCCUGAUAAGUCCAAGAUUGUCAACUAAUUUGUUAUGCCUUAGAUAUCCUGCACACUAGUAAGAUGAAAUUCCCAUCAAUUACUUACAAAGAAUAUGUAUUUGCAUAACACUAACUUUACAAAAUAUGUCUAUAAAGAAUGAAGGAAAGCAUGAGAAAAUAAUAUGACCAUCAUCAAUAAGGUUUCCAAAGACAAACGCAUACUCAGCAGCACAAGAUUAAAAUGUAACCACAAAACUGGUCGCUAGACAAUGAGCACAUAUAAAACUUUAACACACUUGCACACAUUACCCAUUCCAUAAGUUAAUGAACUUUCAGAACAAGUUGACACACAGCAAUGCAAUCCAGUUACUCCCUUUGUAUGAUAAACACCAGACUCAACCAGGAGAGGGUAGAUGGCUGGAAAUUUAUUUUUCAAUUCCUGAAGGAAAAAAAUUGGUGUUCCAUUUUGAUAUUUUAUAGAAUAAAGAUAUGGUGAACAUUAAUAUGUUACAUACACAUAAACAGGGAUCGGAUAUGGCAAGUUGGCAACUAGUGAGAGGUUGAUGAACCAACAAAGAUAGUCUUAAUUUAAAAUACCAAACUUGGCGGAAACGUGAUUCCGUUAUAUACAUUUUUUUUGUACUUCUAAAAAGGUGUUUUCAGAAUUAUGUUAGCAUAAUUUCAGAAAGGUGUUUCCAGAAUGCAUGUUAUUUUUGUAGAAAAGCUACUAUGAAAAAACUUUUCUGGAAAUUGAUUUUGGAAACUUGUUUAUGGAAAACAUGAAUUUUGUUUUCCAGAAAAGUCUUUCCAGAAUUAUGCUAACAUAAUUUUGAAAAGGUGUUUUUGGAAUACAAAAAUCAUGUUUGUGUGGUGCUGAUGUCUGUGUGUUGUUUGCAAGGUGUUGGGUGGUAUUGGGUGGUUGCAACUGUGGUGGUGGUAGUGUUUGGGUGUGUAGUUAGCUGGAGAUGGGUUAUGCAUGGGAGAGGCAAGGGUAUUAUCGUUCAUUUGAGACUUUUUGGGGGGUGUAGGAAGUAAAAGCUUCCCAUGUGUCUUAUGUUUUUAAAAUUUGACUUAGUUUUUGGAUAAGGGAGUUGUUGUUCUCAUCCUCUAAAAUGCUAUUCUCACCCUUUUCAUUUUGGAAAAUUGUAAGAAGAUAAUGUUAUCUGUAACAUCCCAUUUUUUUCAUAGAUUAAUUCAAAAAAAGUUGUUAUUUGUAAAUAAAUAAGUUUUAUGAUAAGGUUUUUGUAAUUAAAUAAAUAAAGAGAAAUAAGUGUAUUAAAAUAAUAGUUUGAUAAAAAAAAUAAAGAGGAUAUUUUAUUUAUUCAUCUGAUAGAGAAUAAAAUAGAGUUUGUUUUUAUAAAAUAAUAAAAAUAAAUAAAAUAAUAGGUUGUGAGUACCCUAGGUAUAAAUAACGAUAUGUUAGGUCAGGAAAACGACGAUCUCGGACUCAUUCACCGUUGUAUCAUAGUGAAAUUUGAGCACCACGUUCGCAACCCAAUUCUGAGCAUUCUCACCGUUGGGAAUUGCAAAAACAUGUCGAAGCUAAGAGAAAUACCCUUUGCAUCGUAGCUUUCUCUUUUCUCGUAGAAACCCAAAACGGUCUCAGUAAAACUAUGAUCUCAGUUUCAUUAACCGUUGGAUUUUCAUGAAAUUUUAAUUUGUAGUUUGCAAUUCAAUUCCACACACUUUCACCAUUGGGAUUUGCGAGAUAAUAUUCACUGAGAGAGAAAAAGGAAUCGCACGAAGACAGUACAUAUGAAGGCUUCAAUCCCUUCUCUGUCUCUCUGACAUUUGGAAACUCUAUCAGAGCAGUCGGAGGAAAAACUGGAGGAAUCUUAGGGAACCGCUAGAGAUGCAGCUAUCGCUGUCGGAAGACACGUGAUUCUGCUUAGAGGUAAGGGAUGAGUUAUUCACAAUUGAAGGUUAGUGAAAACAUGUGUAGAGAUCCUUAAAGGAUUAAAUUGGGAUUUUAUUUUUGGAUGUUUAUUAAAUUGCAAUUUUUCCUUUAUAAUUAUAAAUAAAAUAUUGAUGUUCUGAUGAGAAUUGCUUGAUAAAUUAUGUUCUUGAUAUUUGUAUAUUUUGACCUAUGAUUUUGAUAUAAUUGUGUAAUAUUAUUUGAAGGGUUUUAGUCCCCAAGUUGUGAUAGUCUUUUGUAUAAAUUGUUAUAUUGAGGAUAUGAAAUGAUGAUUCAAAUUGUGAUUAUGUGGUGGAUUGAACAUGUGAUGAAUGAUGGAAUACAUGUAUAUUGAGAUGUGUAUUGUGUUGUGAGCUAUGAAUUGUGAAAUCACACAAUUGUAAGACCCUUUAAGGGCGAUGAGUUUUAUGCGACGAGUAUUGUGAUGUGAUCCAUUGUGGAAACCCGACAAGUUUAAUCACAAGCGCGACGAGUUAAAAUGGUUUUGAAAAUAAUUGAGUAGUUGUGUGUAUUGCAUAAUUCACAGGUAAAGUGAAUAUGAUUCGUGAGUCUGAUAACAUGCUAUUUUGAGAUUAUACCAUUCUAAUUGAGAUCGAGUGUAUGUGAUAAACUGAGUAUGCGCAUGAUUGAGAUGUUGUGUGCAUUGAGUUGUAAACUGUGGAUUGUACAAUCGCACGAUUAUUAGACCCUUUAAGGGCGACGAGUUAAUGUUAAGACCCUUAAAGGGGGACGAGUUAAAAAUAUUUAAGAACAAUUGAGGAGUCGUGUGUUUUGUAUAGUUCAUAGAUAGAGUCUGUGUGCUAAAAUAUUUUCUGGGUUGGACCUGAAUCAGGAAGGAGAGGCCCUGACGGACUCUUCACAGUGUAGGCUUUGUGGGUCACCCGGUUUGAGUGCUCCUUUAAGCCUGUGCCGAUCCCACAUGGUUGGAGCAUUCUCGCAAAACACUGUGACCCUGACUGGUCUCCCUAUGAUAUUACCUUGUGAGAGUGACUUGACUUGCUAGUGUGUGGUUUGUCUUGUCAUAUACUCCUAGGCGCCCGACGAGAUUUUUCACUGACAUGGUACCACAUUGCAUAUAAGAUUAAGUCUUAGUGUAUCUGCUGCAUAACACUUGUGUAUUGUUCUAUAUUGAUUGAUUUGAUGAUAAUGUGUUUUGACUAUUAAGUAUGCGAAUGUCGUGAAAACGAAUGAGACGUGUGGUGAAAUAACGUGAGUUAUGCUCAAGUAAAUUGUAUUUUGUUAUAUAAUAUUUAUACCUAUAUGUUGUCUUAUUUUUCUCUAUUAGUUAGGAAUGUGAUAACUUACUUCCUGUGUGUUGUUUGUGUUUGGAUCCUGUGAUGAUCUUGAACUUUAUGUUCGGGGGAGCAGAUGAUUAAGUGAAUUUCUUUAAGGAACCUUGUGUUGAAGGACGUUGGGACACAAUGCUCUAAUAAGAUGUGACAUUAGGAUAUAAGUUACUAUAUUAAUUGUAUGAGGUCUUUGACAACCUUGUUUUGAGCCGAAAUGAUUUAUUAAUUAUUUGAACAAGUUUUAUUAUGAAUUAGAGAAGUGAAUGUGAGCCUUUUAUCCUUUUGAGAGACUUGUAUUUAAAUGUAUUUUAAAAACUUUUAAUUAAAUCUGAUCUCUUAUUUCUUUUAUUUAUUUAUAUAAAUGUCGGGGUAGAGGGUGUCACAUUAUCUCUCUUCAGUUUCCCUUCACCUUUCUCUUUCCCUUCCCAUUCUUGCUACUGCACCCCCCCCCCCCCCCCUCCAACUCAUCACCUUUUUUCGAUGUUUUGGUGCCAACAAAAACAUGAUUUGGUUGUUACUCCACCAUGGAAUCAUGAUUUUGUUUUGAGUAGAACAUAGUCAUAUUUUGUUGUACAAUUGUAUAUGCAUAAUGAAAAUUUUUUUUUGUGUUUCUCAAUUGAAACACUCAUUGAAAAUCGUAUUUUCAUUAUGGAUUUACAAAUGAUACAUAAGGAAAAUAUGAUUUUGUUGUGUUUUUCAAAAUAAUUGUAUUUUUUAGGAAUUAAAAUCAUAUUUAAGCUUUUAAAUUUUGGAGAACCAAGAACAAAAUAUGACUCAACUUUAAAAUACUAAAAAUAUAUUUAAAUCUUUUUUUAAAAUCAGCUCUAUUUCCACUCCUUCCUUCUGUUUCUCGGUUGUUCCCUGCUACCAAACAUAGAGUGCAAGUCUCCAAUGAUUUUGACUUCCAAAAAUCCCGACCUCAAACUUCUAAAAGCUAUAAGCUCUUUCCUCUUCUCAUUAAGGCCUUAAGUGGGUUUUAAUUCGCACAUUUUGCACCUAACUUUACUUAUCAUAAACUAUUUAAUCAUACACUCAACGCUGAAAUACAAGCGCUCGACACUUAAACAUAGUAAAUUCAAUGCUUUGUCAGUACCUGACGCUCUCAAAGGCACCUAACGCUGCAUGAAAGACUAGCAUGUAGUGUACAUUGGCUUCAUUUUCUAGAAUUUUCCUAGUAAAUAAAUAUAAAAAAAAAUACUACUAAAAAGUUGAGGUUACUUUCUUAACGUAUAAAAUACUAAAAACAUGCAAUAAAGCUUUAAAACAUAGAGACAUAUGUAUAAAAUACGCUAUAAAUUUACAUUAAUUCUAGCUAGGUUUAUCAGUGUAAACAUUUUAUGUGUUUUCCCUCAAACCUUCCCAGCCACGUAAUAUGAUUAAUAUCCAAGGUUUUGUGGUGCUAUUGAGGUGUUGUCUUACCAAGGAGACAUAUUCCCUUUUUUUUUUUAUCGUUAUACUUACAUUUCGAAAAUACAUAGAUAAAAUGUAAAAUAUAGAUACAUUGAUUCCCAUUUCAAUUCAGAUUCAUUUAAUUCAAAAUCCACUUAAUAUAAGUACAAAAUGGUGUAACCCUUAACCGCAUGAUAACUUUGGUGGGUUCAUAAUAACUUCGGAUGACUUACUAAAGAUCAUGACAGCAUUAAAAUUGUUACAUAAUAACAAUGAUAUGCUGCAAUGAAAAUUAUUAUAGCUUUUCCAUUUUUUUUAAAUAUUUCAAACCGUUGUACGAGGUAAAUAUAUGUUCCCAUCUUUACAAGUUUUGGUUUAGUCUACCUUAUUCUUUUCAAGAUCAGGAGCCAACUUUGAACCAAUAAGGGCUGGCCCCAGAGAUAUCCUUCUAAGAAAGGGCAAGAGUUAACCUUUCGGAUUGAAAACGAUUGUGGCAGUGCCUCUUAGAGUGGUUGUCUCAAUGCAACACCUCUAGUAUGAAGUAUAAACCACUGAGAAAUUGAUGUUUAAUUGGUUGAAAUAGCUAAUUACUUUGUCUUCAUCCACUUGUAGUCAUUAAGAAACAAUUCAACACUUCAAUCACAGGUAUUCUUUUAUGAAUUUAGAUAAAAUCUUCAGAGUAAAGAUAAUUCUAUACCAUCAUUCAAAUUAGUAAAUGAAAUUAUGUUCUCAUUAACAUGAAACCCUUUAUUCCUUUUUACCCUCCUUGCCCCAUCCUACAUCCACCCAACCUUUUAUCUCAUUAAACAUGAAAAUUAAGUCUACUUAAAAUACAAGUUAGGCCAUAACCAUAAUAUGAACGUUGAAUGUGUGAAGCUUUGAUAAACAUCUAAAUGACUAGGACUUCUGAUUUCCCUCAUUGAUGCAAGGGAAACUACAUUGUACCUCUACUUUUUCCAUUGUUAACGUUCCUUGUUAGAUGAUUAAUAUUUAAAUUGUCACAAUCACAUGAAGGCUACAUCUUUCCUUCCACACAUAGUCCACACCAUACGUUUCAACCUUGAGCUUCAUCAAAGCCCAUAAUAUAAGAAGCAAACUCUCCAUUCUCAACCAUAUCACAACAUUCAACAUACAAUGGCUGCAAUUUUCUGGGCUUUGGCUAUAAUAAGCCUCUGCUGCAAGCUAGAUUGCAAUGCUCAAGCACCAGCAACUGUGCCGGUAAAGUUGCCACCUACAACUUUGCCACCUACAACCCCAACUGCAACAUCUCCAUCUUCCAGCACGCCACUGGCGGUAACACAACCACCCACAGUGGUGGCAUCCCCUCCCACCACGAGUACACCACCAACCACAUCCCAGCCACCUGCAAAUGUAGCUCCCAAACCUGCUCCUGUGAAACCAUCAGCUCCCAAAGUUGCACCUGCUUCAAGCCCAAAAGCCCCACCACCUCAAAUUCCAAUACCACAACCACCAAAACCUUCACCGGUCUCACCACCCCCGCUACCACCACCACCUGUUGCGUCACCACCACCAUUACCACCACCAAAGAUAGCACCAACACCAGCUAAAACACCUCCAUCCCCUGCACCAGCAAAGGCAACACCAGCACCUGCACCCGCACCCACAAAGCCGGCACCAACACCAUCACCUGUUCCUCCACCGCCAGCCGCAACUCCAGCACCAGCACCAGUGAUAGAGGUACCAGCGCCAGCGCCAGCGCCAGUGAUAGAGGUACCGGCUCCAGCGCCUGCACACCAUAGGCAUAGAAGGCACAGGCACAGACACAGACACAGAAGGCAUCAAGCACCAGCUCCAGCUCCAACAAUUAUUCGCAAAAGUCCCCCAGCACCACCUGAUUCCACAGCAGAAUCAGACACAGCACCAGCACCAUCACCAAGUCUGAAUUUGGUAAUAUCUUUGUUUGAUGAAAUAUCAAAUUACAAUUAC